CCCAUUAUAUCUUCAAAUUCACACUUUUUGCCUUUAAAUUUCCUCUCGCCUCCAAUUUAGUCCCUAAAAGAUAAAAGACCACAAAAUAAUCUAAAUUAGUAGGAUCAUACUCAAAAUAAUCAUGCAAUUAGCACAUAAAAUAUGUCGUUCUAGAGUAUUAUCAAAUCCCCCCUACUUAGCCCAUGCUUGCCCUCAAGUAUGGUUCGUGUCCACAGUGAAAAUUAAAUCCUAUUAUGAAAGAAAUACUACUCCAAAGUUUUAUAAAAAUUAGUCAAAAAUGCAUAUGAAAAAUAAAGAGAACCCUUAGCUUGCUUUAAGUAAAAUUGAAAAAAAAAGUAUUUCAAUUAACACACACAAAAAUUAAGAUCGACUUGGAUUAUUUCAUGAAAAUUAGGUAAUUUACCAAACCUAUCAAGACACCCUAUUCGUUUCUACCUUUAGUCCUCACACUUUAUUAAUAUGUCUUUUUUUUUCUCUUUUUUAACAGAAUUUUAAUUUUAUUUUAUUUAUUUUUAUUUAGGAAUAUAUUGAACCUUUUGACGCCAAGAGAGAUGACAGCCAAGGACCCCACCCCGGUUACUCAACCCAACAUACUCCUAAUUUUUAUUUUUUUUAAGAACAUAUCGAACCUUUUGACGCGAAGAGAGAUGACAGCAAAGCACCUCAACCCUGUUACUCAGCCCAACACAUUCUUAAAAAUUAAUUCCGGUUAGCGGAGUUUUACCUAACACGUCACACAACCUUUUGACGCGAAAUAGGAUGACAACCCAAGCACCCUACCUCGGUUACUCAGCUAGUCACGUCUUAAGCUGCACUCAUAACCACAGAAACAUUAUUAUUAUUAAACGAAAUUUUAAUUUUGGAGAACUUAGGAAAAACAAUCAAGUGUCAAAAAUAAGUUUCAGUAACCACCUUAAUAGUCAUGAACAUAUUUUAAGCAUGCAAUUGUAUUAAGUGUCCUCUUAAAUUUAGACUUAAUCAAAUUUACCGAAAUCAAGAUAAUGUUAACUCCAUUAAUUAUAAUCUUUUAAACUAAAAGAAAUAAAACAGUGGAGAUGAAAUCAAUCAAGCAAAAUCAUAAUUAACUCAGUAGAUAAGAAUCAUGCAUCUGGGUCAAACAGUGGGCAAGCCGUGGUCAAAUUCUUAGGCAUGAAAAGAAGCAGAAUAUUCUUUAAAAAAAAUUAUAUGCCAGCAACAACCAAAUCAGCAUCUAAAACGACAGAAAUAAUGAGGAAUGACUCCCCCUACUUAAAACACAUAGUCCUCGAUGUGAAAUAAAUAAAUAAAUAAUGAGUUCUUCCUAUUGUUGCUUCAGUUUACCUAGACAAAAGAAGAGAAUUUUAUUAAUAUCUGAAAAUAAUAAAUAAUAAAAUAAUAAGAAAAAAUAAAUAAAAAUAAAAUAAACUAAAAUAAAAUAAAAAUAAAAAUUGGGUCGCCUCCAAAUAAGCGCUUGUUUAACAUCGCUAGCUUGACACCCCAACUAGUAUUGGAGCUGUUCCAGCUGAAUUCUUUUGUUCGUAUGAGCUUGGAAAUUCUCAUUUUUUAACACGUCCACUGUAUUUGGGUUUAAUCGUCCUGGUGCCUCUUUCUUUGGUUUCGUAUUUUCCUCCAAGGGGUUGAUCCCUUUUAAGUCGACAAUAGUCUCAUCAUUCUCUAAAAAUGUGCAUUUGAGAUGUUCGGGAAGUGGUUUUAAUUUCAGAUCUGGUGCCUGCAUAACAGAAGGUAGAAGUUUAGUAUUCAUGGGAGCCAAUAAUUUAUUAACAGAAUCAAAAUCAUCAAACAUCAUUUUAGAUUUAUCUCCAUAAGAUGACUCAAAAGUUUUUUCUACUGAUGAGUCAAUUAUGUCGACACGGUUUACGUCCAAGACUUCACUUGGGUGACUAAUAGUGCCAUAAACGUUAAACUUCACGAUCUCCCCGUCAAACUCCAUCGUGAGGGUUUCGCUUCGUACAUCAAUCUUAGUAUUUGCAGUACUAAGGAAAGGUCACCCCAACAAGAUGUCUGAAGACUCAACAGCGUUAUCCUCCUCCAUUUUUAUCAAAUAGAAAUCUGCAGGGAAGAUAAGCCCAUUGACUUUGACUAAUACUUCCUCGAGGACUCCUUCGGGGUGCACAAUAGACCUGUCUGCCAACUGAAUUAUAACACCUGUUUUCGUUAAAAAACCCGCAUUAAGUGAUUCAUAAAUAGAAUAAGGCAUAACAUUUAUGGAGGCCUCUAAAUUACACAUGGCCUUCUUGAUCCCCAAAUGGCCUAUUUUGCAUGGUAUAGCGAACAUACCUCUAUCUUUGCAUUUUACCGGCAUUUUCCGCUGUAGCACUGCGGAUACAUUCUCACCAACACUUACCUUUUCAUUACCUGUUAGUUUUCGUUUAUUGGUGCAAAGCUCUUUGAGGAACUUGGCGUACCGUGAAAUCUGUCUGAUGGCAUCCAACAGUGAUAGAUUGAUCUCGACUUUCCUGAAUGUUUCGAGGAUCUCUUUGUCUUUCUUACUUUUUCGACACUGGUUUAAUCGUCCUGGGAAUAGAGGUUGGAUUUUCAGAAAUGGGGGUUUUGCUCGGACCUGUUCGUCAUUUUCGGGUUUUUCUUUGGCGGUUUCUUAACCAAGAUUUUUGCCAGGAAUUGGUUCCAGUACCUUUCCACUUUGCAGCGUCAUUGUAUUUGCGUUUUGCCUCGGGUUUGGUUCUGUUUGUGAUCACAGCUUCCCUUGAGAGUUCAAUAUCUCAAUUGAUAUGGUCAACUCCCUUAUGGAUGCCUCAGUUUUCUGUUGGAAAUCCUUCAUCUCUAUUUGGAAAUUGAGAGUUUACUAUUAAAAAUUAAGGACAGUAGCUGCUAAUUUAUUGACCAUGGUUUCUAGAGAAUUACUUGAAUCUUGUGGCUGUUGUGGAACCCAAUUUCGGUAUGGCUAGUUAUAUUGUAGAUUGGCCCCAUAACUCAAGUUAGGGUGGUCUCUCCAUCUUGGGUUGUAGGUAUUAGCGUGAGGGUCGUAUCGCCUUUGUGGUGGGCUAGGGAAAUUUCCUACAGCAUCUAAAUGAGCUAUAGUAUCAUCAUACAAACUGGGACAUGCAUCAGUUGUAUCUUCAGGUGUGGCACAUAUUCCGCGUACUCAGGCUGGUUUGGCUUUUUCUGCAACAAGAAAGCUCACAAUAUUAGUAAGUCUAUCAACUUUAUCUUCUAAGGUUGAAUUACUUAGUUGAUGAACCCUGCUAAGGGGUUCAGGAUUGGCUCAGAAUUGCUGAGUAUUUGUAGCCAUUGUGGAGAUCAAGUCUCUUGCUUGUUGGGGAGUCAUGUUAACUAACGUUCCUCCACUAGUGGCGUCUACCAUAUUCAUCUCCAUGGGUUUCAGGCCUUCAUAAAAAUAUUGGAGAAGAGACUGUUCUGUUAUACCGUGUUGUGGGCAACUUGCACACAAUUUCUUAAACCGCUCCCAAUAGUCAUAAAGAGACUCUGCUUCUUUUUGCCUUAUUCCAACGAUCUCCCUUCUUAACUCAGCUGGUCGUGAUGCUGGAAGAAAUCUGUUGAGAAAUAAACGAGAAAGAUCAGCCCAAGUUGUAAUAGAUCUAGGAGGUAAGUAAAAUAACCAUUCCCUAGCUGAAUCUGCUAGGGAAAAAAAGGAAAGCACGCAGUUUAAAUUGAUCCUCAGUUACCCCCUGAGGUUUCAUACUAAGGCAAACCAUAUGGAACUCUUUCAAAUACUUGUGGGGAUUUUCAUUUUGCAACCCACGAAAAGUUGGCAGUAGCUGGAUUAAGCCUGACUUUAAUUCAAAAUCAGUAUCCAUAGUAGGACGCGAUGCACAGUGGGAGUUGUUCUGCCUGCGCUUCGACCAGUUGCCAAAUUGUCUGAGCCAUAGGUUGAGGUGCUAGAUUAGGGUUUUCGUUAACCCUAACGUUAAGCACUUCUUCUAAGGAAUCGACUUUUACUUUUUCACUUUCAAAAGUUUGAGUAGGUUUUUCGUUAACCCUAUACUCUGCUUCGUAGUCGAUUCUGAUUUCUGGCGGUGGAUUACUUUGAGUCCCAACCAUCGCUGACUGCUUUUUCUUUAGUUUUGUUUCCUUGCGAUUAGCUUUCGCAGUCUUUUCAAUCUCCGAAUCAAACACAGGAGUUCCUGGAGCAGAUCUGGUCAUAAGAAACAAAAAACAAGAUUAGUAUGUUACUGGUCCCCGGCAACGGCGCCAAAAUUUGAUGCGGUCGUUGUAAGCACCAAAAAUAUCCUAUUCCCUGUAAAAUAGUAAAAAUAACAGUAAAAGGGAAGUGGGGUCGAAUCCUCAGGGACCAGAUUGUACGAAUUCUCGUUUAUUGAAAUCCUAGACAAUUUCUUGGCCAAGAAAACCUACGUUCCUAAAAAAUAAAAAAAAAUUAAGAAUCUGGAAAAAUCAAAACAGAAUUUAAAGUUAAUUGAAAUUGCAAAAUUAAAUAAAUUGUAGAAAUUAAAAUGAGGAAAAAUAAAUAGAGUUGGGAAAAGAGAAAGUUUCUUAUGUGGUGAGAUUCCAGCCUCCGGUUGUCUCGUUCCGCCUUGGGUUCAAUCCUUGGCUUUUAAGUAACCCUUCUCGAGCAGGAUAAGCCAGUUAUAGUGGAAAAGGAAGCCUACGACCACCAGCUCCAAAGAUUUAGACUUAAGAUUUGGCGGAACCUGACUCUAGCCAAUAAUCGCUUUUAUGGGACUAUUUGCUAGAUCACCACUUCCCAACGGUGAAUACCACACUGUUUUGUCUAUUGGAUUCGCCAACCUCUGACACAGAAAGCCAACGAAUCGACUGUGUAAUUUUCCUAAAAUGUACAAAGCGGCCAUUCCUUGCACAAGUUGAAAAGAUUACCUAUUAAGGGACAUGGACGAAAACGUCAGCCCUGUAGUGUGGAGGAGCGAUGAAUACCCUAUUGAGAAGGCUAAGCGUGGAUUAUAAGCCUUAUGAACCUUUUUGGGGAAUUUUGACAACCUUCGGCUAGAUUGGUUUAGUGGCUUAUGAUUUUUGGGGAAGAAAUAAAUAAAAUAGAUAUGGGAUUUUUAUUGAAGAAAAUAUGGAGAGAACAAAAAGACAGAGUUUUUGGAAGAAGGAGUGUUUACAGGAAAAAGAGAUGUCAAAUAUGUGUCACUCCAUCCCCUAUUUAUAGUACUAGAAAACCUAGUCUAUUUCUAAUGAAAUUCUAAAAGAUAAAAAAAAUAAAGAUAAAUAAAGAUAAAUGAAAAUAAAUCCUAAAAUUAAAUCUAAAUAAAAAUCCUUAAUAAAUAUCCUAAUAUAAUUGAAAUUAAAAUAGAGUCUUGCGCUAUAAAAUCACUUCUUUUGCAUUUUAGUCCUUGGGUCUUCCAUGUUUGCAUUUUUGGCACUACUUCUCUCUUUCUUUGCAUGUUGUCCCAUUAUAUCUUCAAAUUCGCACUUUUUGCCUUUAAAUUUCCUCUCGCCUCCAAUUUAGUCCCUAAAAGAUAAAAGACCACAAAAUAAUCUAAAUUAGUAGGAUCAUACUCAAAAUAAUCAUGCAAUUAGCACAUAAAAUAUGUUGUUCUAGAGUAUUAUCAAUUAGGCUAUAACCCAUGAUAGAUGAAUUCCAUAAGGAUUCCUAUCAGCCCAUAUCUUUCAUUAUUGCAUACUUUUAACCAUAUAAUUUUACAUUUUCUUAAUCAAAUCCCUAUUUGAAUUUUUUGUCAAAAAUCACUUUACAAAACAUGUAAAAUUAUCAUCAAACUUCCAUAAUCUAUCAUUAAACAUCAAAGAAAUCAAUUAUUCAACAAUGGCACUUUACAAAAUCAUGAACAGAUUCAAAAAUUAAGGUACGGGCUAGCUAGAAUAAGCUGCAACGAGCUCAAAAACAUAGAAAUCAUUAAAAACCGAUUAAAAAUCGUACCUUAAUUGACAAUUGAAGCUUGGCCAAACGAAAACCUAAGUUUUCUAUUCUUUCUUCUCAAUUUUCGGCAAGAUAAUGAAUGAAAUAACAUGAUUUUGGUUUUGUUUUAUUAUUAUUAUUAACUUAAUACAUAAAUUACUAUAUUAACCUUAUAAUUAUAGCUUAUAAAUCACGUAAAUCAUGGAAAUAAAUGUCCACUAACCUUAAUCUUGGUAUAAUAACAUUAUAAGGACCUUCAAUUUACUAAACCAUAGCUACUAGGCACAUUAAAUUAAUAGCACACAAGUUUUACGCUGUAAUAUCCCGAAUUAGGGCCUAAUCGGAAUAGUGGUUUCGUGACCACAAAUCCGAGGUAAAAAAAUUUAUUUUAUUAUCAUUUUAAGGUCUAUAGCAUGAUUGCAUGAUUGUGUGAAAAUUUCGUUUAGAAAUUUUAUCGAUAGAGGGUCCAAUUUGAUAUUUAGGACUAAAUUGCAAAAGUUGUAAAAUGUGUGUUCUAGUUCACAAAGGUAUUAAGUACUUGUGAGUAAUGAGUUUUUAAAGUGGAGGUCCUUGGAUAGAAUUAGACCAUUAUACUAGUUUGGACAAAAAUACCUAAAGGAAGAUAAAACACCAUAGUUUUUAAUUAAGGGCAUUUUGGUUAUUUAGUUAUUAAAAUGAAUUAAAAACAAAAUUAAAAGCCAAUUUUUGUCCAUCUUCUUCAUUAGGCCGAAAUUUUAAGGGUUCUCCAUAGCUAGGGUUUGUUUCAAGCUUCCAAGCUCCAUAGUAAGUGAUUCCAAGCCCUGUUUUUAAUGUUCUUUACGUUUUUGGAAUCCCUGUAGCUUGAAUUAAUUUAUGCUAGCAAUAAUUCAACCUAGGGCUCAUAUUUGGAAAAAUACCCAUAGGUGAAAUUUGUGUAUUUUGGUCUUUUAUGAUAGAAUAUGAAGUUUUAAAUUAUGUUAGACAACUUGUGCUACUCGGUUUUAAGUGAAAACGAGUAAAAUGGCUUAAUCGGUAAAAAUACCUAAUAGUCAUAAGUACAUGUUAGAGUGUGAAUUUGAUGUUGCCAUAGAAGGGAAAAAUGAUCAUCAUGUCAUAAAACAUAAGAAAAUAGGAUGAGGUUUAAUUUACGAGCCUUGGGGUAAAAGUGCAAAUAUGUGAAAGUUUAGGGGCAAAAUGGUAAUUUUGCCAAAGUUCGUAUUAGGGGCUGUUUUGAUGAAUGUAUGUAUUAAAUAAAAUUAAUUUGGCAUUAUAGAUCAAGAGAAACGAGAUUCAAGUCGUGAUCGAGGGAAAAACAAAGUUUAUGAGGAAUAGGCUCGAUUGCUAAUAUUUUGUAUAGAGGUAAGUUCAUGUGUAAAUAAGGUAACAUAAUUUUUAUUUUAAGUGAUUUAAUGUUAUUUAUAUGACAUGAUACUUAUUAUCAUGAAAUAUGAUGUUUUGUAAAUUAUUAUUUGGUGAUAUGCAAAUUAUGUGAACAACUUGAUAAGUAUGAGAUGUUAGCAAGUAUCGAUUUCUAUAUUCCGAAGAAGGCGAUAGAAAUGUGUAAUUGAAAAGAAUCCUGUUUGAACCUUGGGAAUAGAUUAGGGUACAAGUGACAUGUCACUAGGAUGGUUGAGUUCCGAACUUGUUGAGUUGAGUCCGAGUUCGUGAGAUGUAACUAGGCAUCCGAGCUCGUUGAGUUGAGUCCGAGUUCACUUAUGGAUGCGAACGCCCAAGCUCAUUGAGUUGAGUCCGAGUUCAUUUAUGGGCGGGUUACAUAGUAGCUUGGCUACAUAGAUUCAAAAGCUAUUGAGCUUGUUCAGUUAUGAGUAUAGCACUUACGUGCACACUAUCCGCGUAUUCGAAAUUAUAUUCCUACGUGUUCAACGGGAGAAUCCUAAGAGAAUAUUGAGGAUGCUUAAAACGAAAGUGAUUUAAUGAUGAAUGUGUUGAAGAAGUGAAAAUGGACAGGUAUGAGUUUAAUUCUUGGUUGAGAACUUGGUGAGACAAAAUUGUGGUAAGAUAGUAAGUUUUUUUUAUGUUAUGAGUGUUUUAAUGAUGUUUAUGUUGGAUUGCAUAAUCAUGUUACUUAUUAUUUACAUGUGAACUUACUAAGCAUUUAUGCUUACUCCCUCCUUUUUCUUCAUUGUAUUUUUGACAAGCCGGCUUGAGAAUCGGGAUAGGUCGAAGGCUCGUUCACACUAUCCGAAGACCUAAAUUGGUAAAAUGGCUUGUAUAUUUUGAGUGUGGCAUGUAUAGCAAUAUACUCACUUUGUAUAAAUGAUCAUAUGAUAUGGUUAUGGUUUGGUAAGAAAAGGGUUUGUAAAUGAUUAGCUAUUGGAAUGGCUAAUCAAGUUUAUAUAUGAUAACAUGUAUGCUUUAUGUCUUAACUAAACCAUGAAAAUCCUUGGAAUGGUAAAAUUGGCCAUAAAACAAAGUCAUACAGCAGUAGUGAUGUGAAUUUGAAAAAUCACUAAAAAUAGUAAAAAUGAAAUUAAAUGAUGAAUAAGUUAUUAAAUUGAAGCUAUGAUGAGUCUAUUUUCAUAUGGAUGGAACAAAACAGGUAAAUGAGUUAUAUUUUAUGAGAUAUUUAAGUUUUGGUGGAACAGCAUCAUAGUGGUAUUUGAAUCCCCUAUUCUAAAUUUAAAAAUUCACCAAAAAUUGUAAAAAAAUAAUUGGAAGUUUUACUUUAUAUGUACAGAUUUCUUAUUGAGUCUAGUUUUAUGAGAAACAAACAGCAUAAUCAUUGAAACUCUAUACAGAGAGAUAUCUGAUUCGUAAUACACAGGGGUCAGAGUAGUCAAACCCUGAAAUAGGGGAGACUUUAAAUAAUAAACUGUACUAAUUGGCUCGACCAAAAAUUCUAGAAAAAAAUUAGUAGAUAGAUAUAUGAGUCUAGUUUAGGAAAAAAUUCCGGAUCUUAAUUUUGAGUUUUGAAACUCGAGAUAUGAAUUUUUAAGCGACUAUGACGCAGUUGGCCAGCUUGUCUGGAAAUUUUAAAAAUAAAUUAUUUGAGCUUCUUAAAUAAUGAAUUAAGUUCGUUAACACCUCAUAAUCGACUCUAGUGAUGUUCUCGGGAACGGGGGCGUUACAUACGCUUUACAUGAUUUCGUUAUUUUUACCAAAUUAAGCAUUUAAACGGUGAAAUUUCUUUACGAAAUUAAGCAUUUAAACGGUAAAAUUUCUUUACGAAACUUUCACAUAAUUAAAGUAUCAUGCUGUAGACCUUAUUAAAAUAAUAAAAUAAAUAUUUUGAAUUUGGAUUUGUGGUCCCAAAACCACUAUUCUGAUUUGACCUAAAAACGGGCUGUUACACGACUACCUCCCAUUUCAGUCCGUGCCACCAAUAAAGUUCCCGGAGAUCCCGGUACAUUCUAUUCCCACUAGGGUGCAUAGCAUAAGGACUAUGAUGCACCUCUUGUAGGAUCAAAUGCCUUAUUUCGUUAUCAUCGGGUACACAAAUCUGACCUUUGAAGCAUAAAACAUUAUCGUCAUUCAAGGUAAAAUCAGAAUUCCCGUUUGAACCAACACAUUGGAAUCGUUGCACUAAAGAUUCGUCGUUCUGUUUUUAGCUCAAAUCUGCUCUAUCCAAAUUAGUUUAACCUGUAAUUCUGCCAACAAUCCUCAAUUCUCCACUAGACUCAGACGAGCAAACAUUACUCUCAAAUUAGUCAUUCCUCUACGGCUAAGGGUGUCAGCUACCACAUUAGCCUUACCCAUAUUAGCUCUACAACUAAGGUUGUACAUUUAGCUUAUUUACUCUAUAUUGUGCUCUCGUUUGUUUACUCAUUUAGUGAAAAGUCGAAGCCUUCUUUGCUUGUGAUUUUUUUCCCUCUUUGAAGGUUUUUCACGUAAAACAUUUGUGUUCGUUCUUCUCUACUUUUACUACUUUGUUGUUCAUAUAGGUCGAUUCCUUAAAAAUUGAUAUCAGAGUUACAGUUUUGCUUCAAUAGAUCGACUCAUUCAGUGAAACAACAAUGGUUUUGGAUAUGAAGAAGUUUAACAGAUCAAAAAAUUCAAUUUCUGGCAGUUUUGUAUAAUUACGGAAGUAGCUGAUGUGGCCGAGAAUGAGGAUGAUAAAUCAUUGCUCUCCACAUCCACAUAAUUCGGCUGAAGGUGGAGUCAUGUAAGAUGUCAAGCGUAUGCCUGAUUUAGAGAAGAAUCUCAUCUCCUUUUGGUCUUUAGGACUCGAAUGGUUUGUAGAGUGUUUGAAGCAAGGUUGGUCGAUAAGGUUACAAUCAAGUGGAGAGAGUUGGUGUUUUCUCUUCUGUUCAGGUUUUACUAGCCCUUUUUGCAUUAUACAAAAUUGAUAUGAAAACUAAAAGUCUUUUAGUUUCCAAGUUCGGGCAUGAUUUAGACUUGGUUAACAUUUAACAAAAUUUGAGCUACGCCCGUGAUGGGACAUGAAAAAUGAGGUUUGAUAAAUACGAUUCAAGGUGAAGAUUUGUGGGUUGUGUAUCGUAUUUAUUGGACACAUUGUAGGCACCUUAGAUGAGAAUUAAAGAGCAACCGAAAAAUGGCCAAAACAAGCCUGACAUCGGGACGAGGAGAGUUGGCUCAUGGGGAUGAUGUCAUGACGAGGCGAAUGGGACGUUGCGACGUCACGAUGUGUUCUCCUAUUUGGCAGCUGCGUUUUGGACUUCAAGUAGGAUUUCUUUUCCCAGUUAGACUCUGAUUAUUCUAGGGAUAUUUUGGUAUGAUUAGAAUUCUAAUAUUAGCCUAUUUAAAGAGACCAUUGUAUCCUUGUUUUGUUAAGCCAAUCAAGAUGUAGUCGCAUAUGAAUUUUGGUAAAAGUUUCGUGGUAAUUAUGCAGAGUAUUUUAUACCUUUUUUGUGAGUGUCUUAUGAGAUUUAGGGUUUUAUUUACCGAUUUACUCUUGGGGGUUUUAAGCUUUGUAUUCAGGGUUUUGGGUAAUGUACAGGUUGUACAUUUAAGCUAUUUACUCCAUAUUGUACUCUCAUUUGUUUAUUCAUUUAGUGAAAAGCCGAAGCCUUCUUUGCCCGUGGUUUUUUUUCCUCUUUGAAGGUUUUCUAUGUAAAAUAUAUGUGUUUGUUCUUCUCUACUUUUACUACUUUGUUGUUCAUACGAGUCGAUUCCCAACAAAAACUAAUUCAAGGAGGCUUGAUUCACAUUAUAGAAACAAAUAAUAAAAUACUUCAAAGUAAUUGACACACUCAAGAUUAAGAUGAUACACUGCUACAGUUGGUACUUUUUUUUAUGUUUUCUAUAUUUCUUAUACAACAAAGUUUUGGUGUUUAUUUGUGACACCCCUUACCCGUAUUCAACGCCAGAAUAGGACACAAGGCAUUACCGAAUUUACAUUGCAAGCAAACAUACAAAUCAAGUCAUAAAUUUGCAUCUAAAUUUAAAUCAUUUGUAUUCAAUAAUAAAGUCCCUAAUACGAGCCUACGAGGCCCAAAACAUGCUUUGAAAGUGGUUUGGGACUAAACCGACAACUUGCGAAAUUUUUACAAAACUUAAGAAAUUUUUGCUAUGAACAGGGGUCACACGCCCAUGUGGUUUGGGACAUACCUGUGUGGGUAGGCCGUGUGGUCAUACAUGCUCGUGUGCCUAACCAGUGUAACUCUCUAUUUUGUAAUGCAUGAACAAAUUGAGAUUACACAACCAAGUCACACGCCCAUGUGCUAGGUUGUGUGGUUAAUUUAAUUUUCAUGAAAUAGGUGCAGACUUCACAUGGUCGGGACACACGCCUGUGCCUGAGGCAGUGUCCCUCACACGGCUAAGACACAUGCCUGUGUCUCUGCCCGUGUGCUCAAUUCUGAGCAUUAUGUUUAUCAAAAUUAAGGUGCAGAGGACACAUGGCCAAAACACAUGCCCAUGGGGCAAACCGAGUGUCACACACUACCUAGACACAUGUCCUUGUGUCUACCCAUGUGGACAAAAUAAAGGCUAUUUACCAAGCCAUUUGUCACCCUCAUUUACCUCUACUCACACACAAGCUCAAUGGCACAAAUCAUGGUAUACUUAGGCAACCAAAAACAUCUAUGAUCAAGAUUAGAACAUAUCAUUUUAUUAUCACACAUAACAUACUUCCAACAUUAUAUUCUGCCAAACCAAAUCAAACCAAGCUUACCUCUACAAGUACCAACACAAAUACUUUUAUCAUGCAUGAUUCUCCAUAAAUUUCUUAGCAUACCAAUUAGCCAAUUUCAACCACUCAACAAUUAAACCAUUCAAUCACAUUAAAUCAUUCUCCAAGCAUUUAUAAACCACAUCACACAAGAGAUAAUUGCACAGGCAUGCAUAUAUAAAUAUAUAUAAGCUUACAACCAAUUCAACCAAAAUGAGCCAAGUUACAUGGCCAAAUACCACAUCAAGCCCUUGAUAAUUACAAGCCAAUACAUUUGGUCAAAUCAUAUUAACACAUAUAAUAAAAUGACCAAGUCCCUAUACAUGCCAUACUCUCAAAAUGUUAAGAUCAUCAAUACCCAAAAUGACAGUUGAUAAUGUGAUACGAACUCCGAUGAUCUCCAAUCCGAGCUAGCUUGGUGACAUUAUAAAACAUGGAAAUUAAAAUAGAGUAAACUAUAUAGCUUAGUAAGCUCGUAUGAAAGAAAUAAGCAAAACUUACCAUACAUCGACAUGCAAGUAAUAUAAUAUAAGGCAAUGUAGUUUUCCAUAAUCUCAUAAUCAAAAAUCACUACCAUCACAAACUUACCUUAAAAUCGCCAUAUCACGAAUUAAUAAUCAUAAACUUUAAGUACAUACCUGUACCAUCUCGAGAUAAUUUCAAACACAUUCUCAUCCUUUUCAUAGCCAAUAAACCACUUGGAAAAAUAAAUUCAGAUACUCGAGAAACCUUGCACACAAGGUGCCACAUAUGUAGCCAUUGCUACCUCUAUCUCAUAUCACAUAUAUGCUUGCUCUUGAGCCAACAACGGGCCUACUCACACAAGCUGUCAAUCAAAACGUAACUACUCGGUGCUGCUCACUCAAGCUGUCAAGUAACCUCAACAUAUGCCGGUAUACUUAGCCAUCAGUAGGACGUAGAGGACCAGCACCCGAAUCACAUAACGUAAAACCCUAGUGACAUGUCACUUGUAUCCUAUUCUAUUCCUAAGGUUCGAUUGGGAUUUCUCACUUGUCAAAUCGUCAUCAAAUGUGUCUGUAAGGUCAAUUACACGAUUCAUGCAUAAAUUAAAGCAUUUAAACACAUUCAAAGUAAAGCUUAUUUAACAUACGAACUUACCUCGGUUACCAAAAUAGCCAAAAGGACCUAUUCGUCAAAUACUUUAUUUUUCCUUUGAUCUACACCCGAACUUCAUUUUUCUUGAUCUAUAAUACCACAUUUAACUUAUUUAAUCAUCGCAUUAUUCAAUUUCAGACCAAAAACACAUUAGGGAAAAAUUUACAUUUUUGCCCCUAACUUUUCAACAUUUUAUGAUUUAGUCUCUAGGCUCGUAAAAUGAAUUUUAUUCAAUUUCAUCACAAUCCAAGCCUAGAUAAUUUUUAUUUAUACUCAUAACAGCCCACAUUUUUCAUUUAUUCACACUUUACUACACAUUCUAUAGACUUUUACAAAUAAGUCCUUAUUUAACGUUUUUAUCGAAAGUCACUCUGCAAACGUUGUUUAACUAACAACGGACAUGCAUUUUCUACCGUCAAACAUCAAAAUACAAGCAUAUUCAACAUAGGUAAAAUUUUAGACAUAAAUUUUCUUUAAAAUUAGUCUUUGAAAUAGCUAAAUCAAGUUACAACAAUCUCAAAAAUAUAAAAAUCAUUAAAGACGGGAAAAGAACGGACUUACAAUCGAACUUGAAAGUGGCCAAAACCCUAGCUAUGUCUUCCUCUUCAAAUUCGGCUAUUAGGGACUAAUUUGAGAAGAUGGACACUUUUAUUUUUACUUAUUUUGUCUUUAUUUACUAGAUUACCAAAAUGCCCUUCACUUAAACUUUGAAAUUUUACCUACUCCAUGUCCAUUUUUUUCUAUACUAGUAUAAUAGUCUAGUUACCAUUUAAGGACCUCUAAUUUAGAAUUUCAUAACAAUUUACUACCUUUAGCCUAUAGAAAUCAAAUUUUGCACCUAUUGCAAUUUCUAGUCAAAUUGAGUACUCAAUCGAUAAAAUUUCUUAACAAAAUUUUCACACAUUUAUUGUAUCAUGCUGUAGACCUUAAAGAAAUAGUAAAAUAAAUGUUUCUACUUCGAAUUCGUUGUCCCGAAACCACUGUUCCUAUUUGACCCUAAAACAGGCUGUUACAUUAUUAGUGUUUUAACUGUUGCUAUUAUGUGUGAAGUCAUAUUUUACAUUCAUAUUUUAGUAUAUGAUCUAAGUUAAACUCUGUGUGUGGGGGGGGAGAUGUUUUUUAACUCUCUUGAAACCGCCAUACUAUAUAAGUGGUACUAAAUUAAGAAUCUACAUAGUGGAUUUCUUGGUUAAAUGAAAUAAAAUAUAUUAGUGAUAGUAGAGAAAGUUGAUGGAUGCCGAACGAAGUUGAAACAAGUAGUAUGUUUUGAGAUAAUAAUUCGAGGUAUGGACUAAAUUAUAAAAAGUAAAAGUGAAAAUAUAGAAAAUAUGGAAAACUUGAAGGACUAAACUGGUAAUUAUACCAAGUGAGAUGGCUCAAUUUUAAAUAUUAAAAACUAUUAGGGCAAAAUAGUCAUGUUGCAAGUGAGAUAUUAUGUGAAAUUACCAAAAUUCCCUUAGAUAUUAAUUUACUUGUGGUAAAAAUCUGAAAAUAUUUGUGGUGGAAGGUUAGAAAGUCUAGUUUCUAAAACAUCGAACGAAUCCUGAUUUUGAAUUUCUUGGAUUGAGAAUUAAAUAAUUCAGUGGCUACUACUCAAGUAGAUAUCCAUGUUAUGUGAAUAUGUGAAAACAUUUGUUAUGCCUACAUGAGGAGAUCGUGAAAGAUUAUAAAUAGUAUAAGUAGACUAAGUGAUAAGUGAUGUGAAUUUAAAGAAAUGCUUAUAAGUGAAUGUGAAUUUGUGUUAUUGAAUUGCUUAUGUAGACGAGACUUGAACUUGUUGGAUAUAGGUGGCAUAUUAUAGGAAUAUUCAAGCGCUCCUAUGUUACUCGCACUCCAGUACCCCUAUUAUUUGCACUUUAGUGCCCCUAUAUGCACUCUGGUGCCACUAACAUAACACUUAUGUGCCCAUGUUUAUUUUGAGUAUCCAUCUUGUUCAUUCAAGUUUUCUAUGGGCUAAGCAAAUGUGGAAUGAAAUAUGUGAUGAAUAAUCUUGUUUAAGUAGUGAUAUCAAUUAAAUGUAUAUUUAAUUUCUUGUUAUUUAUGUUAUUAAUUAUUCAACUAAAACUAAAGGUAAGAUUUGAAUUCUAUGAGUACUUAUUAAGCUAUCCACGUAGCUUAACGUGCUCAUUGUCUUAAAUGCGUAAAUUGAAUAUUGAGUUCCAGAGGAUCAUUUUAAAGUAGGUUGACUCGGUUCACCUCUCAUUACCAAAGGAACGCUUGAAGAGUAUGAAAUUUAUACUUUGGUACUUAGAAUGGUACGUCCAUAGGUUUAGUACAAUGUGAAUUUAUAUAGUAAUCUAGUUUGAUGGUACAAAACUAUACCUUGCAUAUUUGUUGGUAUUUUAGACUUUGUAAUGCUUAAAUUUGAUGGAGUAAAAUUGAAUUAUAUGAAGUUUGGAUGACAAUUGUAGUGAAUUUAGCGUCUAAAUGUGAUAUCCUUUACUUGAGUUAUUGAUUAAUAUCGAUAAGGGAUAUUAAAUGUUUCAGGUGUAUUGUAACAAUGCUUUUGAUUUUCAUGUUUUCCUAAUCUUUAAAAAGUCAAUUCCUCCCUCUCCUUUUAAGUAGGAACACAUCCACCACCCUGCCAAGAUACCGUGAACGACAUGUUAUUGACCAACAUGGUCCAAACGCCUCUCUUUUUAUACUUUUUUUUUAAUCAAUGAUUGAGGGAAGGGGUUGUGCAAAGUUUAAAUCUAAGACCUGAUGUUAACAAAACCCUAAACAAUGCAAGUCAUUUGUCACUACACCAAGCAAAUUCAUCAAUUUUGUAUUUGAUGGAACCCAAUUAAUUUAAAUAUAGUAAUAGUUUUUUUUUAACUUUAAUGUUUUUAGAAUUAUUUAUUAUUUAAUGGUGAAGGGGUAUUAAAUAUACAUCUUCGCAUUAUAUUUAAUUGUUUAUGCCAAGUUUAAGUUUGAGUUUAAGUUUGAAUUUUAGAUGGAGUGAAAAAAACAUUUAAGUUUAAGUUUUCAAUUGAUAUUAAUUCUAAGUUUUAUCCUCGUACAACCUUUACCCUUUGAAAAAAAAAACUAAUAGUUAACACUUAUAGUCUUAGUAAUAUUUAAAAUUAUAGUCUCAAUGCAUUAUGCAUUCUCAACUUCAUAUUUGUUGCUAAAUUUGCAUCUAGCAACUAAUCAUCUCUUUUUUGUCUUUGCUUUUCCUUUUCCUUUGGCCUCCCAAUUAUUAAUACGUAUAAUUCUCCAUUAGUUUGCUUUAACUAUUGUUUUCUUUGGAUUAGGGAAUAUAUGGUAAGUCGGAAUGCAUGAGAAGGAGAAAGAGAGAGAGAUGAUGCAGAAUGAGAAAUGGGAGACAUCCCCACAUCCCUCAUAUUAUUAUUAGAUGCAAGGUCAUAGUCAUUCUUUUAGUGUACCUCCCAUUUUAUUACCUUUGUCUUUUGCCUCCAUUCCAUCCCCAUCCACUAAAUGCUCUUUGCCUUCUCUUCUCUCCUCUCCUCUCCAUUACUCUUUUUCUCACUCAACUUUGCAGCUCCCUUUCUCCUUCUCCAAUUAGGGUUUUCCUCUUUGUAGCGAAUAAUCUGUGAGGUUAGGUUUAUCAUCACUUCACUGCCCAAGGCUGCCUUAUCUUGGUAGGAGCAAACAACUUCCUCCUCAAACACAGCUAGCUCAUUCCUAUAAGGGGAAAAGGUACUUCCCUUUUUAUUCUUCUCAUAUCAAUAAACACAGAUCCAAAACAGGAUAUUAUAUAUGUGUAGCUGCUUUCUUCUUUUCUUUGCCAUUAACAUAUCUUUUCUUUUUUUCUUCUUUGUUGGCAAGCUAAGCUAAGCUAAGUUAAAGGCUCUAGUUUAGGGCUUUCUUAUGUUCGAAUACCUCAAAUAUACCUAUGAAAAGAUAAACUUGUCUUGGUGAUUUUGCACUUCUCAGAUCAGAUCCCAUCUUCAUUCGAUUGCAGAAAGGAUCCUAUGACUUUUCAGCUGCUCAUACAACUAAAUUUGCACCGCAAGUUAAUUAAGGAAUAAAUUAUUUUAUAUAUAAAAAAGAGACAAACUUCGGAACCAAAAUUGAUGGUGUGGCAGGCACAAAUCCUUGUGUGAAUCAUGAAGGUCCAGUUCAAGAAUUGAACUUCUUUUCUUUCUCUCUAAACGUACAAGAUAUUAGUACAAGAUAUUAGUAACUAAAGAAGGAAAAGAAAGAAAGAAAGAAAUUAAGAAAAAAGAAGGCAGCUAUAUAUGCAUAAAAUAAAUCAGUGCCCAGAUUUAUGAGGUUGUGUUUAAUUGUCUAUGCAAGGAUGUAUGUUCCAAAAGUUCUCCCUGUUGUUUGUCUCUGAGAGUGUCAGAAAGGUGGCCAUCGGAUUUAUUUUUCUCUUUAACUUCGAAACUUUUGGAUUUAUUUCCUUUGGUAAAGCAGCUGCUUAGAUCGCUAGAUACUGAUCAUAUAGAAGAUACGUUCAGGAAAACCCUAGUAAAUAUAAAUCAUAGAUUCUUCAAGAGUGAACCCCUGCGCUAGUUAAUUAUGAAAAUGAAAGGGAAGGAAAAACUGAAAAAUAUGCAGAAGAGGUUAAAUAGGAAUAUAGUUUUCCAAAACAAAUUUAAAAUCCCAUCAUUAAAGAACUAAAAUAUCUCUGCUUAUGCUCCAAACUUGGAGCUGAUAACAAAUGGUUGUUGUAAUUGUGUGCAUAGCAGUGAAGAUGGCUUCCUCCAGCUCUUACAAUUCACCCUGUGCUGCUUGCAAACUGUUGAGGAGGAAAUGCAUGCCGGGUUGCAUCUUUGCACCUUACUUCCCACCUGAGGAACCCCAAAAAUUUGUGAAUGUUCACAAGAUCUUUGGAGCAAGCAAUGUGACUAAGCUCCUGAACGAGCUCCUUCCUCACCAAAGAGAGGAUGCAGUGAAUUCCCUUGCCUAUGAAGCUGAGGCAAGAGUAAGAGAUCCUGUCUAUGGGUGCGUUGGUGCCAUCACUUUCCUGCAGAGACAAGUUCAAAGGCUCCAGAAAGAACUGGAUGCAGCUAAUGCUGAUUUGAUCCGCUAUGCCUGCAACGACAUUCCCACAGGCUUGCCUCAAGUGACGGGGACGAGUUCGGUUCAACCUCCUCUAACUCCCCGUAACAGGCUAGCUGAGUUUAAUAGAAGGGUUGGUAAUGAAGGAGGAGGAUUCUAUCAACUCCCUGGUGCCCUUCCUUAUUCUUUCCCUUGGAAUGAUGCCUCUUCAGGUGAUAUGAACGAUGGAGGUGGAGAAGGCGGUAUGUGAACCAACUUCAAUUUCAGGUAAUAUGCUCCGUUUAGGGUUUCCCUAUAUGGUGCAUAUGAUCUUGUUGGGAUGGGUGUUACUUUGUCUGGUUUAUGGCUAGCCUGUGCGUUCUCGAGCUAGAGAUAUUGUCACUUAAGUACUUGUAGUAAUAUUGUUUGCCUUACUAUCAAAAUUUGGUGGGUGCAGUAAAACUCUUAUGGUUGUCCUGCUAAUACCAGGGGCUUAAAAUGUGUCAUCGGCAUUGUACUAUAUAUGUUGUGGGGAUUUGGACCUAAAAUAAGGGGGUAAUAGAGCCAUAUCUAUUAUGGCAACUAAACCUUUUGUUGCGUCAUUAGUGCAGCAGCAGCUCCGGGCGUGGGUGCAUGUGGAGUUGCUCUUCCCUUCUGUCAUUUGUUUUAUGCUUUAAAAAAUAAGUGAGAUGAAAUAGUUGCGGUGUUAAGGUCGAACUUUAAAAAGGAUUCUCCAAGCCUAAGUAGUCUAUGCCCUAGUCCUCCUUUACGCUAUUUAUUCUACCUUUCUACUUUGUUCUUGAGGACCACCCGGUUUAAUUUUAUUCAUAGCCACAGAUUUCAAAUGCCCAAAAAUUCAACCCCAAGUUGCUCCUGAAUAAUUAAUCACUAUUUGUGUAUAUUUAUAUAAUAUAAUAUGCAGCAAGUUAAAUUCUUAAAUAUAUAUAGGAUCCGCCGGCUGACCUUCCAGCGAUAGCAUGUUCUACUAAUAUUAUAUUAGUGUUUUACUAAUUUAAAACCCCUAUACGUAUGAAACAAAUUUAAACAAAAUUGAACAGUCGGUGUCACUACUUUUUUUUCUGCUUUUUGAUUAAUCUUAUUCAAACCUCAUUGAACUUUAAGUAGGUUGUGCAGAAAAAUAAAAAAGAAGGAAAAGGGAGGGUGUGAGUUUGAGCAGUAGUUUCGUAGGUGGUGAGACCCAGCUGGCUAGGGCUAGCUUGCACCACCUCCCAUUUCCAUGGUAACAGGUAUUUCAAACAGUGAGUCACAGUUACUGUCGUCAUUGGAUCCGAUAUGUAAAACCAUUGGUUUACUCCUUGUUGCAUGGAAGGGUUGUUUCAGCUUUUCCUUCCCCAGCCAUUUCACUAUUAGCAAUUAGGAUCCCCCCACAUCACAUUAACCUACACUACAACAGUAGAACCUCAUUCACAAAAAGUCUCGACACACUCUCUCUCUCAUAAUUUUGCACCCUUCCUGUUUGUUUUUCUAUUGGUUUAUAUUUACUUUUUGAACGUUGUGAUAUUUUUUUUUGUUUAAUAUAUGAUAGGUAUAGCCUAGCUAAUAAUAUGAAUGGAAGCCACAGGGAAGAAAGCCAGAAACUUAGGAAGCUUAGGGUUUUUACAUUACAACACAUCACCCUACACUUAUAGUUUUUUUUUUUUUUUGAAAGGUCAGAAGAGGCAGUUGAAGCAUCAUAUGUCGUUAUCAAACAAAUUAAACUCAGUUAUGUCCUUAAAAAGGAAAAGGGGGUCUCACUCACUUUUGUUUUUCCUCCAAAUUAACUAAGCUGUCGUUUUCAAAAAUUAAACCAACGUCAACAAAGAUUUUUGAAGACAAUAAUUAUUAAUUUAGGGUUUGAAAGGGGGGGGGGAGGGUUGUUUUAAAUUUUGAUAUCCUUGACUUUGGAAUUUCCUUAAUUUCUUCGACUGUCUAAUUCAUUUCAUUUCAUUGCCAGCCAGCCACACGCUUGCAUUCAUGUGUCGUUGUGGAAAGCACGACGACCAUCUUCUGGUACUCCCACUUUUUGUCAGCGCAUACUAUUGAUCUAAAUCUACCGGCCCACAGGAAUGCUCAAUAUAUCUCUCCUCCUCUUCCAUCAAACUUUCAAAAACACACAUAUAUAUAUUAUUGCUACUAUAUGUAUCUGUAUUUCUACAGAGACAUAAGUACAUGAUAAGAUACUAUACUAAUAGAGAAAAAGUUAAGACUGUCCUCUCCUCUCCUCUUUCCCGUCUCUAUCAUUCAUGGCCUCUGGGUCUGCCAGUUGCAGUGAGAGUCACGUCUUUUGUCCUCCAAUUCAUCGCCUCCUCAUUCAUCCCAGUACUGCCCACUAUUUUAGUCCGUUAUGAUUUGGCCUCAUUUCACCAUUACCUUAUACUAAUAAAUUUUGACAUCAAUAAAAAGUAAUCAUUAUUAUUAAUUAAAUUAAAAGAAUGAGUUUGAUAGUUGUAGCUAUGGUACUGUUAGGUUUCAGAAGGUACUCUGAGAUCAGAGGGCAAGUAGGGCUUUUCUGAAGUUUAAGUUUAUUGGAGUAAAGCUUUCUGUUCCACUUCUGCUGCUGCUGCUGUUUUUUAAUUUCCCCUUCAUAUACCUGAAGAAUGAAAAAGUCAUUACUGAAUUGAGAAUCCAUCAAACCUUACCCCAUCAAUCUUUCACUGCAAAACGUGAAAAAGAAGCAAAGAGCAGGUUAAAAUUGACAGUGGGAUUUCUUUUCUUAAAAAAAAGAAAAGAAAAAAAAGGGGAAAUUGUAGCAAGGGAAAGGACAAAUAAAUACAGGGUGUGCGGGUCCUAUUUAAUUAAACCAACAGCCUAUGCCCCCCCCCCCCAUCCACACAAGAAAAACUCUUACAAAUGGUUGUGUCCGGACGGGGAGGGACUCAUCAUUUGUAUCUUUUAGGUUGGAUGUUUUUGAUGUUCCAAGACACUGAAAAAUGUUGGGAUUUGGGAAUGUGGGUUCUUGCUUUUUCUAUUUUACUUACUGCAUUCAUUCGCCAUCGAGAUCAUAUAUGAUACACCAGAAGAAUUUUUUAAAAAUUAAAAUUGAAUAAGUGUUAUCAUCUCAUAUUAUAUAACAUAUAUAUUUUCAACUAAUAAAAAUACUUCCGCCAAUGCAUGGUACACUACUUACAUAGCUUCAGCAAAGUUUCAGUGAAGCUCACUACUUCAGCUACUGGUAUUUUGUCGGCUCCUACAGAAGAUAAGUAUGUGUGAAUGACUAGCAUUUAUCCUAUUAAGAAAAUUUUAAUCUAACUUCAUUUCAAAUGUAAAAUCAAGGUUAGAUCGGAAAAACGUUUCACUUUUAUUUUUGAUUUUAUAAGCAUAGAUGGAAAAUAACAAAACCGUGACAUCACCACUAAUUCUUUGACAGCAGGUAAAAGACAACACAUAUUCUUUCCAAUAAAUCUAUUUGGAACAAAUCAUCGAAGAAUAAAGAGAUAUUUUUCGGCGGCAGUUUGUAAGAGAUUUACUUUCUGAAUUUCUUUUUCUUCUUUCCUUCAUAAUUAAUUCAUGAAUGCAAUUAAUAAAAAGGAAUACACUUUAUUAAUUUAUUACUUUAUGGAUUGCUUCCGAUUUCCAAAAGACCCUAACGUGUAUUCAGAUGCUCAUCAUAUAUUCAUAAUGCAAUUUACGUAAAUUAGACUAAGGAAAAAAGAAAUAUACCUAAACACUUGUCUUAACAAAUCAUAUAUAAUCAAAAAAAAAUUUUAAAAAUGUGGGUCGUGAUGGUGAAACUAAACUUUGAAUCUACCCUAAAAAAUGUGGAAAACCAUUAACAAAUAAACUAUGGGUCAUGAUCGUUGUUAAUAUUAACCAUGUUACUCUUUUGUUCGCAACCGCCAUUAGAUAUGAUGCUGCAAAUGCAUCAUUACCCAAAUCUAAUGGGCGUGCUUUUUUAAGUUUUUAUCUUAUUAUAUUUUUUAAUGAUAAAUAAAGGAUAGGGAUUGUCCAGAAAUUUAAUCCGAGAUCAGUCUACCAUUUUUUUUUCUUAAUUGAGUUAAUGUAUAUUUUUAUACUCCUUUAAUGAAUUAGAGGAUGAUUCAUCAUCUAAAAUUUCUAAAAGUAAUUCUAUUGAUUAUAUUACAUUAGCUAAUUCACUUUUCGUGCCUAGCAUUACAAAUUGUUAGUACAUUAAAUAUAAAUAUUUUUUUACCUAGAAGAAUUAUGAACUCAACAGCCUACCAAUAUUUUUUUAAAUAAAUAUUUUGCUUAAUUAAAAAAUUUUCUCUUAAGGAUUUAUUUAUUAAAUAAAUUUUAAAUAAAAGGACUUUGCCUUAUUAAUUAAUUACCUUAUGUAAUCAUGUGAUUAAUAAAUAUAAUUUAUUUUUUACUUUAAGUUACAAGUAUAACCACAAUUACAAUAAUAAAUAUUGCAUCUAAAAUUAUAAAAAUAAUAAUUUAUUAUAAAGUAUUAUUAAACUUACAAGUAAAUAUCUCUAAACCUAAACUAGAAUAAAUAUAUAAUAUUCAUAUAUUGUCAUACAGACCAAAAAUUCAUACAUAAUUUAUGUAAAGUAAAACUCAAGCUUAACGUCCUAAAAUUCUCAAGAGUCUGUACAAUAAUAAAUAAACUAAAUAAAAAAUAAGAAGAGAGUAUAAUAUUUAUUUUUAUUUACAAUUUAGUCGUAAAUAAAUAUUAAAGGGUUUUUAUGAAACUUGAAAGCAAUAAAUGUAUUUUAUAUUAAAUUUGAAGGAGGUAUAGAAUAGGUGUCUUUUACGUUAAGCAUGCAUCUAAGCAACCUAAAAAUGGCAGGGCAUUGAGAUACGGGGCGCAUACAAAAGAUACGUUGCGAAAGAGAAAGGAUAAACAUAUGUGGUUAACUUUUUUUGUAGAUUUCUUUUUUAUUUUACGAUUAAUUCUUUGUAAUAUUAUAAAAAUGACAAAGCUGAAAGUGCUUCUUUUGUCAGAUUGCCAAUGAUGAUAGUCAUCAUGGGUGUUAUUACAACUAAUACAGGGAGAUUAUGGGUUCAAAGAAUUGCGCUUUUGUCGGAUACAUAACAUAUAUAUAUAGUUUUUCUGUCGUCCAAAUAUUCUUUAGGCAAGCGAAGAAGAAAAGGGAGAUCACAGCCGAAUUGCAGUUCAGAAUUCGGAGAGUACCAUUUCUUGUAUUGUUAUGUGAACAUAUUAUAUAUAAAAGAAAAGCAAAAAUAAUCUGGAUAUGAAAGAUUGCAAGAAUAUGUUGCAGCGGCGCUAGCUGAGUAUUAAUUAUUCUUGGGGAAAAUGCUGUUUGGAAGUGUGAAUAAAUAAUAUUUAAGGAAUGUAUUUAAUAUUUCUCUAAUCAUAUGAGCAUAAAGUGUUAAUAUCUCGUCUCCUUCGAUCGAAUAUGUGCAGGUUUUGACUUGGGGAAAGUGGCCUGCCCAGUGCGCAUCAACCAUAAAGUUGGCACCACUUCUUUUCUUCUUUUACAUUUACAUUUGUGUUGUAUAUUAUAUUCAGUAUAAUUAUAGUUAUAAUUUAUUUUAAUUUAAUUUUGAUACGUUAUCUUAUUGGUUUUAUAUCCAUUCUAACUAUAUUCCACUUGAUUUUCCAUUUGAAGAGAAUACAAGUCAAAUUCAUCAUUGAAGCAAAGCAUAUUCUCUUCAACUUGUGAAUUCUAAUAUGUUAGUUUUGUUUGAUUUUAGCAUUUUCCUAGGGCACAUUGCAUUUCACAAGCCCUCUGUGACCUGAAAUUUCUAAGAUAUAAUUUAUCAUUCUUAUUAAUUAAUCGUUAUUUGUUGACCGAGUUUUAACUCAGUUAAUCACCAUUGUUGUAAUAUCAAAAAGGACAUGAGUUUAAUUAUGCUUAAGCAUAUUACCAUCUGAUUUAAAGAAUAGAAAGUUAAAGAUAAUUUAGGAAUUGUAUCAAAAAUAAUAAUCAAUAGUUAUUUACACAGAAGGUUAAAUUUCUCCUCCUUAAAACUCUAAAGCAGAAGAAUCAUUCCUAUAUUGAUUUCAAAACAACAAUGACAACCAAUGCCACUCAUUCACAUCAUAUCAUAUCCUAGCAUAGCACGUUUGAGACCAACAUGACACAUUUCUUGAACUAUCUAGAACUAUACCUCAAUCUAUUUACAAAGGGGUGUAGGCAAUCCAUCCUUAUUUACAAUGCAUACCAGGGAAGAUAGAGGUUGUAUCACCCAGCCUUCAAUACUUGUCUUCUCUUUGUAUUGAGUGCAACCAAUCAACAACCUUAUUUGCAUUACAUCUGAUCAGGUUGAAAUCAAAACAUCAAUCAUUGUUCAUCGGCUUAUCAAUUAAUUUCCUAGAAAAUUAUCUUAGCCUUUAUCUUUGCCUCACUUCAUUCUUAUUUUGUUGAAGUUUAUCUAAGAAUCAAUUUCCAAGAUCAUCUUAUCAUAGUUAUUUUGGUUAGCCAAAUCUAUCCAUGUUUUAGCCAAUGCCUCUACCAUGUUCGAGAAUCACCCAUCAAAUUCAUUCCUAUUACAACUAAAAAUCUUCCAUUAGCAUCUUUCCCAGUCAUUCUUACCCAUGCUUGCUUCAAUUUAGAAUUGAAUGCAUCAUCAUAGUUUAUUUUAACCCAUCCUUCACUUGUAUUUUGCCAUUGUAUAAUAGAAAUAUCUACCUUAUUUCUGUUAGAAUUAAAUGACCCGAAUCAUUAUUUAAAUAAAAUACAGUGGUAAAAUAAAAUAAAAGUAAAAUCCAUAUAGAACUACACUUCUUUUAUUUUAUUUUAAAAUAAGGUUUUUUAAACAUUAUUAAACUCCAUCUAUUUUAUAUUGAUUAGAAUAAAAUGUUUCAAUCUUAUUAGAAUAUGGCUUUACAAGCCUAUAAAUAGACAUAGUCAAUUCCUCUAGUAUUUCAUUCGAAUUCGACAUAGUGAAAUUUCUUCUCCUCUACCCGUGGUUUUUUUCCCGAAAGGGUUUCUAUGUAAAAUCUGUGUGUUCUUUAUUUUAUUUAUUUUAUUUAUUUUAUUUUAUUUUCAUAAAUUGGUAUCAGAGAUUCUGGAUAGUUCAUCUCGAUCACGGUAAUGGCGUCUUUGAAGUAUGAAAUUUCGCUGUUGGAUCGCAACACCAGAUUUGCAUUGUGGAAGAUUAAGAUGCAAGUAGUUCUUGCACAGAUGGAUCUGGAGGAUGCCCUGCUAGGGAUAGAUAAGAUGCCUUCGGCAUUAAUAGAUGAAAAGAAGAAACGUAAGGAUCGAAAGGCGUUAACACAAUUACAUCUGCAUUUGUCCAACGAAAUUUUACAGGAUGUGAUGAAGGAGAAGACCGCCACUGUAUUAUCGAAGAGGCUGGAACAAAUAUGUAUGUCGAAAACUCUAACAAGCAAGUUGCAUAUGAAGCAGCGUCUUUAUGCUCAUCGUUUGGAGAAAGGUGCGUCUGUACACAAACACUUAACAGUGUUUAAAGAAAUUCUCUCAAACUUGAAGGCCAUGGAGGUUCAGUAUGAUAAGGAAGAUCUAGGUUUGAUUCUAUUUUGCUCGUUGCCCCCGUCUUAUUCAACCUUUAGAGGCACAAUUUUGUAUAGCUGCGAGUCUCUCACAGUUGAUAAGGUUUAUGAUUUUUUGACCUCGUAUGAUAAGAUGAAGUAUUUUAUGGUUAAACACGACUCUCAGAGAGAGGGUCUUAUUUUUCGUGGAAGACAAGAUCAGAAUGCUGAUGAUGAUCGUGGAAGGACACAGAAAAGGAAUCCUCGCGGUAAAUCUAAGGGUAGAUCGAAGUCUUCAAAUAGAGGUAAAACUUGUAACUUCUACUAGAAGAAAUGGCACAUUAAAUCUGAGUACAAUAAGCUACAAAACACGAUUAAAAGAGAGGCUGCGAAUCAAAAGGGAAAACAACCAAAAAAAUUUGGUGAAGCUGAUGUUGUAGUAGACUACAGCGAUGGUGAAUUUCUAGUCGCUUCUGUCAACAAUUCUAAAGUGAGCGAGGAGUGGAUACUUGAUUCAGGCUGUACCUUCUACAUGAGUCCCAAUCGGGAUUGGUUUACAACUUACAAAACAGUAUCUGAAGGUGUUGUUUUGAUGGGAAAUAAUGCUUCAUGUAAAAUCGCAGGUGUUGGAACAAUUAAAGUUAAGAUGUUUAAUGGAGUGGUCAGAACACUGGGUGACAUACGACAUGUUCUAAAAUUGAAAAAAAAAUUAAUUUCGUUGAGUACUCUUGAUUCAAAAUGGUACAGAUACACAGCUAAAAGUGGAGUUUUAAAGAUUUCCAAAGGUUCCCUUAUUGUGAUGAAAAGGCAGAGAAAGACUACCAAGUUAUAUGUUUUGCAGGGUUCUAUCGUUACUGGUGAUGCAGCUGUUGCUUCCUCUUCUUUGUCAGAUGAUGAUAUUACUAAACUUUGGCAUAUGCGCUUAGGGCAUAUGGGUGAAAAUGGCAUGGCAGAAUUGAGCAAAAGAAGACUUCUUGAUGGGCAAAGAAUUUGCAAACUGAAGUUCUGUAAGCACUGUGUUUUUGGGAAGCAAAAGAGAGUUCGAUUCACUAGAGGAAUCCAUAACACGAAGGGAACAUUAGAGUAUAUUCAUUCUGAUCUGUGGGGGCUAUCCAGAGUGCCUUUGAGAGGUGGAGCUAAUUAUAUGCUAACUUUUAUUGAUGAAUUUUCGAGAAAAGUUUGGGCGUUCUUUUUGAAGCAAAAAAGCAAUGUGUUUUUCGUAUUUAAGUCUUGAAAAAUUAUGAUUGAAAAACAGACGGGAAAACAAAUAAAAUACCUUCACACAGAAAAUGGCUUAGAGUUCAGUUUUGAUGAGUUUAAUAGACUAUGCAAGUCAGAAGGGAUCAUGAGAUACUUGACAGUUCGUCAUACUCUACAGCAAAACGGUGUUGCAAAACGAAUGAACAAAACGAUCAUGGAGAAGGUUCAAUGUAUGUUGUCAAAUGCUAACUUACCAAAGUCGUUUUGGGCAGAAGCAGCCUCUACUGCAUGUUUUUUGAUCAACCGAUCUCCAUCCGUUGCCAUUGAGAAAAAGGCUCCAUAAGAGGUAUGGUCUAGUAAUCCUGUUAAUUAUUCUAACUUAAAGAUCUUUGGGUGUUCUACGUAUGCUCAUGUUGAUAAUGGAAAAUUGGAACCGAGAUCCAUUAAAUGUGUUUUUCUUGGUUAUAAAGUCGGUGUAAAAGGGUAUAAGUUAUGGUGUCCUGAAAAUAGAAAAGUUGUGAUUUGCAGUGUAAUAGCUCGAAUUUCAGCAAUGUCGAAAAUAGUGGUUCAAGACCAUCAAAUUCGACAAAUGAACUCGUAGAUUAUAUUAUUUAAUAUUUACGAGCCAAAUGUAGUUUUUAAAAGAUUUUGAAAUAGUAAAUUGUGUUUUAUAAAGAUUUAUUUGAUUAAGAAAUUGAGUAAAAAAGGUAUCGAGAUCUCGGUGUUAUAAACCGAGCCAUAAAUAUUUUUAUCAAUAUUUACGGAGUUUCAAUAAGGUAGUAUUGAAAUUUCGUUUGAAAAUUUUGACGUUUGGAUGGUUAAUUAAAUAAAAAGGACUAAAUUAAAAAAUGUGUAAAAGUUGCUAAAAGGAUUAAAUAGCUCAAUUGUCAAAUGAAGAAGAACCUAAAGUAAAAAUAAGCCCAAAGGAGAUAUUUUGGGCGGCAAUAGCUGAGAAAAAUCAAGAAAUGGGUGAAAUAAGGGCAAAAUUAAAAAAUUGUCAAAAUUAGCUAAAUAAAAAUGGGACUAAAUUGGAAUAUCUAGAUUUCUCUUCAAUUCUCUUCAUUUUCAUCAACUGAAAAAUAGCCAUGGAAGAGGCUUCAAGCUGGUUUUCAUACUCUAGCUUCAUGUAAGUUUAAUUCUUGCUUUCUCCUUGAAAUUUCUAUGUUUUUGUACUUUUACAAUUGGGUCCAACUUACUAUUUUAUUAGUUUUUGAUUUCAUGGCUAAUUUUUUAAAGUUUUUAUGGAUGAGUGCUGGAAUAAAAUGAUGAAUAAACAUAGAAUUGAAGCUUUAGUUUUGAUAUAUGAUAAUUUUAUCAAGUAAAAUUGAUGGAAGUUGAUUUGAGGACCUAAUUGUGAAAAUGUUUGGAAUUAAAGUCUAGUGCUGAAAUUAUGAUUUCCAAGGGUUGUAAAGUAGUUUAAAAUGAUAGAAUAAAGUGUUAAUUGAGAAAAAUCAGUUCAAUUGAGAGGCUAAUUGAGUAGGGACGAAAUCAUUAAUUAUUAAAAGCUUAGGGGAAAAAUGGUAAUAAACAGCCUGCACUAAAACAAGUUUGGACAGCAGCAGUAGACUAACUUUGAAAAAUCACCAUAAAUUUUAUAAAUCAAAUUAGAAGAUGAAAAAAUAUGAAAUUAAAGCUUAUUGAGUCUAGUUUCUCAUAAAAGAAACAGUGUAAGCAAUGGAUUUGUAAAUCAUGAGAUAUAAUAAAUUUUGUGAGACAAGGUCAGAAUGAAUUCGGGUUCCCCUGUUCUGAAUUUUAAAAAUAAUAAAAAAUUGAAUAAAAAUAAUUAAGGGCUUAAAUUUAUAUUUCUAUAACCCUAAAUGAGUCUAUAUUCAAGAGAAACAAACGAGAACAUCAUUCGAAUCCUGUAUGAAGAGAUAAUUAUUUUUUAGUGAAGAAGGGUCAGAACUGUCAGACAGCAGAAUAGGGGUGACUUUAAAGAAUAAACUGUACUUAUUGGCUAAACCAAAAAUUCUGAAAAUUUUAUGGUAAGAAGAUAUGUGAGUCUAGUUUCAGGGAAAAUUAGAGGAUAUUAAUUUUGAGUUCCAUAGCUCCAGAUAUAAAUAAUUGAGUGACUAUGACACGGGUGAAUAGCUUGAAUAUUCACAUAAAUAAUUAGUGAAAAUUAUGGAUAAGGUUACUUACAAGUGUGUUAUUUAUACCAAGGAUGUGGAUAGAGAGGAGGAGGAGGAAAAAUAUAUGAAUGAAUCGUGUAUAAAUUGAUCAUAUGCCCGUUUAUAAUCGAUAAAUGUUGAAUUAGAAAUGAUAUAAUGUUUUAUUUGGAAUAUUUAUUAUGAAAUUAUGAUUAUCACUCUAAUACAAAAAUUGAAGUUGUGAGUUUAUAUGGCUAAGUUUUAGUGAUUAUUUGUUAAUUUUAUGAAUUUCAUGAUGUGUUAUUUCAUAUGUAUUGAUGAUAAAAUCGUGAAUAAUGUAAAAGCAUGAAAAUUGAAUAAAUGAUCAAAUUGAGCACUUCAGUUCAGUGACAAGGUGAAUUGACGGAAAAGAACAUGGUUGGACUAUGGCAACCAGUGAUAAGUGAUAGCUUCGGCUACACUUAUCUGAUCAAGGAUAAGUGAAAGUGAUAAGCAAUAGCUUCAGCUACACUUAUCUGAUCAAAGAUAAGUGAAAGUGAUAAGUGAUAGCUUCGGCUACGCUUAUCAGAUCAAGGACAAAUGACAAGUGAAAAGUGGUAGCUUCGGCUACCUGAUCAGUGAAAAGUGGUAGCUUCGGCUACCUGAUCAGUGAAAAGUGGUAGCUUCGACUACCUGAUUAGUGAAAAAUGGUAGUUCUGGGUACCUGAUCAGUGAAUAGUGGUAGCUUCGACUACAAGUGACAAGUGAUUUCCGUAUAAGACUAUAUUUGGGAUAUGGCAUCGGUGUGAUAUAUGCUACUAUAUAAGACCAUAUCUGGGAUAUGGCAUCAGUGAGAUAGGUAAUUCGAGUAAGACCAUAGUUGGGCUAUGGCAUCGAUAUGUGAUCCGUGUAAGACCAUAGCUGGGCUAUGACAUCGAUAUGUGAUAUGUGAUUACGUGUAAGACUAUAGCUGGGCUAUGGCAUCGAUAUAUGAAUAUGUGUAAGACCAUAGCUGGGCUAUGGCAUCAUUAUGUGAAGAUGUGUAAGACCAUAGUUGAACUAUGGCAUCGAGAAAACGAAGUACUCAAUUCCGUAAGACGUUCACUAAUUUGACUAAGUUUGUUAAGUGUUACAUGGAAUUAUGUGAUACAAGGAAGUACGAGUUGAUAAGAUAUGAGUAUAGAAAUUGGUUGAUAAAUGAAUUCAUUUAUGAUUAUAUAAUUGUUCAUCUUGAAUGUACUGUCCAUAUGUAUUGAUAAUUCAAAUGUUUUAAUGAAUAAAGUUCCGACAUGGAAUAAAUUGAACACGAGACAAAUAAUUAUAAAAUUGAACUCAGAAUUCAUGAAAAUGCCAGUUAUUGAUAUAUGGAGACAUGAGACAUUGAUAUAUGAAUAUGGAAAAUGUUUGAUAAAUGUGUUCAUUCAUAAUUAUGGAAUUAUAUACCUCAUGUGUACUAUUUGCAUAAAUAUGAUAUUUCAAAUAUUUUGGUUAUUUAAGCUUAAAUAUGAAAUAGUUUGAAAUCAAGAUAAGUUGUUAUGAAAAUAUAUUUAGAUUACAGAGAUAUGGCUGAUAUAUGUUGUAUGAUUACAUAACGUGAAAUUAUGUAUAUAUAUGAGAAAUUUAAUGAGAAUUGAGCCCAUACAUGUUUCUUGUUAUUUAUAUGAAGUGUACGACUGACAAGGGUGAUGAAGUUAUAAACAGAGAGUUACACGGGUUGAAAACACGGGCGUGUGACUCGCCAAAGUGUGAAAAAUUUCUAAGUCUUGCAAAAGUUUCAUAUCUUUACGGUUUGGUCUCGAACCACCCUGAAUGUGUGUUUUGCGCCCCGUAGGCCCAUAUAAGGGACGUUAAACAUAUGUAUGAAAGUUUUUAAUUUAGAAGAAAUUUUAUGGAUGAUUUUUACAUGAUUGAACAUAUUAAGUUUGGUAAUUCCUCGUACCCUAUUCUAGGCUCGGAAUACGGGUAGGGGGUGUUACAAGCAGAGAUGUCGUUUUUUAUGAAACUGCUAUGCUACCUAACUUAUCUCUUAAAGACUCUUCUAGUAAAGAAAAUCAAAAGCAGGUGGAGCAUCAGAUUAAUACAGAGUCGACUCCUCAAGCCAGUACAGAAAUUGAGAAUAGAGUUUCUUCUUCACCACAAUACUUUAUUGCCAAAAAUAGAACUAGAAGAGAAAUUAAACCUCCAAAGAAGUAUGCCGAGGUUGAUCUAGUUGCUUAUGCUUUAAAUGUGGCUAAAGAUAUAGAUACAAACUGAGAGCCAUCUAAUUAUUCUGAGACAGUUAGCUAUGAAGACUCAGAAAAGUGGAUUUUUGCUAUGCAAGAGGAGAUGGAAUCACUCCACAAAAACAGAACAUAGAAUCUUGUGAAACUUCCUAAAGGUAAAAAGGUUGUUCGUUGUAAAUGGGUGUUUAAAAAGAAAGAAUGGACUCCAGGAGUUGAAGAACCUAGAUAUAAAGCAAAGCUUGUUGUAAAGGGUUACAGUCAAAUUCCAAGAGUGGACUUCACAGAUGUGUUCUCCCUAGUUGUGAAGCAUAGUUUGAUUCGAGCUUUGCUUGGUAUUGUGGCCAUGCAUGAUUUGGAGCUUGAGCAGUUAGAUGUAAAAACUGUAUUUUUGCAUGGAGAACUUGAGGAAGACAGUUACAUGCAACAACCAGAGGGUUUUACAGUCUUAGAAAAAGAGGACUAUGUUUGCUUGCUGAAAAAAUCCAUUUACGAUUUGAAACAGUCACCAAGACAGUGGUACAAGAGGUUUGAUUCCUUUAUGACUUCUCAUGAUUUCAAAAGAAGUAGUUUUGACAGUUGUGUUUUUAAGAAAAACAGUGAUGGUUCUUUUGUGUAUCUACUUCUUUAUGUUGAUGACAUGUUGAUAGUAGCAAAAGAUAAAGGAAAGAUAAGAAAGGUCAAAGCCCAACUAAGUGAAGAAUUUGAAAGAUUUGGAACCAGCAAAAAAGAUACUUGGUAUGGAGAUUCUUAGAGAUAGAAAAGCAAGUAAAUUGUACCUAAGAAAGGGUACAUUGAGAAAGUUCUUUGCAGGUUCAAUAUGUAGAGUGCUAAGCCUGUUAGUACUCCUUUAGCAGCCCAUUUCAGACUUUCAUUGGCUUUGUCUCCACAAUCAGAUGAUGAGAUUGAGUACAUGUCAUGUAAUGACUUAAAUUUUACCGAUGUCGAAAAAGUGUAUUUUCGGGUCUUUAUUUCUGAAAAGUGGAUUCGUAAAUAUUUAUUUAAAAAUAUUUACGAAGUAAAAUGAGUGGUUAAUUAGAGUUUAAUUAAGUGAAUUUAAUUUAAUUAAGAAUAAUUGGAUAAAAGGAUUAAAUUGAAUGAAGUGUGAAAGUUUAAUUAAGAAUAAAGAAAAUUAAAAGGACUAAAUAAGUAAAUAAACCAAAAAGAGUGCCAAGUGUAUGGCAAAAAUAAAAUACAAGUAUAGUAAAUAUAAUACACACAUUUGUAAUACAUAUAUGUAUUUGCUUAUUAUUUAAGUAAAUAUUAAUGUAUUUAUUAUUAUUAAAUUAAUAUUUUAUGAUAAAUAAAUAAAAAGUUGACAAAUGUAUGGUAUGUAUAGUGACAUGUGUGAUACUAAUAUACAUAUAUUUGUAAAAUACAUGUAUAUUUACUUAUUAUAUAAGUAUAUUAUUAAAUUAUAUAUUAUUAUUAAGUAAAAGAUAUUUAUAUAAUAAAUAGAUUAGUGAAAGACAAAUGUGAUAUUGUAAUGGAUACAAAUAUUAAAAGAAUAUUUGUUAUUAAAUAGAUUUUUAUAAUGGAUAAUUAUUAAGUUAUUAUAUUAUAUAUAUAAUGGUUUAAUGAAAAAAAGAAAGAAAAAGAAUAGAAAUAGAAACAGAAUAGGCAAAACGAAAAGCAGGGAAAGAAAGAAAGAAAGGAGAAAAGAAAGAAGAAAGGGAAAAUUAAAGGUUUGAAGCUUGAGGUUUAAAUAGCUAACGUUGUCUUGGGAAAUCUCGACUAAGCAAGGAAAAAUGGCAAAGACAACGGGAGUUAGCUCGAGAAAAUACGGUUUGUAUUUCUAUAAUCCGAACCUAGUUAUUAUUUGUUAUAUUUUUUUUAUUUAAUACAAUUAAUAAAUGUUGAAGUGAGAAUUAUUGUGUUUAUAAUGGAAAUUGAAUAUUUAUUAGUGAAUUGAUUUAUGAAUAUAUAUAAAUGUUUGAAUUGAAAUGAAUAUUGAUGUGGAAAUUGAAUAAUAAAUAUUUGUUAUAUUGGAAAAUAUAUGUAGUUGGAAGUGUGAUAAAAUUGAUAGAAAAUUGUGAUUAUUAUGAAAUUGAAUAUUUAUUAGUGAAAAGUGAAUGGAAUUAUAUUGAAUUAAAAAUAUAUAAUUAAUUAAUUAAAAUAUGAAUUAAUUGAAAACUGAAAAAUGAAUUAAAUACCCUAUUAACUAGUCGGACUAGUCGAUAUAGUUGACAUGCCAUAGGAUAUGGAAGAGUACGGGUUUUGCCGGCUUACUGAUCAGGCACUUAUGUGCCAACUACUAUUACUGUUACCGUUACUAUUACCGAUUCGGCACUUUGUGUGUCGGAUAUUGUUACUGUUACCGUUACUGUUACUGUUUCAGAUUUGUUCUGAUGAGGUACUCUGUGUACCGUAAUGUUAAUGUUACUGUUUCGGAUUUGUUCCGAUGAGGUACUCUGUGUACCGUACUGCUACUGUUACUGUUACUGUUCCGGCUUCGGCCGACGAGGCACUAUGUGCCGUACUGGUGUGUUGGUUGGAUCCAUGUAUCCGUCUAGGUCCGAGUCAUGUUAAUAGAGGUAAAUAAAGGUAUAAAAUAACUGAUUAUUACUGAAUAAUUGACUGUUACCGGAUAAUUGACUGUUACUGGAUAUUAGACUGUUACUGAAUAACUGAAUAUUACUGAAUAACUGAUUGUCACUGAAUGAAUAACUAUUACUGAAUAACCUAAUUGUUACUGAAUAUCUGAUUUUACUGAAUAAUUGACUGUUACUGGAUAACCAAUCAAUUGAUCGAUACUGAAUAACUGGUUAUUAUUGAAUAAUUGAUUGUUACCGAAUAACUGACUGUUACUGAAUAAAUAAUUGUUCUGAGUGUUAAUGAACAUUACUGAUUGAUUAAUUGUUAUUGAAAAAUAAUAAAUGAUAUGAAAUUUAAAGUAGACCAAAACAUUGGUUGGAAAGUGAAUGUUUGAAUUCUCAUUGAGUUUGAAUAGUUCAAUAUAUAUAAAUUAAUAUGUUUUAUAAUUGUUUAAGUGUUCAGAUUAUAGAAAUACUACUGAGUGCAUACUCAGUGUACGGUUUGUUUCCGUGCGCAGAUUAAGUUAAGGCUAGACUGUUGAAUCAACAUCCCAGGCUGAUCCCGAAUUCAAUGAGGUAAAGUAUGUUGAGUAUUGGUAAUGACAUGUACCUAGGAUGUUUUGUGAGAGUCAUUUAGGUUGUAGAAGUAUUGAUGAAAUGAGUAAAUUAUGGUUGUCAAUGGUAUAUAGUAUGAAGUUGAAAUAAUUGAUAUAGUAAGUGAUAUAUUUAAAAAGAUUCAUUGGAUAGGUUAUAAAAUGUUUUAGAUUGGUAAGAUUUGAGCAUAUUUAAGUGUAUUUGGAUUGUUUGAAUGUUAUCAAAUUGUAUUGGUUGAAGUUUUAAUUUGCAGGGUUAGAAAUAUUUAUUUUAAUAAAAUAUUAUAAUUGAACUGUACAGACCGGUAAUGCACUAUAAUCCUGUUUCGAGGACGGAUAAGGGUUAGAGGGUGUUACAUGUCACUUGUUCCAUACUCUAGUGCAAUGGGAUCUCUCAUGUAUGUUAUGGUUUGUUCACGUCCAGAUUUAUCAUAUGCAGUCAAUGCAGUUAGCAGAUACAUGACGAAUCUCGAUAAAGAACACUGGAAAGUAGUUCAGUGGAUUUUAAGAUACUUACAAGGUACUAUGAUGUCUACUUACGGUUUUGAAGAACUAAAGAUGGAGUUAUUGGGCAUGUUGAUACUGAUUUUGCUGGAGAUCUUGAUAGAAGAAGAUCUCUCACAGAUUAUGUCUUUACAAUCUGAGGUUGUGCAAUUAGUUGGAAAGCCACUUUGCAAACUACAGUCGUUUUGUCUAUCACUGAAGCUGAGUACAUAGUGAUUACUGAGGCUUGUAAAGAAGCUAUUUGGUUGAAGGGACUCUUUAGUGAACUCAAUAAAGACCUUCAAAUCAGUAUAGUAUUUUGUGAUAGUCAGAGUGCAAUCUUCUUUACAAAAGAUCAAAUGUUUCAUGAGAGAACAAAAUACAUUGAUGUUCGGUAUCAUUUUGUUCGUGAUAUUGUUGUGAGCAAAAUUAGUACUCAUGAAAAUCCUACAGAUAUGAUGACUAAGUCACUUCCUAUAACCAAGUUUGAGCAUUGCUUAGACUUGGUUGGUGUUCAUUGUUGACGUUAAACCCUUAAGGGGUUUUAUGGAAGAGGUGAAGAACUUGUUCGUUAAGAGUUCGCGAUGAAAAACUUGUUCAUUAAGAAUUCGUGUCAAGGUGGAGAUUGUUAGAAUUAAAUGACCUGAAUCCUUUUUUAAAUAAAAUACAGUGGUAAAAUAAAAUAAAAGUAAAAUCCAUAUAGAACUACACUUCUUUUAUUUUAUUUUAGAAUAAGGUUUUUUAAACCUUAUUAAACUCCAUCUAUUUUAUAUUGAUUAGAAUAAGGUGUUUCAAUCUUACUAGAAUAUGGCUUUACAAGCCUAUAAAUAGACAUAGCCUAUUCCUCUUGUAUUUCAUUCGAAUUCGACAUAGUGAAAUUUCUUCUCUUCUGCCAUGGUUUUUUUCCCGAAAGGGUUUUCAUGUAAAAUUUGUGUGUUCUUUAUUUUUAUUUUUUUCACAAUUUCCCUCAAGUGUAAUGGUCACCUUAAUAGCCUCUUAAAAAUCCUACAACUCAUAAGCAAUCCCAACUUGGUUAAAGAAAGUGGAAAGUUCUCUAUUUUCAAACCUAUUUCUAUCAUCACUCUUGAUUAUGAGGACUUUGCUAAUCACAUGUCCUUUCUCAUUCAUUAGCCUUAUACAUAACUAGUUGAAAACCCUAAAAGAUUCAGAUUUCUCCUUCAAAAUUCAACUGGACAUAUAACGUAAGAGAUCAUCAAUACAAACAAAUAUAUGCAUUUUUCUACCAAGACUUUCUAUUUUUAUUGUCCCCCAAAGGUCCAUGUGUAAACAAUUUAAUGGAUUUGUUAUGUUGAUAUGUUGCAACACCUUAUGAGACAUAGGAUAUUGCUUUCCAAUCAUGCAUUCAUCAUAUGGACUUUCCACUACUCCACCAAGUUUUGGAAACCCACAAACUAAAUUGUAUCUAUCAAUUUUAUGAAGUCUUCUAUAAUUCAUAUGAUGAAUGCAUUGAUGUUGUGUCUCUAGAUAUUGUGUAGAAACUUUGUUGCGCUACAAUAAGUCAACAACUUUGUAGCUGUUAUCGAAAGUCUUAACACAUGUUCAAACCUGCUUGUUCGCUCGUUCCAUCACGUCACAACCUUCUUUGUUGAAACUAACAUGUAGUCUUUGAUCACCCAACCAAUUAAUACUGAUAAUUUAUCCUUAAGCCUUUCAACAAUAAACAUAUUCUUUAACUCUAGGCUUUUUGUUGUGUUGCAACAUUGGUUGAAACUAUAACAGCACGUUUACAGUGAAAUCAGAAUAGUGGUUUCGGGACCACAAAUUUGAUAUCGUAAAAUUUAUUUUAUUAUAUUUUUAAUAUCUAUAGCAUGUUUGAAUUAUGGUAUAAAAAAUUCGUUAAGAAAUUUUACCGUUUGUUUACUCAAUUUGUGAAAAAUGACUAAAUCGCAUAAAGUACGAAAGUUGUGUUCUAUUAGCUAAAGGUGCUAAAUAGUUAUAGAACUUUAAUGUAGAGGUCCUUAUUGAGUAAGUUCUAUUAGCUAAAGGUGCUAAAUAGUUAUAGAACUUUAAUGUAGAGGUCCUUAUUGAGUAAUUAGACCACUAAUUUAUGUAGUGGAUUUACAUGGAGUGUAAUCAUGAAAUUUGUAAGGUUAGGUUGAUAUUAGGUAAUAAAUUGAUAAAAUAAUAAAAAUAAAAGAAUAAGCUUCAUCUUUCUUCAUCUUCCAUCGAUUUUUUCAACAAGAAAAUAGCCAUUGGAGAGCUCAAAAUUUCAGUAACAUAAACCCCUAGAAUGUAAGUGAAUCUUUGACCCGUUUUUGUUGAUUUUUAUGCUCUCGGGACUGUUGUAGCUUAAUCUAGCUAAAUGGAGGGUUAAUUUGCAUUAUGGUUGAAAGUAUAGGGUUUUUCCAUGAGAGAUUUUUAGUUGGUCUUAAAUUUUAAUGGAAGAAUAUGAGUCUUUUUUGUUAAUUAGACAACUUUUGUUAAGGGAUUUUUAAUGAAAUUACAAAUUAGGGGUUUAUUUGGGAGUUUUGAAACCUAUGUGUUAAAUGAAUAAAAUUGUGGAAUGUAUGGGCUGUUAUAAGCAUAUAUAAGUUUUUACUAGGCUUGGGUGUAGUGAAAUUUCAUGAAUUUCAAUUUUUACGAGCCUAAGGACUAAUUUGUAAGGAAGUCAAAUGUUUAGGGGCAAAAUGGUAAUUUUUCCAUAACAUGAAAUUGGAUUGAAUUGAUUAGAAUAAAUAUUAAAUUAGUUAAAGUUUAUUAUAUAUAUAUAGAUCAAGAAAAGCCACAUUCGGAAUUAGAUCGAGGCAAAGAUAAAGUGGUAGAUUGAUCGGUCGAUUUAAUCCGUACAAAUUUCGAGGUAAGUUCGUAUAGUUAAACUAUAAUGUUUAUUUAUUAAAUUGAUGAAUGCUAUUAUGAUUUUUUUCAUAUUUAUUGUUGAAUUAUGAAAUAUAAUUAAAUGAUCAAAACAAGUAAAACGCAGGAUUGAGUAUAAUCGUUUUCUGGCAAAAGAUGAAUUGUCGAAUAAGACCAUGGUUAGACCAUAGCAAUAUUUUUUAUGUAAGACUAUAGUUGGGCUAUGGCAUUCGGAACAUAAUACCAUAACUGGGUUAUGGCAUUAUGAAUGUAUGACUAUGGCAGAGCCAUGGCAAUGUAUAUGUAAGACCAUAGUUGGACUAUGGCAUAGGGAAAACAAUGUACUCAUAUCCGUAAGCCGUUCUCAGAUUCAAAAAGACUUGGUAAGUGAUAUAGAAAUUAAUAUAGAAAGACUUAUGAUUAUUAUUAGUAUUGAUCUAAAAUAAGUGUAUCCAUUGAUCUUUAAAUGACUCAAUAGAUACAGAGGAUGUUACAAAGUUAUUCGGAUUGAAACAAACUAGUACAGUUAUUCAUGAGAAAUUUCGAGAAAUAAUUUGUAGUUGAUGUUUUUGCUAAUACAAUUGCGAUUUUGUGUUUGGCUUUGGGCCAAAUUGGUAUUUACCUAUGUUUUAAUUAUGCUUAGUUGAAUUGUAGAUGAUUUGGUAAGAUGUAUUUAAUAGUCAUACGAACUUACUAAGCUUAAUUACUUACUUUGUUUAUGUUUUCUGUGUUUUAUAGUAUUUUGGAAGCACUCGUUUCGGAAGCCGUCAGAGAUCGUGCCACACUAUCAAACUCUUAUUUUGGCAUUUUAGACUUUACAUUUUGGGUUAAAUGGCAUGUAUAGGUAUUUUGGCUAAUAUGGCGUAUAUGUCUUGUUGAAUUUAAUAGUCAUACGAACUGACUAAGCUUAAUUGCUUACUUUGUUUAUGUUUUCUGUGUUUUAUAGUAUUUUGGAAGCGCUCGGUUCGGAAGCCGUCAGAGAUCAUGCCACACUAUCAAACUCUUAUUUUGGUAUUUUGGACUUUACAUUUUGGGUUAAAUGGCAUGUAUUGGUAUUUUGGCUAAUAUGGCCUAUAUGUCUUGUUGAAUUUUAGUCAUUUGUUUUGGCUUGUGAAUUGGUUAUGUAUUUUAGUAUUUAUAAAUGACCUUAUGAUAUGUGGUGUGAAAUUGCUAUAAAAUACGUUGCUUGUGCAAGUGUGUUUUGGUACUAAAUGGUUGUACUUGAGAUGAGUACACAUAUUAGGUUUAGCACAAUAUCUCAUAUUUGUAAUUGACCAUUUAGGUAGACUUUGGAAAUAGGUUUGAUAUGGGUUAAAGUGGUCUAGUGAAUGUGGUUAUGGUUAUCAUGUUGUAUGUGUGGUUAGUUCGCUAUAUAAGCAUAAUAUUUGUGGGUUUUUAAUACCUAUUUAUGCCUUGGUUAUGUUUGUGUAUAGGUUGAUUUCAGUGUGGGUGAGGAAUAUGGCCUGGAAAAUGGCAUAUUUUUGUCCACACGGGCAGAGACAUAGAAGUGUGUCUCAGCCGUGUGUGACACACGGCCAGGUGACACGGCUUUGUGUCCCCUGAUAAUCCUUUAGAAAUCAAGUCAGUAGCUUCACAUGGCCUAGCACACGGGUGUGCGGCUUGGCCGUGUGGCACAAGUUAGUAUACCUUCUAGUUUUAGCAUGGCCUAGCACACGGCCUGGCACACAGGCAUGUGAAGCCAUCUCAAUGGGCACACGACCUGGCACACGGGUGUGUGGUUGGCCGUAUAAUCUAAGUCAAUGAGUCACACGGGGUCGGGCACAGGCUGAGACACCGCUAUGUGACCCCCUUUCAAAUGCCCACACGGCUGAGACACACGACUUGGCCACACGGACGUGUGUCCCUUGCAUUUUGAAAAUUUUCUAUGUUUUUCAAAAAAAUUUCUUGAGUACUUGGUUUAGUCCCAAACCACUUUUAACGUCUGUUUGGGGCCUCGAAGACUCGUAUUAAGGAUGGUAUGAAUGUAUUUGAAUGGUUUUUUAUUUGAGUGACAAUUAAUUAUGAAAUUGAUAAUUGUUUAAGUUAUAAGUCUGGUGAUGCUCCAUAACCCUAUUCUGGCAUCAGAUACGGGUUAGGGGUGUUACAAAAACAUAGUAAUUCCUUUUGAGAUCAUUAAGAAGCAUGUAACAUAUUGGCUUGAUAUGACCAAUUACCUAGCAAUAGUGAAAUACAUGUCUAUUUCCUUUCUUAAGAUGAUUUACAACGAAAACCUGUCCAUUCUUCUUCUUCUUUGACACCUUUACUACACCUUUGGCUUUUGCAAACACAAUGGUUGAAUUAGAAGACUCGCUUAUGUCUCCAAGCCUUUUAUAGUUGUCCUGCUACUUCAUGCAACAAAGAUUUUGUUAAGUUUUUCAGUUCUAGAUCCCAUUUUCUUCAAGAUGAUUUAGACAGCUACUGUAAUGACUCGAUAGUCACUGGUAUCGAAAAGUGCAUUCCCAAGACUCUAUUCCUAUAAAUUAGACUCGUAAAUAUUUAAUAAAUAUUUACAAAACUAAUUGUGUAGUUAAUUAGGUUUUGAUUAAGUGAAUUUGUAUGAAUUAAGAGUAAUUAGGUAUAAGGACUAAAUUGCAUAUAGGAUGAAAGUUGAAUUAUAGAUUAAAGAAUAAUUAAAGGGACUAAAAAAGUAAUUAUACAAUUAUUUCUUUAGUAGGACGGCAUUAGGUAAAUUAGGUGUAAAUUUAUUAUAUAUAUUAUAAUAACUAAAGUUAAAAUAUAUAUUAUAAUAUGCUUACUUAAUAUUUAAGUAAAUAUAUAUAUUAUAUAGUAAUAAUAAAACAAAAUAAGCAAAAGAAAUAAAGAAAGACAAAACCAAAACCAAAAUUAGAAAAAAGAGAAAGAAGAAAAAAAGCAGAUGCACGGCCUUAGGGGCUUCAAAAUUUCAAAGUUCAAUUGAUUAGUCAAUUUAGUCCCCUUUUCUUGUAAUAUUUAUGUUUUUGAAAUCCUGAUGUUAAGAAUUACCUGACCCAUGUUGAAAUUUUAGCAUUGAUUGAGCUUUUAAAUGUUGUUAAUGUUGAAUAAUUUUAGUAUUAGGGAUUAAAUUGAUAGAUUUUUAAGCUAGAAGUGUAUACUCCAAAAGUUACUGCAGUAAGAAACUAAAAUAUUUUCCUUGAUAUAAUAAAAUAAUGAAAUAAAGUGAAAAAAAAGGGGAAUUUUGAGUUAUGUCAACAAAAUUUGUUUGGGAAGUAUAUUAUGAUAUAUUAAUUCAAGAAAAGACUAAAUGCAAAGGUGAGAAAAGUUUUGUGGCUUAAGAGUAAAUUUGAAAAAUUGAAGGGUAUAGAUUGUGAAAUGAAUUGGAACUGAAAUAUAUGCUAAUGAAUGAGUAAUUUUAUAUUUUAGAAUCAAGAUUUUAUAGAUACUCGUGAAAAAGAAAAAAUAGCAGAAUAGUCCCUGAACUCCUGCAAUUAUUAUAAUUUAAUUCAAGUAAGUUCGUAUGGUUAAACUAUAAUGCUUUUUUAUUAAAUUGAUGAAUGGUAUUAUGUAUUUAUUCAUAUCUAUUGCUGAAAAUAAAAUUAUUGUUAAAUUAUGAAAUUGAAUUAAAUGUUCAAAACGAGUGGAACGCAAUAUUAAAUACAAUCAUUUUAUAGCAAAGGAUGAAUUGACGGGUAAGACUAUGGUUGGACCAUGACAAUAUUUAUAAGUAAGACCAUAGCUGGGCUAUGCCAUUUUAAUGAAAAGACCAUAACUGGGUUAUGACACUUUUGAACGUAAGACCAUGGUUGGACCAUAGUAGUAUUUAUAAGUAAGAACAUAGUUGAGCUAUGGCAUUCUGAUGAUAAGACCAUAACUGGGUUAUGGCACUAUGAAUGUAAAACUAUGGUUGGGCCAUGGCAAUACAUGUGUAAGACCAUAGUAGGACUAUGGCACAAAGAGAACGAUGUACUCGAAUGGUAAGUUAUCGGGAGUUGUCUUAGAUGAUAUAUGAAGAAACAGUAAAAGAUGAUAUGUAUCAUGAAAUGUAUAUAUAUUAAUAUAUUGAUAUGUGAUACAUGAAAAUUAUGUAAGUUGAGACGAGCAUAAAUUCAAGUGUGACAUGUAGAGAUAAUAAGGUUAUUGAUGUUGUAAUUUUAUGAAAUAUGUGCAAGUACACUAACAAGUUUUGUUGUUUGAUGCUUAGACAAGUGCCAAGCUAUUGGUAGAAUGGUAAAAUGUUUAUUUAUAUGAUGCAUUGAAGUGGAAAUUACUCAAGAGAAAAUAUGCUAGUGCUCAUGAAAAAGUGGUAAGUUUUAAAUUGUGCAAUUUCUUACGAAAUGACUUACCAUGUGAUCAAUUCGAAAAAGGCUUUGUUUAAAUGCACUAGCUUGUAACCAUGGUUGAAUGGUAUGUUUAUGACUUGUGUGUCAUGCAUAUGGAAUAAGUGUGGAAAGUAAAGAAAUGCAAAUGAAAAUAAAGAAAUUUUGAAGAGUUAAAGUUAUUUAAAUCCUACUAAGCUUGGAUUAAUAUGUAUAAGUGAGGUUGUGGAUUGAUUCACCUUGUGUGUGGAUGAUAUAGCUUCAUGAGUAUUGCGAUAUCAAUUUUGAAUUAUUCUUGAUAUGUAUAAAUUUCAUAUUUGAAAAACUGUAUUAUGAUUAAAGUUUAUACGAGCUUACUGAGCAUUCAUUGCUUAUGUAUUUGUUUUCCUUUACUUUUCAGAUUAUUGAAAGCUCGAUUGGGUUGGAAGCUUGUCGGAGUUGUAUCACACUAUCCAUCAGUUCUAUCGAUACUUUCGAAUGUUUUGAUUUUGGUUAUAAUGGCAUGUAUAAGUAUUUUGCUUAGUGAUGGUCUAUAUGUAAUUUGUUGGGUUUAGCCACUUAUUUUGGCUUGUUGAUAUGUGUAAUGUUGAUUGUAGAUUGACAUAAAAUUUGGGUGAGAAAUAUGGCUUGUAAAAUGGUUUAUUUUCAUCCACACGGGUAGAGACACAUGUGUGUGUUUCAACCGUGUGUAACACACGGUCACGUGUCCCCUGCAUCUUAAAUUUACACAAAAUAGAAUGCUCACACGGUCUAGCACACGGGCGUAUGACUUGGCCAUGUAACCCAAGUCAGUAUACUCAUACAGGCACGGACACGGGAUGAGACAUGGCUGUGUAUCCCUGUUUCGAAUGCCUACAUGGCCUGAGACACGAGCGUGUCUCCAAACCGUGUGAGUCACAUGGCCUAGCCACACGGCCGUGUGACACUUGUAAAAAUUUUAAAUAUUUUUGAAAAAAUUUCUGAGUUUUCGACUUAGUCCUUAUAUGUUUCUAAUGCGUAAUUUGGGCCUCGAGGGCUCGUUUAAGGGACAAGAUGUAAUAUUUUAAUUGGUUUCUAAUAUGAAUGCUAGAUGAAAUGAAAUGUUUGAAAAUUAAUUUGUAAACUUCGGUAAUGUUCUGUAACCCUGUUUCGGCGACAGAUUCGAGUUAAGGGUGUUACAAGAAGUGAAAAAGGAUUAAAUUGUAGAAUAAAUUGUAAAUUUUGAGUAACAGGGACUAAAUUGUGAAGUUUUUGAAAUUUAGGGAUUUAAUGAAAAUAGGGAGUUAAAUUUAGUUUUAAAGUGAAAUUUGUGUAAAAAUAUAAUAUUCAAUGUGAAGAAUAAAAAUUUUUCUUGUAAUGACCCGAAAUUUACAGUUACCAAAAAGUGUUUUUUGGGUCUCCGUUUUAGACAAACACGUUCGUAAAUAUUUAUUAAAAAUAUUUACAAAGAUAGUCGUGUGAUUAAUUAGGUUUUGGUUAAAUGAAUUAGCUUGAGUUAAGAUUAAUUAUGUGAAAGGGCUAAAUUGAAUAAAGGGUGAAAGUUUAAUUAUAGAUUAAAGAAAAGUAAAGGGGUUAAAUGAGAAAAUAAACCAUAUGUAACACUUGUAUGUUAAAAAGCAAAUACAAGUGUAUAAAUAUUAUACAUAAGUAUAAAAUAUUAAUAUGUAAAUACUUAAUAUUUAAGUAUAUAAUAAAAUAAUAUAUUAUUAUAAUAAUUAAAUAAUAAACAAAACAUAAAAAAAAGAACAAAAUUGGGAACGAAACAGGGGAAAGAAAGAAAAAAAAGGGAGAAAAGAAAAAGAAAGGAAAAACUAGGGUUUUAAGGUUCAGGGUUUAAUUGGUAAGUCAAUUUAGUUCAUUUUCUUGUAAUUUUGAUGUUUUUAGAAUUCUAGAACAAAAUACUACUUGAUUUAUGUUGAAAUUUUAGAAGUUAGUAAAUUUUUAGAUGUUGUUCAUGUUGAAUAAAUUGAAGAAUUAGGGGUUAAAUUGAUAGAACUUCAAGUUAGAAUUGAGAAAAGGAUAGAAUUGUAAAAUAAAUCAUAAGUUUUAAGUAAUAGGAAUUAAACUGAGAGAAUUUUGAAAUUAGGGAUUUAUGGUGAAAAUUAGAGAGUUAAAUUUAGUUUUAAGUGGUAAUUGAAUAAAAAUAAAGAAUAAAAUUGUGAAGAAAAUAAGGUUAAAUUUGAUUAAGGAUUAAAUUGGAAUUUGGGCAAAAGUUGUGUAUAAAUUGAAAUAUUCAAUGUUAAAUUGUGUUGUAUUAAUGAUUUUUAAAUUUUUUUUAAUUCCUUAGCUAAUGUUGGGCUAGAGACAUCGGUUAAGAAAGGAAAAACAAGAUUACUGAGGAGUAGCUCAAGAAUUACGGUUUGUAUUUUUAUAAUUCGAACUUAAUAAUUAAUUGUUGAAUUUAUUAUUUAAUGUGUACGGUAAGUGAAUUAAGGUGAGUAAUUGAUAUUGUGAUAUUGAAUUGAAUUGAAUGUAUUUUAUGAGCAUAUGUGAAUAUUUGAAUUGGAAUGAAUAUUGAUUGAAAUAGAAAAGUGAUUUGAAAACCCUAUUAAUUGUAUCAGGCUGAGUCGGAUAUAGUUGGCAUGCCAUAGGAUUGGAAGAGUUCAGGGAUACUUCGACUAUGAGUCGAUGAGACACUAGGUGUCACAUUAUUACUUUGGAUAAAUUCGAUGAGGUACUAGGUACCAACUUACUUCGGCAUGGCCGAUGAGACACUGGGUGUCAAUCUAUUACUUCAAAUUAUCCGAUGAGGCACUGGGUGCCAAACUGUUGUGUUUUGGUUGGAUCCGUGUAUCCGCCAAAGUCUGAGUUGUGUUAAUAGAGGUAAAUGAAUAAAUUGACAAUAAGUUUGAUAUUGAAUGGUUUUGUAAGUGAAUUGGAAUGGAUAGUGAAUUGAAUUGUACAAAUAAGAAACAUGAAUCAUGAAAUUCAUGGAAUGGAAAUUGACAUUGAAAGAUGAAUGUGGCAAUCAAAGUUGGGAAUAGCUAUUGAGAUAUUUAUUGAUGAGAAUUGAAUGUAUGAUAAUUGAUUUAUUGGUUAACUGAUGUUUGUGAGAUUAAAUAUAUAUAUGUGUGUUUACUAUGCUAAUUACUUAAAUAUUUGGAUUAUAGAAAUACCACUGUGUAAUACCCCAUACCCGAACCUGAGACCGGGAUAGGAUACGAGGCAUUACCGAAAUUUUCAGAAUAAUUUCAAUUAAUUUAUAUUAUUUAGUAUUCAUUUUCAUGUUUCAUGUAACAUCCUUUUCAUAUUUUCAAUUCAAAAUAUCAUAUAAAAUACGAUACAAUACUUAAAUUGUCAUAUUUACUUGCUCAUUCAGGGUAUCCGAACCUACCUGACUAAAUUGCAGAAAUACCAAGAUUUAGGGGCAUAUUGGUAAUUUACCAUUUUCUCAAAUUUCACCCAAUCUUAAAUUGAUAAUUUCAUUUAAUUUAUUAAUUUAGAUAAUAAAACAAUUUAUUCCCUUCAAUUUAGUCAUUUUUGACAUUUUUACAAAAUUACCCCCUAAAGUUUUACUUUUAUUCAAUUUAGUCCAUGAGCUUAAAACAUGCAAAUUAGCCAUGCUAACUGAAUAUUCAUAUAUAUUUUUUCCUCCUCCUCCUCUCCAUUCCACAUCCUUAAUGUAUAUAACAUUCUUGUAAGUACGAUUUCACAAUUUACUUAUUAAUACUCACAUCAAUCUGUUCACACGAGUCAUAGUCACUCAAUUAUUUAUAAUUCGAGCUACAGAGCUCAAAAUUAAGAUCCGUAAAUUUUCCCUAAAACUAUACUCACAUAUCAUUCCACCAUAAAAUUUUAAGAAUUUUUGGUGUAGCAAAUUAGUACAUUUUAUUCAUUUAAGUUUCCCCUGUUUCACUAUCCAACAGUUCUGACCUCUCUUCACUAAAAAUAAAUUAUAUCACAGUACAAAACUCGGAUAAUGUUACCAUUGAUUUCUAUUGAAAAUAUACUCAUUAAGGAUUCUAAGCAUAUAAAUUUUAGACUCUAAUUAAUUUUAUCCAAUUUUUGGUGAUUUUCCAAAGUCAAAACAGGGGAACCCGAAUUCAUUCUAACAUUGUCUCACAAAAUUCAUUAUAUCUCAUAAUUUACAAAUCCAUUGCUUACACUGUUUCAUCUAUGAAAAACUAGACUCAAUAAGUUUUAAUUUCAUAUUUUAUUCAUCUUCUAAUUCGAUUUAUACAAUUUAUGGUGAUUUUUCAAAGUUAGUCUACUUCUGCUGUCCAAUAUUGUUUUAGUUCAAGAUGUUUAUUACUAUUUUUCCUCUAAAUUUCAGAGGUCAUACAAUUCAGCCCUUGCUCAAUUAGCCCAUCUAUUAAGCUAAUUUUUAUCAAUUAACAUUUUAUUCCAUCAUUCUAAACUAUUACACAAUCUUUAAAAAUCAGAAUUUUAACACUAAACCUUAAUUCACAACUUUUUCACAAUUAGGUCCUAAAAUCAAUUUCUAUUGAAAUUACUUGAUAAAAUCAUCAAACAACAAAAUCAAAGCUUCAAAUUCAUUUUCUUUCAUCAUAAACAGCUAACACUUAUCAAUGAUAGCUUUUAAUUUUGUUCAUAAAAUCAAAAACUAAUGAAUUAAACACUUGGACCUAAUUGUAAAAGUCACAAAAACACAAAAAUCUCAAAGAAAAGGGUAAGAAUUGAACUCACAUAUGUCAAAGUAUGAAAAACCAGCAGCUUUCAGACCUCCCAUGGCGUUUUUGCUGAAGAAAAAUGAUGAUAUCUCUAGAUUUUUCAAAUUUGUCUUGUUUUAUAUGUUUAAUUUGCAAAAUUUCCCAUUUUGCCCUUGUUUCUCCUUGUCUUUUUUGCUGAUUUUCUGGCCCAACCGUCCAGCCCAUACAAUUUGGGUCCAAUUGCCUUUUAAAUCCCUCCUUUUUAAUCACUUAAACUAUUUAAUCACAAUUUAAUAAAUUUCACACUAUUUUCAAUUUAGUCCUUUUUAAUUAAUUGACUAACCAAACGUUAAAAUUUUCUAAUGAAACUUCAAUACUAACUUAAUAACACUCCAUAAAUAUUUAUAAAAAUAUUUAUGGCUCAGUUUAUAAAUCCGAGGUCUCGAUACCUUAUUUUCAACCAAAUUUACCUGAUUAAUUCUUUUAAAAUCGCAAAAUUCACUAAUUAAAAACAAUUCUUUUAAGUUCGCACUUGGCCUAUAAUUAUUAUUUGUUAAAAUUUCUAAACAUACUCGUCGGAUUUAGUGAUCUCGAAUCACUGUUUCCGACACCACUGAAAAAUUUGGCUGUUACACACUGAGUUUAUACUCAGCGUACGGUUUGUUUUCCAUGCGCAGGUUAGGUUAAAGUCAGAUCGUUGAAUCAGCAUCCAAAGCUAAUCCCGAACUCAAAGUGGUGAAGUGUAUUUCUUUUUGGUAAUGGCAUGUACCUAAGAUGUCAUAUGUGUGUCAUUUUGGAAAAUGAUUGUAAAUAAUGUUAAAGAAUGAUAUUAAUUCCUUAUAUACAUAAAUAUAAGUUAUGUGUUAUGUUGAGGUUAUAAAAUGGCAUAUUUGGGUUAAAGUGUGAAUGAAGUUAAUAUAUGCAAAUUUAGGUUGAUAUUUGGUAUUAAAUUUGGUUUGACUUGAAUGAAGUUAAAUUAAUUAAAUUGGUUAGUAUUUGUAAAGUAUCUAUGUUGGUACAUUAAUUAGAUAUUUAGAUUGAUGAAUUUGGCAUGUAUAAAGGUAUUUGAAUGUGUUUUGAAUUGGUUGAACAAUUGGAUUAUAAGUUUCUUGUUGUUCAAGAUUUGUAGGGUUGGUAAACUUGAUGUAUAAGGCUCAUUUUGAGUCCACACAGCUUGGCACAUGGGCAUGUGACCAGACUGUGUAAGACACACGGCUUAUACAUAGGCAUGUGGAUAGGUCGUGUGUCCCUUGCAAUUUAAAAUUUUCAAAACAGAAUGCUUAGGUAUUACCACAAGGGCAGAGAGACACGGACGUGUGUCUCAGCCGUGUGAGGAACACGGUCUAGAACACGAGCAUAUGCCCUAGCUGUGUGAAAACUACACAUAAUUUUUGAAAAAAUAAAUUGACCACACUGCUUAGCACACGGGCAUGUGACUUGGCCAUGUGAGGUAAGUCAGGGAGUUACACGAGAUAAGACACGGCCUGAAGCACAGGCAUGUCAUAGGGUCACACGGGCGUGUCCCUUGACCAUACGGACGUAUAUGCCUUGUACCUAGGAAAAAUUUUAAGAUUUCACGAAAAAAAUUUUGAGUUUCUAAUUAAGUCCCGACUUGUUUCUAACACGUGAUUUGGGCCUCGGGGACUCAGUAAAGAGACAUUAUGAUUAAAUUAUGAUGUGUAUGUUAUGUUAUUAUAUGAUUGUUCGAAUUUGAUCUGUAAUGUUUGAUAAUGCUCCGUAACUCUGUUCUGGCGACGGAUAAAGGUUAGGGGGUGUUACAUGUCUCAGUUUAGGGACUAAAUUGAAAUUUAGGUAAAUAUUGCGUAAAAGUUGAAAUAUUCUAUAUGAAAUUGAAUUGUGUUAUAUUGAUGAAUUUUAAUUAUUUUAAUUUCAUAGCUAACGUUGUACCGGAAUCCUCGACUAAAAAGGGGAAAGAUAAAGUCAAUGUCGAAUAGCUCAAAAUUCCUGGUUUAUAUUUCUAUAAUCCGAACCUAGUUACUAAUUGUUGUAUUUUGAUUUACUGCAUAUUGUAAGUGAUUGAGGUGAGUAUUUGGCACUUUGAUUGUUGAAUUGAUUUCAUGUGUAUAUGAGAUUAUAUGAAAAUUUUAUUUGGCACUUUGAUAAUUGGAUAUUGGUUGUAUUUGGAGAGUGAAUUGGAACCCUAUUUGUAACACCUUGAAAAUUUCUACAGUAAAAUAUUAUUCUUAAUAUAGUAAAAUAAGGAAAGAAAGUGACAAGAAGAGGAAAAUUGAGUUAUGUUACUAGGAAGUAUAUUAUGACAUAUUGAUUCAAGAAAUGACUAAAUUGUAAAAGUGAGAAAAGUUUUGUGGCCCAAGAGUAAAUACUCAAAAUUUGAGGGAUUAAAGUGUAAAUAUGAAAAUUUGAAGGACAAAUAGUGAAAAUAUUUUAAGGGUGGAAUGAUUUAGAAACCAAGGAAAAUUGAUGAAUUAGGACCAAAUUGCAUAGGUGAAGAAUUAUGAGGGACUAAAUUGUAAUUUUACCAAAUUAAGUGAUGACUCAAGAAUGAAAUUUUAAAAGAUCAUGAAGGGAAAAAUGGUCAAUUGAAAGAGAGAUAAAUCUAGAAAGUAAUGAUGAUGUUGGUGAUAUUUUAUAAUUAUUUAAUUAAAUAAUUACUAUUUAUUUAAUAUUUUAAUAAGAUAUUUUAUUAUUUUAGUUAGUCUAUAUAUAUAUAUGUGUGUGUGUGUGUGGAAAAAAAAAACACACCAUCCAUCUUUCCCAUGCAAAACCGAUGUGAGAAGAAGAAGAAGAAAAGAAGUUUUCAUUUCUUUACAAUUUGGUCCUUUUACUAAAAAUUCACCAUUUUCACCAAAAAAUCAAAAGAAUUUCCAUAGCUACCAAGAGAGAAAAAUGUUAAGGAGACUAUGAAAAGUUAGAAUAUCAAAUUGGAUUCAAGAAAUGGAAGCUGAAGGAGAGAGAAAAUCGAGAUGAAGAUUGAAAUCAAUAGAAUAAGGUAAGAACAUCAUGAUUUCAAUAUAUUUUUAAGUUUGAUAUUAUUGAAAAAGCAUGGGAUUGAUGUUAAUGUAGAGUUUCCUUGCAUAUGUUCCUAUGUUCUUGAUAUGUUAGUAAAGAGAAAAUAAGAGAAAGUGAUGAGAAAUAGUGUAGAAAAAGAAAAUAAGGGUGUUAUAAACAUGGUAAUUAAUAUCUUGCACUAAAAUAGUUUUGGAUAGUAACAGUGGUCUAACUUUGAAAAAUCACCAAAGAUUGUGGAAAUUGAAUUAUAAGUUGAAUAAAAUAUAAAACUAAAUUCUAUUGAGUCUAGUUUUUCAUAGAAGAAACAGUGUAAGCAAUGAAAUUUUAAAUUGUGAGAUAUAACAAAUUUAGUUAGACAAGGUCAGAAUGAUUUCGGGUUCCCCUGUUUUGACUUUGGAAAAUCAUCAAAAAAUGGAAAAAAAUAAUUAGGUUCUUAAAGUUAUAUUUUUAAAAUUAGGAAUGAGUCUAUUUUCAAUAGAAACAAACGAGAACAUUAUCCGAAUCCUGUACAAUGAAAUAAUUAAUUUUUAGUAAAGAAGGGUCGGAACUUUCAGACAGCAGAACAACGGUGAUUUUAAAGAAUAAACUAUACUUAUUGGCUAAAUCAAAAAUUCUAAAAAUUUUAUGGUAAGAAUAUACAUAAGUCCAGUUUCAUGAAAAAUUAGUAGAUCUUAAUUUCGAGUUCUGCAGCUCAAGAUAUAAAUAAUCUAGUGACUAUGACGCAAAUUGAUAGUUUUGAAUAUAUAUAUAAGUAAAUAGUGAAAUUAUUGAUAAUGUUACUUAUAGCAUGUUAUAUAAAUAAAGGAUGUGGAAUGGAGAGGAGGAGGAGGAAAAUAUGUAUGAAUAUUCAGCUAGUAUGGCUAAUUUGCAUGUUUUAGGCUCAUGGACUAAAUUGAAUAAAAGUAAAACUUUAUGGGCAAUUUUGUAAAAAUGUUAAAAAUUACAAAUUUGCAUGAAAUGGAUUAUUUUAUUAUUUGAAAUUUCAAAAUUGAAUGAAAUUAUUAAUUUAGUUCAAGAUCAGGGAAAAACAUGUUUUAAGGAUUAAAUUGAAAAAUGUUGAAAUUAUGGAAAAUUUUGAUAUUUUAUAGAAUUCAUGGGUUGUUAUCAAUUUGUAUGAGAAUAACGGCUGGAAAUAAGGAUUAAAUUGCAAGAAUUUUAUUUUUUUAGUCUAAGGAUAAAAUCGUCAUUAAUUAAAAGUUUAGGGGUAAAAUGUGUAAAAUGGUAAUUUAGUUUAGAGCAUUAAUUGAAUGUAUUAGAACAUGAAAUAAAUGAAAAUGACGAUCAAAUUUAUUUAUAAAGAUCCGAAUGACUCGAAUACGAGACUUGAACGUGGAAAAGAAAAGAUAUCGGAUUAAUGAAAUUAUAAACAUGAACAAGCAACGAGGUAAGUUAGUGUAACCUGAAUUGUAUUUUUAAAUGCAUGAAAUAUCGAUAUAAUGAAUUACCUAAUUUAUGUUUAUGAAGAAAUGGCAAGAGAAUGAUAUUUAUCAUGACAUGUAAAUAUGUGAUUAUCUUUGAUACGUUGAUACAAAGAAAUUAAAUAUAUUGAGACGAGUAAUAAAUUCAAGUAAAACAUGUCGAGAAAAAAAUAAGUACGUUUAAGGGACAAUAUGUUUGAUUUUAGUUGGUUUCAAAUAUGAACGUUAGAUGAAAUAAAAAUAUCUAAUAAAUAAAUCGGUAACUCCGGUAAUGCUCCGUAACUCUAUUCCGAUGACGGAUUCGGGUUAGGGGCGUUACACUAUUAACUGUAUUGGCCUAAGUCGGAUAUAAAUGAUAUGCCAUAGGAUAGGAAGAGUUCAGGGAUUUCUUCGACCUCGAGUCAAUGAGGCACUGGGUGCCAAUAUACUUCGGUUUAACCGAUGAGACACUAGGUGUCAAUUUAUAUAGCACUGGGUGCAUAUUACUUCGGAUUUAUCAGAGGAGGCACUGGGUGCCAAACUGGUGUGUUGGUUGGAUUCGUGUAUCCAUCCGAGUUCGAGUUGUGUUAAUAGGGGUAAUUAAAUAAAACGGUACUAUGGUUGAUAUUGGAUGAUAUUGUAUGUGAAUUGAAAACGGGAUAGUAAAUUGAAACAUGAAAAUGAGAUACAUGAAUUAUAUGUUCAUGAAUUGGAUAUGGAAUGAAUAAUGUUAUUGUUUAAAUGAUAUGUGGAUCAAAUUAUGAAAAGCUAUUAUAUAGCAAGUGAUGAGAAUUGAGUAUGAUAUAAAAUGAUGUAUUUAUGAUUUGAGUAUUGAAUGGCUAAUGUCAUUGUAUGAAUAAAUAUGGUUUUAAAUGUUCAAUUGUGCUUAUAAUGAAUAUGUGCAUAUUAUAUUAUCUUGUCUUUAAUAUUCGAAUUAUAGAAAUACCAAUGAGUUUUACUUAGCAUACGGUUUUGUUUUCCGUGCGCAAGUUAGGUACUUAACUUUUGAUCACCAAUUCAGCAUCCAACAACGAUCCCGAACUUAAAUUUGGUGAUGUCUAUCUUUUGUGUCAGCAUGUACCUAGAGUGUCUAAAUAAUAGUUAUUUUGUGGAUUGAUUGUAAAUGAGGUUAUAAGUUUAAUAUUGGUUUAUGACUUGAAUAUUAUAUGGUAUGAAAUGUUUGAAAUUUUUAUCUGUUUGAUCUGUAAACUCCGGUAAUGCUUCGUAACCCGAUUCUGGCGAUGGAUACGGGUUAUGAGUGUUACAGCUACCAUCUCAUUCUCAAUUUUAUUCAAUUUGGUUUCCCAAUAUGUCAAUUAAGCAUAUUUUUCUUCUCCUAAUUUAACCAGUCUUUAAUUCUCCCUUUUAAACGAAGUACUUCCUUUUGUAAAUUCUCAUUAACUUUACAAAUAAGAUCCCAUUAUCCAACAUGUCUCUAUAAGUUUCUUUUAUCUAGAUUUCAACCCUAUCAUCAUCACUAUCAUAGUUAAUGUUUGAGUUUAUUUAUUUGCAUAAUGCAAUAUUGGUAGUUGUACUUGUAGUUAUUCUAAGUCUAUUUAUUUGCAUAUUGCAAUAUUGGCAGUUAUACUUGUAGUUAUUCUAAGUAAAGCAAUGUAAUUGGUUAUAUGCUCCGCAUUAUCACUCUUUUUGUCUUUGUCACUUUAAGUUACAUUAAAUAACUUUUUUUUCUUAAUAGUGUUCAUUUAUUUUGCUUAAAUGUGGCCAUUAGCUUCACACUCAUGGUAUUGGGUUAAUUUAUUUUGUUUAGGCUCAAUCUCUGUGCAUAGAGACUUCUGUCACGAUGAUACUCAUUAUUUUGUGAAAGUCGCGAAGUCUCAUAAUGCCUACCUGAUAAUUUUGAAAAUUUUAUAUUUAGUCCUCAAUAAGUUUUAGGUUAUCGAAAGAGCUUUUGUAAAUAUGAUUAUAUAACAUGUUGUAAUUAUGUAUUUAACAUAAUAGUAUAUAUAAACUAUUGAAUUGAAUUUCUAUUGAAAUCAUCGUUGCUUCAACAAAAAAUUUAGUAUCCCAUAGCUCAGACCUGACGAUCGGGUUGGGUAUAGGGUGUUACACUUUCCCUUGUUUCUAUUUGUAAAAUGGCUACUAUUAUCACUCAUGUCCUUCUUGGUAAACUUCUUAAAAUCUUUGUUGAAUUUUUUUUUUUGAAAGGAAAACUAACAAUUCUUCUAAAUCUUCUACAAAGAUAGUUGUUGAAGUGUUCAUUGCAAAAAACUAUUUUGGCAUUCAAUGACACACUCUUUUCAACCUUGACUUUUUUCCUUUCGGUUUCUUCUAGGUUCAUUUCAAAAGCUUGUGAGGGACGAAUUAGCUAUCCAUUCUCAUUGUGUUGACAUUUUUUUCCUCUUUUACUAUUGUGCCUUUGAUUUCAAAUCCCUUAAGAUCUUAUUUUUCUAUAUCCAAAGAAUUCCAAACUUAAUCUUAAGCAUUUGUAAUUUUAAAAAUUUCACUCUAGGAAUUCCCUCAUUAUUCAUCUUGAGAAGCAUAAAUCUUCUUCAAUAGAUACGAACUUAGAAAUACAUCUAAAUGCUUGAGGAUCAACAUUAUUGAAAAUGGCAUUUAGAGCUUUUGAGUUGUAAUUUGUAGCCUUGUCCUCAUCUGUAGUCCAUGUUGCUCUAGCUUUACCACUAAAGUCCCAUUUGUAUUUAUAGUGUAAGGAGGCUCCCAACCAAUCAAGAUAGCCUUCCAAGCCUUUUCAUCAAUAGACUUGAUAACACUUUCAUUUGAGCCUUCUAAUAAGCAUAUGUAGAGUCAUCUAGUAUGAGUGAUCAUGAGGUUGAGCUUCCAUCUUUCAUGGAGUCCAUUUUUCAAUAACCAAACACAAGACCACACUAGAUAAUUUAGGUGGUAGGGUCUAAUACCAAAUGAAUAAUGUCUAAUUUUUGGAUUGUUUUGCAUGUUGUUGCAACAAAGAAUGAAAGAAUAAGGAUGAAUAAAGUAAAAAAAAAAACAAUAUAGAUAUGAAUCCUCACUAUUGAAUCACAAUACAAGCUUUAAUUUAAGCCCAACUAAUCCAGGGAUUGUUGCAGCUUUAUCCUCAUACACUUGGUAUAAAUUCACUCCCCAACACUCAAUUUUUCCUACUAAAAGUUGUGACACAACUCUCAAAGGAUAACAAGAAGCUCACAAUGAUGCUCUAAAAAAAUGUUAAUUUAAUUUGAAUUGAAUAGUUCUGUCUCUAAGUGUAUCAAACAGAUGCUCAUUCCUCAUUAAAACUGUAGGCGAUAUACCAAUCUCUUAGAAACUAGGAUAAGAUAGACUAUGUUUGAAAUCCCUCAACUUUUUCGAUCACCAUUUUUUCAAGGAUGAAAAGUAGAAACCCACGAAAUUGUGCUACUUAUAAAACAAGGAUUAUUCUAAAACAAAAUUACAAAGUCAAAGUUGUGGUUGUAUUGUUGCAACAAUAGCUUGCAGUAACAUACAUCAUUCAAUACAUUGUGCUAGGGAAGUGAUGCUAUUCUCAGUCAAAAUAUGAUUUUGAUCUCCAUAUUAUAUUUAAAUUAAGAUUUAAUUUAGAAUAAUUUUAUCCUCGUUAAUGAUUUAAAUAAUUAACGCUAUUAAUUAUUUCAACUCAAAGAGUUAAUCUAAAUCCUAAGUUUGAGCAUUAAUGACAGCAAAACCAUAAUUUGAGUUGCAAUUGCAAUGGGCUGAUUGUGGGCCUCCACGGCUUCACCUAAGAAACCUUCUAUUGAUAGUCCAAAUUAAUAAACCACUUAUGGAACAGAAUCCCAAGCCCAGCCAAAAUUUUGAUCACAUGACUUUUCAGAGUUGGCGAAAAGGAGGUUCUCUACCGGAAACUUAAAUUUGAUGUGUACUCCAAACUCUUGUAAGCGUAACUUCAUUUGAGCUAAUCAAGUAUAUUUAAGAAAUCUUAAUUAAUAUUUACUUAAUAUUUAAAAAUUAAAAAUAUAUUUAACAAAUAUACUUAAUUAAUAUUUAAAAAUUAAAAAUAUAUUUAAGAAAUCUGCGGAUCAGUUAACCCUACCACCAGUAAGUUGAUUCAUUUUACAGAUAGUGGUGCUGCACAUUGUACAAUACAAGAGAUUGAAAAUUUUAUAUUCAUGCAUUAAUGAUCUGUGUAUUUCAACAAAGAGUCGAGCAGUACCACUUCAUCAUAAAAUAUUAUUCCUAUUUAUAAGAAACGACAAAGCGGCAGAAGAUACUUAGGAACACAUGUUUUCAUGCAGACCACUUUACACUAUCUAUCAAACAACUGUCGUCAAACUCCACGCGUCAACCCCCUUUGUUUCCUUAAAUCCACUACUCAUCCGCUCAUUCCCUCACCCUUCCUUUUUUAUUCUAUUUUCAUUUCAGUGAAGGACAAGAAAAAAAUUUUAAAAAAAAAAAAGAACCCUCUGCAGCCAUGGCUGAGCAUCACCAGCAAUUGCGCCGAACUGAUGACAUGAAGAAUUUCUUCCAUGAAAAUGGACCCUCAACAUCAAAAGUUCUUAUGGUUGCCACCCUCCUUCCUGUUGGUGGCAUCCUCCUCUUGCUUGCUGGUUUGAGCCUUAUUGGAUCCCUCAUAGGUCUUGCUAUUGCCGCCCCACUUUUCCUUAUUUUCAGCCCUGUUUUGGUACCUUCUGCUUUUCUCAUUGCGGGUUCCAUAGCCGGAUUCUUGACCUCCGGAGCAUUUGGGAUCACUGGACUGUCAUCGCUGUCGUGGAUUGCUACUUAUAUUCGUGGAAGCAGGGGCUCUAUGUCUCAGGGGCUAGACCCAGUGAAGUGGCCCUUGCCGGACACGGCAGUGAGUAUGGAGCAGAAGAUCCAGAAUAGGAGCCAAGGAGGAGGAAGGAUCUCUGAGGGAGGCAGAGAACAGGAAGGUGGCAAGAGUAAGACACAAGAAGGUGGCAAGAGUAAGACACAAGAAGGUGGAAACAAGACUGUGGGUUGAAGUUUCCUAUUGUAGCAGUCGGAUGAUAUGCUAGAAAGUAAUCUAUCAAUUUUGUUGCUCUGUUCUGCUUCUAUGCUUAUGUCCUUGUGCUGCUCUAUGUGGUUGUAUAUUGUAACUUGUAAGCAGCUCUCUGUAUUCAAAUAAAUUCCUGGUCAUUUUCUUUUCGUUUUCAAUUUCUGGGUUAUAAUUCAAAGAAGUAGUACUAUAAACGCUGCAUCUCCUGCUAUUUGUCUUCCAUUUUAAGCUCAAUCUCCGACAAGUUUUUUUACUGCCUUCUCAACAUUAAUCGCUGCCAAAAAGGUCUUAGGUAGUUUAGUGAUUUAUUUAAUCUCAUAUUGCUGUUAUAUUAUUUAAAUAUUAUUAUUUAUCUAAAAAAAGGCCAGUGAUUUAACUAAGAAACUUUUUAUUAGUUAUUAGAUACAGUUUUAGAUAACAAAUUGUAGCCACAACUUCUCUGUCUUGGAGUAGAUUUAGAAAAUCGUAAAUAUGGUAGAAAAUUAUAAUGAGAUAAUUACAAUUACUUGUCUCCGAGGGUGUUCACUUUUAACAAAGAAGUUACAAAGGAUUCUUAUGAAGGUAAGUAUUAUAACAAAACGAAUGGAUGUAAAACUCAACUAUAAAUAUCGGAUACAAGAAGAGAGCACAUAAAUGAUAAAAAGAAAAAGCUUUUUAUCAACAUUGUAAUACGAUUCUUUAACCCUCUAGUCACUUUGUUUUUGCUAUAACAGUUAAGUUAUAGAGAGGGUUAGGGUGAACAAUGAACAUAGAUGGUAGACGGUGGUUCACCGCAGGAGUCACUAAGGAUGAUCUUUUGAGUUAGAAGUGGUAUUUGAGUAAGGUGUAGGUUGUAGAGUUCAACUUGUUCUCUCCUCUAUCUUAUUUCGGUGUUAAAAUGAAUGACGUAAUUAUGGAGGAAAGAUGGCUCGAUGCAUAGAAAAUAUGCUCAUCACAUCACAUAAGGGUAAUUACAUAUUAUUAUUUACUAUUAUAUAUAAUAAGGAUAAUUACAUAUUAUUAUUUAUUAUUAUGAUAAGUUUGUCCAAAUUAAAAGUGAUCUAAUUUGGUUAAAAUUUUAUUAGGUUUUAAUUAUUAAAUAAAAUAUGGGUCAAAUAUGUGUAGAUACUCUACUAAUUGAGUUCUAAUCAAAUUCUAAUUAAUGAUAGGUUAAUUAGAAUUUGAUUAGAAUUAAUAUGCUACGGUUAUAAAUAUUAGGGUUAUGGUUCUUAAAUUACACACAAGAUAUUUUUUCUAAUAUUCCAUCAUUAGGAAAGAGAGAGCAAAUAUUCUUUGAAUUUCUUGUGUGCUAAUUUGAAAAGAUCAAAUCCCUAAGAUCCAGAAAGUUUUAACUUCCACAUCUAAUUUUAUUUUUGAUUUAUUCUUGAUGAUUUGACAUGAGAGAUACUGAUUUAUUAAGUUUUAUUAUAGAUUUAUUGUAAUAAAUCUAACAUUCACUUCAUAGCUACCUUCACUUUAUAGCUGCAAAAGUUAGAGCAGCGAAUGUGAACUAGACACUAUUGGAAUCGACAUGAGGAGAUCAAGUGAGUAGUUUAGACAUAUGUCAUUAAAUUUAGGGAGAAGAUGAAUUAAGAGAUGCUAGAGCUUUUCUCUAAUAUCUUUUUGGGAAUAUGCAUGCCCAUUUUAUUGACGUGGUGCUCUAGUGAGAUAUUAAUGUUAUCCUUCUAGCAAGGCCACAAAGUGAGCUUAACCAAGUUCUUCUAUGGUUAGGGCAUGACAACUGUCCCCAUGGACGAAAGGUAAGAUAAAGGGAUUCGGGUUGACUUGAAUCUUGGUUAAGGCUUUUAGGAGUUAUGGUGAGGCCUAAAGUGAUUUUAAAAGGUAAUGAUUGUUGUCUUCUGUCAUUGUGUCUUUGUAUUAAUUAGUUCCAAAAACGUGCUUGCUUUUCACUGGAAUUUUUCAAAAAAAAAAAUCUCUCUUUGAGUGUUGUUUCAAUUUCUCAUCUAAAUAUUUAUAAAUAUGGCUUUCUUAGAGUGUCACUUCUCAUAUUCUGUAAUCUUCUUUCUUUGUUUUUCACCAAGAAAUCUUUUCUUCUUAUCUCUUGUUUUUGCCUUUGUCGUCUUGGCUUCGAAAAUAGACAACAAUUCUUUGAGAUUUCAAGCGAAUAAUACUUCCAAGGAGAAGAACGAUUAUGCACCAACACUACAGCGAAGAUGACAACCAUGUUGCUAUUGUUGUGUUUCAAAUCUCUUCAUUAUAAUAUUAUUUCUUAAUUACAUCAAGAUCACAGAAUGAGCUAAGUUACGAUCAAUGGGAAAGGCUUUUAUUUCUGUUAGUACAAAACUCCGGUAAGGAAAAAACUCGAACACACGAUCGGAACUCGAAAAGAAAAAGAAGAAAUAGGACAGGCUCCAAGGCGUGUAUCAAGCCACUAUCUUUAAGGUUAUAUUCGCCCCCACUUAUCUUCAGUGUGCAAACGAGUUCCAAGCAAAUUAACCUCGAGGAUACAAUGAAGCCAAUGACUAUUUGCGUUUUGCACUGACGAGAAUAGUCUACUAUGCACUGAGUAAUAUAUAACAAAAACUCAAUUUCUACAAAGGAUUUCUGCAGCAAUACUUUAUAGAAUAAUCUAAUAAUAUUAGAAAAUGAAGGAAGAGAAGAAAUAAUAUUAGAAUUUGUUGAUAUGAUUUUCAAAUGAAAUCUCAUUCCUAUUUAUAGGAAUUUUCAUGUCUCUUCAUAGAGACAUCUUUCAAUAGGUGUCUUUAUGAAUAAAUAAAUAAUAAUUAUUUAUUUAAUUUUGUAACUAUUCAAAUAAUAUUUUUUGAAUAGUUAUAAUUCUUUUUUAAAAAAUCAAAUGAUAUAACUUUUGACCAAUGACCAAAAGUUUUAUCUUUUGAUUAAUUACACCCAUUCAUUUAUAGUUAUUGGGAUACUAUAAAUAUUUGAAAAUAUUUCAACAAUCUCCCCCCAUUUUCAAAAUAUUUAGAUUUUGAUAUUCUUGGAAAUCAAUUUGCAUAAAUAAAGGUGUCUUACGAUUGAACCUUCACUUAGUGAAAACAUGUUAAAGUUAAUCGAAAUUGUAUGGUAGACUAAGCUUUGAACCAACUAUUCCAUUUGAUUAACUAAACACAUCUCACACAAUGAUUUCAACAUCAGUCAAUGCAUAGUAUCUAGGGACACUAUUAUAGCCAUGUGUCUAUGUCCUCUUUUCAUGAGUGCUGUCAGAGCCAAGCCCUUAAGCUCCUAGAAGCGGCCACACUUCCACUCACAUAGGUAGAUCCCAUCAAAAGUGUUCCCGUAAUUAUAACACUCUAACAUAUUUAUGUUAUGGGUCCAUUAAGAGUACAUUACUCAUCCUUCCCUUAUCAUUACGGGUACCUAGCACUUUAAUCUUAGGAUGGAUUUAUUUAUAGUGCUAACAGUCACAUACUAAUGAUGUACUUUGUCUCAUUGAACUCAAGACUUGACGUUAUACCAAGCGUUGAGUCGAGUUUCCAUCAUGGGUGACUCUAAUUAAUAGGCUUGAGUCCCAUCCCUUUUGAGGUCCUUUUUCCUGCAUCUUUAGCAAGACUUUUUGUCAAAGGAUCUGCCAAAUUUUCACUUGACCUCACAUAAUUAAUAGUGAUCACUCCAUCAGAGAUUAAUUGUCGGACAUAACUAUGUCUUAAUCCAAUGUGUCUAGACUUUCCAUUAUAUACUUGGCUAUAUGCCUUUGCUAGAGUAGCCUCACUAUCACAACAGAUAGAAAUAGGUGAAAUUGGCUUAAGCCAUAAAGGUACAUCAUAAAGCAAAUUUCUUAACCAUUCUGCUUCUUUAGAUGCAGCGGCAAAUGCAAUAAAUUCUGCUGCCAUGGUGGAAUCAGUAAUACAUGUUUGUUUCUUGGAACCCCAAGAAAUGACUCCUCCACCAAGAAUGAAGAUCCACCCACUAGUAGAUGGAUGAUCUUCCAAACUUGUAAUCCAACUAGCAUCCGAAUACCCUUCUAAAAUUGGAGGAUAUCCAUUAUAACACAAUCCAUAGUUAAUAGUUUUCUUUAAGUACCUAAGUACUCUAUUUAAAGCUUGCCAAUGCAAACUACUUGGAUUACUUGUGUAUCUACUCAAUUUUCCAAUAGCAUAUGCAAUAUCUGGUCUUGUACAAGUCAUUAUGUACAUAAGACAACCAAUUAGACUUGCAUAUUUCAAUUGAUCAAUUUUCCUACCAGCAUUAGAUACUAAUUUUAAUUGAGGAUCCAUGGGUGUAGAUGCUGGUAUACAGUUGAAAAGAUCAAACUUUUUAAGCACAUUUUCAAUGUAAUGUGAUUGUGAUAAAGCUAUAGUGCUUUCAUCUCGGGUUAUUUUAAUCCCAAGAAUAACAUCUGCUACACCCAUAUCCUUCAUAGCAAAGUUGUUUGACAAGAAUUUCUUUGUGUUUUCUAUUUGUUCCAAAUCCGUGCCAAAUAUGAGCAUGUCAUCUACAUAUAAGCAAAUUAUAACACCCUUUCCAUUAUCAAAUUUACUAUAUAUGCACUUAUCGGAUUCAUUUAUUUUAUAGCCAUUAGCUAAAACAACCUUGUCAAACUUUUGGUGCCAUUGUUUUGGUGCUUGUUUAAGCCCAUAUAAAGAUUUAACAAGCUUACAUACCUUAUGCUCUUGUCCUGGAACAACAAAUCCUUCCGGUUGCUCCAUGUACACUUCCUCUUCCAAUUCACCAUUUAAAAAUGCAGUUUUAACAUCCAUUUGGUGAACAACCAAAUUAUAUAUAGAGGUAAGUGAUAUUAAUAGUCUAAUUGUAGCAAUUCUUGCUACUGGAGCAUAGGUAUCAAAGUAAUCAAUAGCUUGUCUUUGUGUAAAACCUUUUGCUACCAACCUUGCUUUAAAUUUAUCAAUGGUUCCAUCGACCUUCAUUUUCUUUUUGAAGAUCCAUUUACAACCUAUUGGUUUGGAACCUGGUGGAAGAUCAACUAAGAUCCAAGUUUGAUUUCCCAUUAUUGAAUCCAUUUCAUCAUUUAUUGCUUCUUUCCAAAAAGCAGAGUCUUGAGAUUUCACUGCUUCUUCAAAUGUAAUAGGAUCAGAUUCGGUAUUAUAACAAUAAGGUAUCUUAUUGCAUAUACUUUCACCUUUUCCUUCUACAAGAAACAUAAUGAAAUCUGGUCCAAAAUCUUUGACCUUUUUAAUCCUCUUACUUCUUCUUAAUUCUUGACAAGAUUCAUCAUUAUUAUCAAUUUGUUUCAAUGGAAUCUCAUUCUCAUUUGAAGAAUGAAUCAAUUGUUGUGGUUGUAAUUGUCUUGAUAUAGAAUUAAAUCUAUUUUCAUCAAAAAUAGCAUCUCUUGAUUCAAUAACCGUAUUAAUUGAAAUUGAAUCAUUUGGUUCAAUUACUAUGAACCUAUAUGCCUUACUAUUAUGUGCAUAACCUAUAAAUAUGCAUUCAAUUCCUCUUUCACCUAACUUUUUACGUUUAGGUGUUGGAACUUUUACAAUAGCUCUACAACCCCAAACCUUUAAAUAAUUAAGGUUUGGUUUCCUUUUCUUCCAUUGUUCAUAGGGGGUUAUUUUAGUUUACUUAUUAGGAACUCUAUUCAAUAUAUGACAAGCUGUUAGAACAGCUUCUCCCCAAAAACCCUGUCCAAGACCUGAAUAUGAUAACAUUGAAUUUACCAUUUCAAUCAAGACUCUAUUUUUCCUUUCAGCUACACCAUUUUGUUGUGGUGUGUAAGGGGCUGAAACUUGAUGGACAAUUCCAGUGAGUUCAAAAUAACUUGGAUUAUAGUAUUCUCCACCUCUAUCCGAUCUUAAGCACUUGAUAAAUGAUUCACAUUGAAGUUCAACUUCAGAUUUAUAAACUUUAAAUUUAUCAAGCGCUUCAUCUUUUGAAUGCAAUAAAUAUACAUAACAAUAUCUAGAACAAUCAUCAAUAAAAGUAACAAAAUAUUUCUUUCCACCUAAUGUAGGAGUAUUAUGCAAGUAGCAUAAAUCACUAUGUAUCAAAUCAAGCAAUUUUGUUUUCCUUUUAACCUUAGGGAAAGGAUUUCUUGUAAUUUUAGUCAACAUACAGGUAUUGCAUUUUUCAAUAUUAUUAUUAAAAACAGGAAUUAAAUCUAAUUUAUACAUGUCAUUCAAUUUUCUAUAAUUCAAAUGACCUAAUCUAUAAUGCCACAAACAAAAUGAUUCAACCAUAUAAGCAGAAAUAGUAUUUUUAUUCUUAUUAAUAAUAUUAAGUUUGAACAUGCUUUCAUACAUAUACCCUUUUCCCACAAAAAUUCCUCCCUUAGACAAAAUAAACUUAUCUGCCUCAAAAACAAGUUUGAAACCAAACUUAUUCAACAGACUUCCAGACACUAAAUUUUUCCUAACUUCUGGUACAUAAUAUACAUCAUUUAAGGUUAAAACCGUUCCAGAAGUGAAUUGUAGUUCAACAGACCCUUUGCCUUUAAUUGUUGCGGUGGAAGAAUUUCCCAUGUACAAGACAUUGUCAUUUUCACAUUGUGUGAACUUUGUGAACAUGCUUUUGUCUUUGCACACAUGUUUGGUUGCUCCGGUAUCAAUCCACCAUGUAUUAUCAUCUUGUGCCAUAUUAAUUUCAGAUAUCAUUGCAAUGAACUUUUCGUUAUUAUCAGCCUUAGAAGAUGAUUUCUUUUUUAAAAAUCGACAUUCAUUCUUGAAAUGUCCCGGCUUUCCACAAUGAUAGCAUGAGCCCUUUUGUUUCUUUUUGAACUUAGGUGCUCUAUCAGUCUGAUUGAACUUUCUCUUGAAUGGUUUAGUAGUCUGUACUUCCUCCGUAACAUGUACUUUGGCAUUUUCAGAAUUUAGGUUCUGAUCUUGUUUUCGAUACUCUUCUUCAAUACGAAGAUGAUUUGCCAAAGCCUCAAGAGAUAUUUCCUCUUUCUUAUGUUUUAGACUUCUUUUAAAGUCUUUCCAAGAUGGAGGGAGUUUGUCUAUUAUGGAGGAUACCACAAUCAUUUCAUCCAUUUUCAUAUCAUAUUGCUUAAAUUGAUUCAGCAUCUUUUCAAUAUCACGAAAUUGUUCCAUAACAAAACGACCAUCAACCAUUUAAUAAUUAUUGAAACGACUGACAAGAAAUUUCUUACUUGUAACAUCUUCGGUCAUGUAUCUUGCCUCCAAUUUGUCCCAUAAUUCUUUAGCGGUGACGUCAUUUUGGUAGGUGUCGAACAAACCAUCAGAUAAAUCAUUCAAUAUGUGGCCCAUGCACAUGUAAUCAGCAUUGUCCCAUUUUUUUCUUUCUCGGGUUGCAGCAACAGAUUCAUUUUCAUUCUCUUCAAGUCUUGGAGUAUCCAAAAUAUAAGCAAUCUUCAAAGUUGAUAACAAAAAGUGCAUCUUUUUCUGCCAUCGUCGAAAAUUGCCACCAUCAAAACGAUCAAGUUUAACAAAGUUGGAAGCCAACUCCCUUAGUGUUCCACUUUCAUGUGUUGUGGUAGUCAUCAUGAAAUAUAACCUUAAAAUUGUUAGUACAAAACUCCAGUAAGGAAAAAACUCGAACACACGAUCGGAACUCGAAAAGAAAAAGAAGAAAUAGGACAGGCUCCAAGGCGUGUAUCAAGCCACUAUCUUUAAGGUUAUAUUCGCCCCCACUUAUCUUCAGUGUGCAAACGAGUUCCAAGCAAAUUAACCUUGAGGAUACAAUGAAGCCAAUGACUAUUUGCGUUUUGCACUGACGAGAAUAGUCCACUAUGCACUGAGUAAUGUAUAACAAAAACUCAAUUUCUACAAAGGAUUUCUGCAGCAAUACUUUAUAGAAUAAUCUAAUAAUAUUAGAAAAUGAAGGAAGAGAAGAAAUAAUAUUAGAAUUUGUUGAUAUGAUUUCCAAAUGAAAUCCCAUUCCUAUUUAUAGGAAUUUUCAUGUCUCUUCAUAGAGACAUCUUUCAAUAGGUGUCUUUAUGAAUAAAUAAAUAAUAAUUAUUAUUCAUUUAAUUUUGUAACUAUUCAAAUAAUAUUUUUUGAAUAGUUAUAAUUCUUUUUUAAAAAAUCAAAUGAUAUAACUUUUGACCAAUGACCAAAAGUUUUAUCUUUUGAUUAAUUACACCCAUUCAUUUAUAGUUAUUGGGAUACUAUAAAUAUUUGAAAAUAUUCCAACAAUUUCUCUUUGUAUUUGUUGGAAGGGGCUUCCUCUUGCCCCUUCAUUCAUGGUUUGUAGAGAGGUUUCGUGAUUGUACAGUGUUAUAUUGUUGAAAAUGGCCAACCAUGCUAAUGUUAUGUUUUUGUUAAAAUGCAUGCUGCUAUGAUGAUUUUGUUGAGUGCAUAUAGCUUGUACGCAUGCUACAGCAAUUGUGUUGUUGCAACAACAUUUUUUUUGUUUUAGUUGUAAUGUAAUUUAAUUUUGGUUAAAAAUGAAUUUAGUUGUUGAUGUUUUGAUGGGUUUAGGUGAUAAGGAUAAGUCAGCUUAUUCAUGUGUACAAGCAAUGUUUUAAUAGUCCAAUGCUAAUUAGUGGAAUUAGUUGAAUAUUUGGUGUUAUAUUUUAAUUAUAAGUGUACUGUUUUCAUAUUGAAUGAGCAAGCAUAUCAGUUGUAUAAAGCAUAUUAUUUUUUUGCUGCACGUUUGUGAACAAAUAAAUUAUGUCAAGCUUCUUGCUCUUUUGUUUUCUGUCUUGUUCUCUUCUUUUGCUGCUGUCAAAACCCAAAUAUAUCUCUGACUCAAGGACUAUCAGACCUUACUUGUAUGCAUUUUUUCUUGUUGUAAGAAGCGUUGAGGAGAACCUUCUUCAAUUAGUUUUGAGAACAUGUUUACCCUUACCUUUGAGGGUUCUCCUGGUGUAUGUUAUUUUGAGUCAUAAUAAAAUCUCUCAAAAGUAUUGCUGAAAGAUUUUUCUUCUCUCUUGAGUUGAUUCUUCCUUUAUUUGCAAAACGCUUGGCUCCUUCGUUAGAUAAAUUGUCACCGGGACUUAACACCAUCGUCUGAGUUCAAAGUUCAACAAGGUAUGGUACUUGAGCAACUUUUGGAGGUUUUGUUUUAAUGGGUGUAGCUCCAAUGGUGCAACCCCAGAAAAAGCAGCUAGGCUUUUUUAUAUGUCGAAUGAUAGCAUUUAGCAUAUUUUCAAUCUGCUGCGAGGAUUUCUUUGCAAAACUUGAUUCAAGUACUUGAAAAUAAAGAUAUCUCAAUAAAUUAUCUUAAGUUAUAUUAUUAUAAGAAGAUAUAGAACUCAAAUAAAAAAUUGAUUUACAAUAUAUGUAAUAUGAUUGUUAAAAUAAUGAAAGCAAAUGAGGAUUUUGAAUACAAAUUCAUCAAGAAAUAUAGGUAUAGAAUAGUUGGCUAAAAUAGAAAUAUCCAACAAUGAAGUUUCUAAACUAAUAGUUUAAACAUCUAAAGGUAUAAGUUCAUCAAGAUACAAAUGGAUAGUCUUGCAAAAAAAAACAGUAAAGAAAAUGAAGUUUUACGGUAUAAACUACAACUUAUAAUAUAAGGAUUUUUCAAAUCUUGAAAUUGAUUAUAAAAAGGUAUGAUGUUUUGUUGUGGUUGAUGCAAUAAUCUUUAAGUAUUUAUUAAUAUAGCGGUUCAUGAAAAUUUGACAUGUGUCUAAUGAAUAUUUAACUGGCUUUUUAAAAUUUCUAAAGGAAUAGAAUGCUAGAAGCAUAUAGAAUUUUUCAAAAAAUUGUUAAAUACAUUUGUAUAAAUAUUUAUAUGAUUUACACACAUAUAUAUGAUAAAGUUGACUAAGUGAAUAACAGUUGAAAAAGUCUAACAUACCCGUAUGUAUUUUUAUAAAAGGAUCAUGAUUAGAAUUUAUUUUUAAUAAUUAUUAUUGGGACUCCUCAAUAGAUUAUAAAAUAAUAAGUUAUUUAAAAAAAUAUUUGAGAUAAAUAAUUUUAGAAAAAUAAAAUUUUAUCUAAACUAGUGGAUCUAGCACUUAAUGUAUGAAAUCUUCAUAUAUGAAUUGACAUAUACAAAAAAGAUCUAAAAGAAUUUAAUAUGAAUAAGACAUGUCUAUUAAAUACUCCGGUAAUUAUAAAAUUACUAGAUAUAAAUAUUAUUUUUAAAAGAAUGAUUAAAAAAUCUUUUGAUCCAUUAGUGCCAUAUCUUAACUAGUUUAAAAAUACCAUAUCAUAGUGUUAUAAAAGUAUUGAUGCAUUAACAGUAAAAAAAUUUAUUGUAUACAAUUCUAUUAUCUUAUUUCAUAAGAAUAUCUUCUCAUUUGAAUAUCAAUUUUAUUAUAGGUUUCUUUUGAUGCAAUAUUUAAAAUUAUCUAUAAUAUAUUUCCAACCAUUAAAUAGGAAGAUAAUGUGCUUCAAUGCACUUGAACUUAAGUCUUCCUACAUUAAUAACAAUAUCAAUGCUAAUCGAGUUAAGAUCCAAUCGUUUUUUUAUCAAACUUUAAAUAUUUGCGUUAUUGCAACUAUUAUAAUAUUUAUGAUGUAUUAAAUCAAAUUUUUGUUAUGUUAUUGCACAAAUUAGCCAAAGAAGGUAUAAUUAUUUAUUCACAAACAAAAAGGGAUAAAAAAAAACAUCAAAUAUUGGUGGUGAUACCAAAAACAAAAGAUAGUACCACUAUUGGUAUUAGUAUUAGAUUAAGAAAGGAGAAACAAGAGUCAGUGAACUUACUGACAAACCUACCUGCUAAUGAAGUUUAAACCCUAACAAACAAGGAUUGAUUAAUGAAAAGACAAGUUAUUAAAAAAAUCAUCAGUCGGCAGACAAAUGGUCAACGUGGCAGAAUAUUAUUACUUGCUAAAUCAGAUCAAAGACGUUGUUUCUAUAUUCUUUGUCUUUUUUAUUUUUAGAAUUUUUCAUAUUAUAAAGUUUAGGUCCGAUUAUUACUAUAAUUAAAGUUUUAUUAAAAUUUGUUGGUAUAAUAUUUUUAAAUUAAAAAAAUGUUAACUCUGUAAUUUUAUUAUAAAAAAUGGCAUUGAAUUAAUAAAAUAAUUUUGACAGAGUUAAUAAUUAAAUUUUUAUUUUUAAAUAUAAAAAUAGAGAAUUAAAUUUUUUGAAAUAAAAAAAGCUAAAUUUUAAAUAUACAAAAAGUACAAGGAGGUAAAGCAUAUUAUAACCUAAAUAUACAAAAAGGAAGUUUUUUUAUAUAUAGAAUAAAAGAAAGAAUAACGGUAUAGUCAUAUUGGAAAGAAGCCAGAAGGGGAAAAUUUGAAAGCACAUGAUAAGGUUACCGUUGAGGAUGAAAGUCCAUCUAGAAAUCGAACGGCUGAGAUAUGCUAGCCGUUAGUUUUAAAAAUAAAAAUGUGCCGACAAUACAUAUAUCAUCCGCUCAUUGCGUCUCCUUUUCUCUGAGUCAAAAAGCCUCACCUGCCCGAUCAAGAAGUGCACGACAUACCUUCCAUUGCUUCGCUGCUGCUCAGCCUCUCAUGUUAUUCUUUUGACUAACCUCUUUCUCCUUCUCCCACUUCGAACGACGUUUUGCACCAUCGUCCGGCUAGUCGGAAACUCUUUUCACAAAGGUUCUUGAAAAUUUCUCCUUCUCUUUUUUAAUCUUCUUUCUUUAUUUCUUUCAGUUUUAAAUAUUUCGACAAAAAAAAAAAGAAAAGAGAAAGGGAUUAAUUUUAUUUUGUAUUAAAGGGGUGUCUUGAUUAUCUUUUUCUAUAGUUUGGGGAUAUCUAUCUUAAGAGGAUUCUUAUUGUUUGCAGUUGUUGUUGUUUGUACAUACCGGAAAUAAUGGCUGGAUCGGACGAAAACAAUCCUGGAGUCAUCGGAGCCUCCCGAAAUCAAGGUGAUUAACUCAACCCCAUUUUAUGUACCCUUUCUUUUAAUGUUUAAGUAGAACUUCUAAAUUAAAGUAAAAUUUUGAUAAAAAAAAAAGGGGGCUUACAUGCUGGCGAAAGAGGGAAGUUCGUGGCAGCGACUGGGCAGAAUCGAAGAGCAUUGAGCACUAUUAACCGGAACCUAAUUGAAGGCCCACCUUUCCCUUGUGCAGUCAGUAAGAGACCUUUAUCCGAGUGAGUACUUCAUUAAAAUUCUCUCUCUGUUUUACUGCUGAGAACUGAUAAAAAGUAGAUCCUUUUGAAUUAAUUAUGUAAUAUGGGGAAGGGGUGUUUUGUCUUGGUAUUUCAAUGAUCCAAAACAAGACCUUUUUUUUUUUCACUUUUAAAACAUAAAUUUUUUCUGUUUCUCUAUUUCUCUCAGCAGCAUGAAAUUGAAGUUUUGAUAAUCACUGUCCAACGAUUUUUUUAAUCUUGUCAGAAGAAAUGCAGUCUGUGAUAAGAUCCCACCCAUACCUCAGCAUAGACCAAUUACUAGGUUAGCACCUCCUUUUAGUUUAAUGAUGUCUCUUUUGAUUGCCAAAACAAUAUCAUCUUCUUGAUCCUUUCUGUUUAUGAUUCCUUUUAAUUCAGGAAGUUCGCUGCCCAGAUGGCUAACAAGCAGCAAAUGGAACCUGAGGUACCAUUUUUUCACAAUAAAAAAAUUUUGGUAUCAUCCUCGAUUAUUCUGUCACGUUAUAUAAGUGGUUAAUUACUCUUAACAGGAAAUUAAGAAACCAAUCCAGUCAGUGCCAGAUUCAAAUGAACAUUGCAGCAUCAUAGAUGUGGAUAACUCGGAUGUGCCAAUGUUUGUGCAACACACAGAAGCUAUGAUGGAGGAGAUUGAGCGGAUGGUAGGGAAACAAACCUCCUUUACUUUUCUUUUCUUUUUUUUUUAUGGUUGAGAGAAUAACAUUGAUUCUAUGUGUCCUCUGCAGCAGGAGGUUGAAAUGGAAGACGUGGAUGAUGAUGAUGAUCCUCUUGUGGACAUUGACAAUUGUGAUAAAACGAAUCCGCUUGCAGUUGUUGAGUAUAUUGAUGAUUUAUACCAAUUCUACAAGAAAGCAGAGGUGAUUCACGUGUGUGAUUGCAACUUAAAAAGAAGUAUUUUUAUUGGGGUUGAUUCACUCAACUUGUUUUUUUAAUUUUUUGCAGUGUACUGGUUGUGUUCCUCCAAAUUAUAUGGAACAGCAAUAUGAUAUUAAUCAAAGGAUGAGAGGUAUCCUCAUUGACUGGCUGAUAGAGGUAACAUACAGAUGAUUAGCUAAUUUCCUUACAUCCUUGUUAUAGAUGAAUAACCCAUCAUUAAUGAGAAUAAUGGGAUGCCAGGUUCACUACAAGUUUGAGCUGAUGGAGGAGACCUUGUAUCUCACGAUCAAUCUAAUUGAUAGGUUUUUAGCAGUUAAGCAAAUAGCAAGGAAGAAACUUCAGCUGGUUGGAGUAACAGCCAUGCUUCUAGCCUGCAAAUAUGAAGAAGUUUCUGUUCCUGUUAUUGAGGAUCUGGUUCUCAUUUCUGACAAGGCUUACAGUAGGCAAGAAGUGCUUGAUAUGGUUUGUAAUUUAAACCCUUUUUUUGCCUCAUUUAAUGAUUUGAUGGCUCAAUAGGAAAUAGAAAUGACAUAAUGAUUUGUAGGAGAAACUGAUGAUCAACACCUUACAAUUCAAUCUAUCGGUUCCUACGCCGUAUGUGUUUAUGAGGAGAUUUCUCAAAGCUGCUCAGUCAAACAAGAAGGUACGGUGACAAGGAACUUUGACAUUUUUGCAUCUAUUAUGCAAGUAUCCAACAAUGUUUGAAUCUGAGAUGGGUUUGUUGAAACCUUGCAGCUUGAGCUUCUGUCAUUUUUCAUGAUCGAGCUUUGCCUAGUUGAAUAUGAAAUGCUUAAGUUCCCACCUUCUCUGUUAGCUGCUGCUGCUAUUUUCACUGCUCAGUGUAGUCUUAGUGGGUGUAAAUAUUGGAGCAAGACCAGCGAGUGGUAUACUACCUUCUCGGAGGAGCAGCUUAUGUAAGUCUCUUUGGGUUCUUUGUCUGUCUCUUUGUUGUUGUAUUUGCGAUGAAACUAAGUGUAGCAAAUUUCAUCUGUAGGGAAUGCUCAAGAAUGAUGAUUAGGUUUCACCAGAAAGCAGGGACAGGGAAACUUACAGGCGUACAAAGGAAGUACAGUACAUCUAAGUACGGUUAUGCUGCAAAAACAGAGGCACCAACUUUUCUAUUGGAGGCUUAAAGUUUCUAGCACAGCUUGCUGCUUAGCAUUGCCAUCCAUUGAUAAAAAUCCAGCCUAACUAGGAAUUGUGCCCCCUCCUGCAACUUAAGUUGCCCCCUCCCCUUGAGUUUAUAAAUAUUUCAUUUCUUUUGAAAAUAUUGUAAAAGUGAUUACAUGGUUUGAUAUUUCAUUUCUUUGGUCCCAACUUCAUUCUUUUACGUGUCAAUGCCACCAUCCAUCAUCACUAACGCCAGAUUUUAACUUCUGCAAAUUCCUUCAAAUAUUUUAUGUUGUAAGCGAAAGUUGUUACCAUCGGCGCCCAUUUAAGAUUAUCCUUGGAACGAACGUGGUGUUAGGAUUGACAGCGAGCCAAAAGCUUUAGACUUUUUGUAAAGCUGGAAAAAAAAAAGUCGCAGAUAUCCGUUGCUGAAGCAAUAAGAGGAACAAAGGAGAAAUUAAAAAGUAAAUGAAAAGUUGUCAUUGCUGGGGCACAUAAAGUGAUUCUCAGCUUAUGCGGUAGAGAAAUGCAGUGUGGUAUGACACUGAUCAAUUGGAGUAUUUAGAGAGAGUAAAUAGGGUUCGAGAGGUGAAAAGAUUGUGAAGAGAAUUCCUGAUUUCAUUUCAUAAUUCUACUUGUCCUUACAAGGAAAUUGCUGUCGUACCAGGACGGUUAUUUUUAUACAGCUGGCAUAACAGAAAAUAAAAUAGCUAAUAGCUGAGUCAUCAAUAACUCUGGACCAUCUCUUUUUGUUGGACUGUGCCCAUCAAUACAUCUGCUCCCAAUAGGCCCAUAUCUCAGUGUUGCGUGAUCUAUCAAUUGAAGGCCCUCUUUCUUCAUUUCUAUCAAAUCGCUAAUUCCCUUUUGACUCGAUCGAUUAGGAUUUUUUCCUCCACUUCCCUUCCACCUUUCUUCGUCUCUCUGAUUACUUUCCAAUUUCGUCACAUGCAGCACAAAAUUUAUUAAAAGGAUAAGCAUGUCAAAGAUUUGAAUAAAGUAUUUUGAUGUGCGUACCAGAAGCUGGCGUUCAUUGCGGCUUUCUGCAUUAAGAUUUGACAAGGAACCAAACUAGGGAAAAAAAAACUCAUCAGAAAAUGAGUGAGUAUUGUGGAUUCAUAUUUAUGUAUAAAAGGAAGAGAGAGUUGGGCUCAUGUCCUCUUCAAUUUGAACAAUUUUUGUGAUUCUUAGUUUGGUUGUGAUUGGAAUCCAGUCCCCAGCAACCAACAUUGAAGGCUAUGCUUAAAUUCAUUCACAGUGGGGAACGAGGACUUUGAUACCUUGUUAAUUGUUGCUCCAGUUCCUUCCGUUGUCUGACAAAAACAUGGAAUCUCUCUUCUUCGUCAGGACUGCUGCAAAAUGCUUUUAGAAUGCCUCAACAGCUACCUUACUAAUUUAUAUGCUAUGAAAUAAUUUGAUUUGGGUAUUUCGCUGGAGCCAUGCAUAUAUCUUUGGUUAUGGGUUUUUUUUUUUUUCUCUUUUUUGUAUCAAUAAAAAUAAUAGAACCGGCCAAGUAAGCUGCGGUUUCUUUGAGUUUGGUAAAAACAAGAAGAGACCCCUUUUUAUAAUAGCUGAUUAUAAAAACAAGAUGUGUACAUAUUACAUGCACUGCAGGGAUGGAGUUCCUCCAAGAGGAAGAUGGUAAUACAACAUGAGUUUUUAUCCAUUAUGCACAAGUUCAAUGGACAGGAAGUAGCCAACAUUGCAGAUAUGUUAGUUUCCCUGCAAGUGAGCACAAUAAGGCGGUUGUAUUGUGUAGCUAACUACUGAACUUUGCUGCAGGACCCUGUCCCUCCAAUUCUUCAAGUGAAUUCAUCAAUCCCAUCAUGUAAACUCGUCCAAAAAACUUGUGAAAGGAAUUCUGGAAUGCACUUUGACUACUGCACAACUUUUAGGAAUAUUAUUCUGGUGGUAAGUUUUUUGUAAGGGUUGCGUUUGCUUAUUAAAUUUUGUCAGUGGGAAGCAGUGAAUGAGUGAUAAAUGUGCAAAGAAUCUGUAAGCCGAGUCAAUAUGCAUAAUGGGUUGUAAUUGGACCAAAUGCACUGCUUCUGCUUCCUCGAACACUAGGGGUGACUUCAACUGAUCAUGUAUUUUUUUAUGAGUUUUGACUUGAGGAGAAUCCACUCUUCUAUAUCGUUUACUUCAUUUUCUGUUGGCUUUUAACUUUAGAGUUCCACAAUUUUUAAACUUUUGUCAUGUAUUAUUAACACAAACAUAACUAAACAACAAAAGCAUGAUUCAGUAUUCACGGAAAAUAACAGAUGUCAGAUGAUCCUGAUUAUAAGAAGCAGGUAUACUAUCUCGACAGGAAAAACAAAAACAAAAGAAUACAGUGGCCGGGCUGGCAGGCCAGCACAAGUCAUAAAAACUUAAUUUGAGUGCUAAUGCUACCCCUCUUCAUUUCAAGUCACUUCGAGCACUGCUGUUGCUACUUGGAAACUUUCCACAAAAAAUUGCCGUAGAAGCCCAUAGGGACAACAAAUAACACCUUCAUUUUCAUUUUCUUGAAAGGAAUGGCUUAACUGAUUCUACCACCACCUGGAUUAAAUAAAAAGCCAUCACAAAUGAAAUUGAUUUUACAACACAACUGUUACUCUUGUAUUAAUGGUUUAGGGCUAUAUAUCUAUGUUUCUUCUGGCUUCCUGAGUUGCAGAAAGUUCUUACCCUGCCAUCAUACGAUAGAGAAGCAAAUAUCCAAGGCUCACGAGAACUCCAAGCAAGGCCUGACAAUAUGGUUGUUAGAUUUAUAUCAUCUUUUAAAAGCAUGGCAUAAAACACAGGUGGAAGUUAGGACAGCUACCAUAUACACUGUCUUCAUAAUCACUGUAGGAAUUAAGCAAUGGGUCGGCCUGUUGAUUGAGUGGUUCAGUUAUGCUGUUAAAAGAUAAAUAAAGUAUCAGAGUCAAUCAACCAAUAAAACAUUAAGUCGUGCAAAGCUUCAGAGAGGGGCUAACAAAACAACCUUUCAGAUGUUGCUUUAUCUUCUGCAGAUAUAGGAGCCUGCCACAAGUUAACAGUUGAGUCUGUGCCAGCACUCUGCAGAAGGGAAAUUCUUGUCAAGAAUUUCCAAAAUAUACCAUAAACAACAAUUUGCAGCUUCUAUUAGAGUGUAUCUACGGAUAUGCCUAGUUGAUUCAAAUGAAUAUUUGUAACCAGUUUAGUCCAACUGAGACCCUAAUGCCCAUACCUAAAAACUAAUCUAGUUAAGAUGAAUGCUCAGAGAGAGAGAGAGAGAGAGAGGGAAAGGGAGAGAGAGAGAACCAGAAUUAGCCCAUCAUACUCAGGGUUACAAGUGACAGCCCAUGUCCUGCCAACAUUAUCAAACAGGUCACAAUCAGUGAACUAGAAGUACCUGAACUUAACCCAUUUCUUUCUAGUGGGAAUCAAACAACUCAAAGCAUACUCAAAUGAAAUUAGCUAUAAAUCAAUUAAGUAGGAAAUAAAAAGAGUAAAAUUCCUUAAACAUAAAUAAAAAAGACCCACAAAAGAGGAGCAAGUCAAUUACCAGUGUGUAUGUCCAGGAAGCUCUUUGGCAGGACUUUUGGGCUUUCUAAGAUCCCAUAUGUGUAUCCCAGAUUCAUCUUCUGCAGUGACCUGUGAUAAAAGAGACAAUAACAACUUCGAAGUAGUAACCAGAAGAAAUACCAUCUCACAUAAAUAGGUGCAUUCACAAAUCACAGUCACCAUUUCUAUAUUAUUCACCAUUCUUUUACUGAUCUCAACAGCUAUCAUUUAUAAGUGAGUGUCUCUUAUGAUGGAUAAAUGCAAAGGAUCAACUUCAUUCCAUCAAAUCCCCACAUGCCAGUAAAAAAAUAAUAGCGUGAUCCAAAAUUGCUAAAUAUCCUUCUAGAAAAUGGAAUGAACAUCUGAAUAGUCGAUAUGUAGUUUCAUCUAUGUAAAUCAUUCAGGUGCAAAUUCGAAGUGGUGUAGGUGCAUUGUGCAUGGCAGAUUUUUGACAGGGAAGUUCCGUGCUUGGCCAUGGCUUUGACCAAGUUCAAAGUAUAGCUUAAUUGGCCAGUAAAUCCUUGCAAUUUCUCAACCUUAACACAUCAUAUUGACAAUCAUAAUUUAUAUUACCAGUGUAUACAUAUAUUAUCUAGGUAUAACAGGUGAAAGUUCUAGAAUUCACAUGGAAGUUUUGUUUGAUAGAAAAUAGCAUUUUAAAAUGCCAACUCAUCCCCCCCCCAACCCCCCCCCCCCCCCCAAAAUACACACACAACAAAAGAAAAGGUAUUCUAAAAAUCAAGGUUGCAAUAGAAAUAACAAAAAUGACAAUAGAAAAGCAAUAACGCAAUGGCCAGUAAAUUUUUAUGAUGAUGUUAAAUGGUAAAAUAUUCAAGUUAUAUCCUUACAAGUAUAUGACUUUUCUUCAUAUCAUAGUUAGCAUUGCGGAUGUGGGCACGCUCAAUUGCAUUUGUCUUCCUGUGAAUACAUAAAAUUGUUGUCAAGUACAGCAUAACUCUAAGCGCAAUCAAUAGCUUAAGCAUUUUAAGAAAAACGAUCUGCAAAGAAACCAAAUAGUUAAAGGUACAAGCAACGACAUUAGUCCUCCCUUUACCCUCAUUUCUUCAGUUAGUGAAAGACAGGUGAUGAAAUAGUAAAUAUUUGAAUUAUGGUCCAUGAAUUUUAGAAGGACUCAAUUCACAAGGGAAAUGGAACACCAAAUUAAAUGACCAACAGCAUAAUAAUUAGCCAGUUUUGAACUAAUCAGGAAACUAAGAUAUGCAGAGACAACAUACUUCAUUGUACGUAGAUCCCAAAACUGGACUGAUGAUUCACAAGUUGUCGCAACAGCAUUCAUGUCAUGUGGAUCCCAUGCACCACCAGAUAAGUAAUGAAGCAUACCAGAUGACUCUUUAGAUUGCACCUAGAUUUCCACAAUAAGAUCUGAAUAAGCAUCACAAAGAGACUCAAAAAUUAUACUAUGUUGUAGCAAUCAAUGUUACAUGGACUCUGGUUUGGAUAUCUGACACAGAUUAAUCUAAGGGACAGAUAUACCGUUUGCUAAAAUAAUCAUCUGCCACCUUCAACCACUGUCGUAUUUUCACCAAAUUUCACACACAAAUACUGCUUUGCCUCCUAUUUCCAUUUUGCCACUUGCUCUUCCUCAGUUCCUUCUCACCACUUUGAAACCCCAAAACAUCCCCGCCACCAAGAACAACCUCUGCAAUGUUGUUGGCUGAUGUGUUGAAAUAUACAGCAAGGAGUCCAACACAUUUUUGUGUUGGUACCCAUGGCAUGUCAAUACAGACAUGGCACCCUAAAGUGCUGAGCCCAUGUAACAUAGAUAGGCAUUUAGAUACUUUUGUUUUUAAUAACAGCCACUGAUGUGUGGUCAAUGUCUUUGCCAGUUAGAUAAAUGCAAAGUUUCCAAUUGUCAAAAUAUUUAUUAUCAGACACUAUGAAGCGAUAUUAAAUAUAUUGAGAUUCUAAAAGAUAUGUGAGAAAAUAAUGCUACCAAUUACAAAUUUAUGUCAGUUGUGUCUUUGAAGAAGGUAUUAUACUAACUAUGUACUAAUUUCACAAAUGUAAAACCAACAGGUUGAGCAUUCACAUGCUAGUACAAAUACCAUGGAUGUUAAGAAGAAAUACAUGCAGAAUCUAACCUGGGCAGCCUUUUUUGAACAAUCUAAAGUCCACAAGAAAAGAUUUUCAUCAUCAAUGCUGAGCAACUUAUCAUGUCUUCCAGAUGGCCACCAGAGAACACUGUUAAUAAGUAGGCCAAAGUAAAUUUCAUAAAAAUGGCCAGAAGGAAAUACAAAGAAUAUACAGUUUUAAUAACUUAGGGGAAGUUUUGAAGCAGGAACUUACCAAUUAAUCUUAGCAACAUGUGCAUCAAGGGAGGCAAUUCGUUCCAACUGUGGUGAAUUUAACUGCCCAUACAAUUCAGGUAUCUGCCAUAUUGCAGCCCCAUAAGAUUCACCUUCAACAACAAAAAAAAAAAAAAACUAUCAAGCCAGUCUCCCAUCUUUAAGCCACAAAACUUUUGUUGCUGUUUCUAAUUAACAAUUUCCUGCAACAGCUAAUUCAACUGAUAGUAAAACUAAUACAUACAGAAAAGAAAAAUCAAGGUUCCUGAAAUGGACUAAAUAGGGGGAUCUAUUUGUUCUUCUAUCUCUUAGCCUUAAAGUCACAAAAACCAAUGAACUAAUACUGGAGGCAGAUAAUAUCAAGUGCACCAAAAUAUGGAAGAAAUAGACGUAAAUCAAGGUCAAAGAAGCUACCGGUUGAAAAAACGGUAGAGAAAAUCCGUUGAUCGAAGGGACAGGAAGCUAGGUCCCAGAUCUCGUUAGGGUGGGAAAACAAGCCCUCACAAAUGAGCUCGGUUCCACCAGAAGAUAGCCGAAUCAGAUGCACCUGGGCAGAUUUCAGUUGAAUUAGCUAAUAUGACAUUUAGAAAGUAAAAAAAUAAAAAAUAAAAACACCGUGAUCAUGAAAUUUAAACCAGAUCAAAAUUAAUUCAGAAGCAAAACCAAACCUCAUUUUCUUCCCUGAGACUGAGGGUUCCCGUAAUGAAGCUGGUAUGAUCCGUGUCUGCUUUGACAUCCGAAAUGCAUCUUGCCUGCCAGCUUAAAAUUAUGUAAGGCUCUUAAACCUCGAGAUAACAUAGUAGAAUUGAGAAUUUGAGGGUGAACCUGAUACUUGAGGCCGUAGCCGAUGCCAGAAGAUCCUCCUUGCAUCGUUGCACCACCAGGAACCCCCGGAUUCAACGAGCAACCGCUGCUUUUCAAGUGCUUCGGUUCAACUCCUCAAUUUCUUGCUAAAACGCACGCGUUUUGCCUCGGCUGGGUCAAUUGGACAUAGAUGCGCUACUGCGUGGAGAAUGGGUUAUUUGUUUGACAGUCCAAUUCGAGCCCAAUAGUCUUCAAAAGGUUAUUGCAGAGAGUUAGGCCUGUAGAACGGACUGAGUUAUUCACCUAUAGUUUUUUUCAUUACAUGCAUUUCAAUUUAUAGGACUUAGGGAAAAAACUAAAAAAUCGAAAAUUAACAUAAACCGAACUGUUUUGAUGGUUUACGAAAUGUUAAUUUAAAAACUCCAAAAUCAAAUUAAAAUUUAUUUUUAUUUAAUUUAUUUUUUAAUUUUUUAUUGUAUAAAAAUAAAUAUAUAUUUAAAAUAGUAAAACUAAUAUGAAAUUUUUAGAUUAUUUUUCUUUUUUAAUAUUUAUGAAAUAUGCUUCGAAAUGUUGAUAAAUAAUUUUCAAAAAUCAUAAAAUAAACUCAUUUUUUAAAAUAAAUCUAAAAGUUCAAAACCAAAAAUUAUGAUAGAAAAAUUGAAAACUAAACCAAAUUAUUAUGAUGAAUUCAAAAAUUCGACUAGAUCCAUAUCACCCCCCUUAAAAUAAUCACCCACUUUAAAAACCACUUUACUCUCCUUUUAGAAUAUAAUUAUUUUUAAAAAUAUUUACUUUAAUUUAAUUUAUAUUUUCUAAAACAUAUAUCUAAAUUUAUUAUUAAAAAAAUUUCACCAACAAAGUUUAUAUUUUCAAAAUAUCAUUAGUGCUUAAUUUUUGCAUUAAUUAAUCAGCGUCAUGAAUUAAUGGUUAUGAGUUAUUAUUUAUUUAUUUACUCUUUUAUGUACAAGGUUUAUUGGAUAUUCCUAGAAUUCGGAGUGGAGGUUACUUUGUUUUACUUCAGGGUUUUUCUUCUGAUCUUGUUUAAUACGAUUGUCACUUUAAUUUUUUUUUUCUGUUUAUGUAUUAUGUUCUUUUGAAAUUCAUUUUGUUAUUUUUAAAUUCUUUUUCAAUGAAAUUGCAUGAGUACUUCAUUUUCAAAAUUUGAAAAGCUAUUAUGUAUGCGGGGGCAAAUCUAGAAUUUCCUUUUAGCAGGAUCAAAAUUUAAUUAUAACCUUUUUAUAGAUCAAAUUAUAAGUUUACUAUAUAUUAAUUUAUAAUUUCAUCCUUUUUAAAGGGACUAAACAGAAAUUAUUUCAUUUUUAUAGGAGCUAAAAUGUAAUUUUACUAUAUAUUAAUUUAUAAUUUCUUUAUUUAUAAGAGGAUUGAAUUGAAUUUCUUUUUUUCAUUUUAGAGGGUCAAAGUACAAUUUCACUAUGUAUUAAUUUAUAAUUUCUCUAUUUAUAAAAGGAUUAAAUUGAAAAUUUUUCAUUUUGGGGACAAAGUCACCCACCUGCCCCCUUCAGAUUCGGCUCUGUAUCAUGUAUGUGUACGUGUACAUCCGCAUAUUUGUGGGUGUAUACGUAAAUGAUGAAUGCUUUUAUGUUUGUGAAUACCAAAAGCUUCUAACGUCAUAUGCGUGAAUACAUUAUUGUUAACAGCUUAACUUAAGCCAUUAUUAUUGUUUAACUUCUCGGCUUGAACUCCAUUAUUGUUAAGAGGGGUCUAUUAUAGGUUUCUUGGUCAAAUUUAUGAAUAGUCACAGUACUUCACUCAAGUUGUGGAAUAAUCCCUGUACUUUGCUCCCAGUUGUGGCACUACCCUUCUUGCCAAGCUUGGAAGCAAUCACCAUGGCAUAUCCCAUUCAAAUUUAGGUGAUAGUCAAUAAGUCCCACAAAUUUAGUCCACAUUGGUGCCUCAAACGAGGAUAGGAGCUUUAGGAAUCGUCUCCGUGCUUGGUGACUACUGAAGCAAUAUGGAGCAUAAUCACCAAGGGAACAGUCACUUCUUUAAACCUCAUACAGCAAUGGCUGCAUGAUCAUAGUAGAACUUGCUUUUCAAAACUUACCUUGAAUAUGGCCGCGCCAGUGAGUCAAAGAAGCAACAAUGUCAAACCUGUGCCACUUCUUUGAAUGUAUCUUACAGUCCCUGUGCACUGGCUCGAGUAUCCUAUCAUUCGUAGGCCUGAAACCUUGAUCCCAUGAUUAUAUCUUCAAUUAACUUUCUGAAAAUCUGUGGAUACUAAACUACAUACCCCUUGAAUAGACAGAUCCACUCAAACAAGAAUUCAAAUCGCCUUCAGAAACCGUAAAUCGUGCAUAUUAGAGUUCUGUUACAAAUCAACUGUAUGGAUACACCAACAUGCAAAAAUGUUCCAAUGACUCAGCACCGAGUUCUUUCCUCUGACGUCUUUUAAACUACAACCAAAACUAAGUAAAUUACAAACUAAAGCAAAUAUUAUUCACUGCACUCCCACCUGGACUACGAUUCCAGUAUUGUUACUCAGAGUCAUGCAUGCAUCUCAAAGGUACUAAGGAAGACACCAUACCUUAAAACUCAUAGUUCAAUUAGAACAUCCCAACUUUCCAUCUCAAAUAACUAGACUCGCCAUGGUUCACUGACAUUUGAGGUGAACAUACCAAAUCAUACUCCUUUGCUUGCUUCAAGUGCAAUUACAUAUUUCAGUAGACCAAACUGAGCAUGGGCCAGAUGCAAUGAUCGAGAAUUUUCAAAAUUACACAACAAGCUGUCUCCUUUUAAACAAAUUCAUUAUCAUUUUGUGUUUUACAUAGAUAAUGGAAGCAGCAUCCUUCUUUUCUUUUUCCCAGCCACGCUCACUUGCUUUGUGAUUUUCAUGCACAGAAGCAAUAACAAUGUGAUGCAUACUAGAAUAAAAGCAAGUUGCAUAUGCCUAAAAUAUAAAGAAACGGCUGAAAAAACCAGAAAAGCUAAUAUAACGAGUUCCCAUAUAACAAAGGCCACAACAUCCACUCUGCACCCAGAAAACAGUAAAUAAAACACAACUAUUAGAAUUUAUCUUGUACUGAGAUAGAGAAGAACAAAAAACACAACAAUGGCCAAAACGAAUGGGGAAAGUUGCAAUCUCCCUCCCCAUCGAAUUUAUGAAUCUAAAUCGUAACUCUAAAAUCAUGUCAAAACUGGUUGGAAUUAGGAUAAAAGUACAAACAUAUCAAGGCAAUGAAUAUUUUCCAUGCACAAGUAAAACAAAAACCUCAAAUGUAAAGGCCAAUAGAUAUUGUUUUCAACUUUUGGCACAAAGACUCCUAGCGUAAUCCCCUAUAAUUUGAGCAAAUUGAGACAGUUCUAUAAUUUGCCAGCAGAUUGGCAAUUAUUCUGCUCUUAUAAAUACUUCAUAGAGGCUCAGAAAAACUAGAGAUACACAUGAUAAACAAUCAUAAAAGCCGAUUGAGUGGCAAGAUCUAUCUAAGCACAUCCAUAUACUCCUACCAUCAAACGGUUGGUUUACAAAACCAAGCAUCCAAUUCGGUCAUUUGAAAUAUAAAUUACAGAAGUACGAGUAGAAAAACAAAGGUUAGCAAGACAAAAGCAGUAUAACAGUAUUAAAGUUGAAUUUAAACAGUCGUUACAGAAUUAACCAAAAGCAAUAAACAUCUCCUUCUUAAGCAAGGAAAUGCCUCUAAUUCUAUCCCCCCAUUCCAGUAGCAUGCUUCUUUCAGCCACCUAAAUAUCAGUUUCUGAUGAAAAUUAAAAUGAAUCAACAAUUUUUUUUUCUUUCCUUUCAAAGUUUCGGAUCCACAUCAUAAGGAAUCAACAGCACUUUAUAAGAAAAUCCAGAGUCAAUUUAUCUUUGUUUGGCCACCUGAAGUUUUUAUCUAUUGUCAAACGGAUAAUUUAACGACGACGACUACUAUUACUAUUACGAGUCUUUGAAGGUAUUUUUUCCACCAAUUCUUAGUAUGUGAAUUGAUUGAGAAAAUGAAACGAAAGAUACAUUUCAAAAUUAAAAUAUUCAUAAUCUCCACAUCUGAAUUUUUAACCAAAUUAUCCUAUAAAAGCCUAUCCUAUCUAAGUAAGCUCAAGUGAAAAAAAAUAUAUAUCACGGAAAGCACUUACAGACAAAGAUGUCGAAUCAAAACCAGGGAAAAGAACAAAGAUUUCCUACCGUAUAUUCAAAACAUGAAGAGAAAAAUAUAACGAAAAAAAAAAGCAAACAAAGGAAUUAGGAUUACCUAGAAGUUGUGAGAUUAGAGGUUGAUGCGAAAAACGAAACAGAGGCCCAAUCGUGCUUAGAUCGAAGCUGAUACUCUCUUAAUUGAUCUGCUAAAUUGGAUCGCGUUAUCAUGGCUUCCCUUUUCCUAUCCCUGCCUUUCGAUUUAAAGCUUUGUUUGGCUUUGGAACUCUAGAGAUGGUGAACGAUUGAGAAAUCGCAGAGCAAGGUGCGAAUUGAAGCUAGAAGAAAGGCAAGGGAUAGCAUCGGGGUUGGAUGGGCCUUGGUUCGUUACGUUGCGUGCACCUCCUAAUUUACAAUCUUGUUUUUCCUUCCCGCCCCGGCUGAUAAAAAUAAUAAAUAAUGUAAUGAGAAAACAACCCCGGUACUCGGGAGCCGCCGUUUUUGACGGGUUUUUCAUCUAACUGCCAUCCACAAGACCCAGUCGGGCUUAUAUGUGAUGAAUGGGCGUUCAGUAUAUUUUGUCUUAGCCACGUAUGAUUAAAUUUCAUGUAAUGAUAAAUUAGUUAUUCAACUUUCAAUCCAUUUAUUAAACUGAAUUUUGAAAGACAUCUGUUUCAAAUAAUAGUUUUCACGACUUCACAAGGAGUGAAAUAAAAUAAACCUACCACACAUUUUCGAUUAUACGCCUUCAGUUGAUAUAAAUUUUGAAAAACAACGAUUAAUGACACUUCAGUGUGCCGACUAUAUUCAAUGAAGUACAUUAUCACAACCCACCAUGAAAAACCAGAUAAUUGUCCGGAAGCUAUCUUGUACUCGUCAAGAAGAUGAUAGAAAAAAGGAUGGAGGGAUAAAUGAAAGCUUGCUUCUAUAUAGAAAAAAGGAUGGAGGGGUAAAUGAAAGCUUGCUUCUAUCACGUGUAGUGGAAGUAAAAAGCUACUAUUGUUGGUGUCGCUCAAACAAUUUGACCCUUCAGGAAUUGAGAAAUCAUAAGUGAAGUUCGAUAUUUGAAUUUCCUGAACAGUUAAUGCUCUAUUCAUUUCUUCCACCUUCGUGGUGCAAAUGUAGGCCUUAGCUUCCACUGGACUCCUCGCUUCACGAUGUCGCAAAGGGAUGUUCUAGGCAACACAGUCGCUCCCUCUAGUCCUAGCCAUGGGGUGCUAACAAAAGCUAAAAAGAAAAUUUGAAAGAACAGUGGAAAUUUUAAGAAGAUUACCUCUGAAAUCGCUUUCCUCGACAAUCAUUUUUUUCUCAGUCUCAGAUUCAAAUAAUGAGAUUUUUAGGGCUUUGGUAACUUUCUUUUAAAAGUUUAACAGCCUGAUUUCAAUUCUGUCGGAAACAGUAGUUUCGAAAUCACAAAUCCGACAAGUAAGCCCGUAUUAAUUAUCAUUUAAUUUGUAUGAGUCAAUUAUAAUUUGAUAUUGAAUUCUGAUUUGGUGAAUUUUAGUUAACUAAAUAAAUAGUUAGGUAUAAAUGGUUGUUUCGAAAGUAAAUUGGUUUCGAAAUAUGAAAUAUCGAGACCUCAUUUAUGAAAACCGAGCUUAUAAAUAUUUUUAUUAAAUAAUUAAGGAGCUAUUAUAUUAGCACGUGAAAGUUCAAUUCAGAUAUUUUAUUGUUGAAUUAGUUAAUUAAUUAAAAGACUAAUUUGUAAAAGAUGUAAAAAUUAGUUAUUAUUGAAUUUUAUUGAUUAAAUUACUUAAUUAGUAAAUGAGGAAGGAUUUAUAUAGAAAAUAAACCAUUGAUAUUUUAGUGCACGAAUAGUGAGUUUAUUUUAAACAUUUUCUUUAUAUAAAUUUUGUUUUUAAGUUAAUAUAAUAAUAAUAAAACAUAAGAAAUGAAUUAAUAAAUAAAACAUCAUCUUUCUCAUGGUUUACCACCAAAAAAAACAAAACCACUUUCCUCCAUCGAAGGAGCUUAAGGUUAGGCAAUGGUUUAACACACUUGAAUGGUAAGAAUUUUUGACCCAUUUUUAAUAAUUUUUAUGUUAUUGAGAUCGUUGCAACUAGGUCCAGCUAACUCGUACCUUUAUUUUUAAAAUUGUUAAGGAUUUUGGAUUUUACUAUUAAUGAAUCUUAGUUAUUUUUUUAUGUUAAAUGGUGAAUUUAUAGUUAUGGUUGUUUAUUAAAUUAAUUUGUUAAGAUAUUUUUGUUAGUUUUUAGUUAAAGGAUUAAAUUCAUAAAAUAUUAAAAUUUACAUGGAAAUUUUGUGAAUUGUGAAUAAUUAUGGACUGUAUUAGUCUAGAAAGAAAUUCGUCUAGCAUGAAAAAUUAUUAAAUUUUGUUCAAUUUGGAAUUUCAGAUUUAGAGACUAAUUUGUGAGAAAUAUAAAAGUUUUAAAGAAAAUGUAUAAACAAUGAAAACUUAAGGGUCAUGUGCAUAAAAUGAGUUGGAAGAUGUACUUGAAUUUGAUAUAUUGAAUUUAAUCAUUAUAUAGAUCAAGAAUUGAAUCGAACGAAGGUUAAUCAGAAAAAAAUAAAUUUACAGAUUUGUCCCUGCGAGUCAACCAAAUGCAUAAUUUAGGUAAGUUCAUAGAAUUAUUAAAUAAUUUUAUAUGUUUGUAAAUUAUGUUAUUAUUAUUUUUUACUUAUAAAUUAUAUUGAUUGAAUACUUAGUAAUAAAAUUUAAUUAUGAAUUGUAUAUAAUUAUGUAUAAAUUAGAAGUGUACCAUCCAGAAAUUGGGAAAUGGUCGUGAAAUAUGAAUGGCAUUAUCUCGAAAUGGAUGAAAUAAAUAUACAGUAUGUGUAUAGAUACUGUGGAAGUGCCAUUGAUUUUGUUAAUGUUAUGAAUUCAGUUUAAAUUUCCGUUUGAAUGUAGUAAACGAUUAGGAUACGAUUGACAUGCCAAUAAAGUUAUUUGUGCAUUGUACGGGAUAUAUAUGAUGGUACGAAUAUAUUAUUGAUUAUACUAGAAUCCAACAUUUGUUAUAGAUUACUGAGUUAUAUUGGUGUGGUGGAAGGAUAUUGGUGUGGUGGAAGGAUGUAUUGAUACUGAUUCUAUGAUGCCAACGGGCUUUACAUUUCAGUGCUCUGGUGUAUUGUAGUUUGAGCUCUUACGAGUAUUCUGGUGUGGUGUAGUUACUCAUGUAUUUGUAUCUGUUUAUUAUAGUUCAAUGGGCUAUAUGUUAAAAAUAUAUAUGUAUUGAAUUCAUGAAUUAUUUGGAAAUGAUGUGUUAUAUGAAUAUUGAAAUGUUAAGUGAUGAAAUUGAAUAAUCAAUAAUUAUGUGUUUAAGAGUUGUUUGAAAAGAUAUCAAAACAACUGGAAAGUUUAUAGUUAUAUUUAUGAAACGCUUAUCUAGUAAAUGCAAUAUUGGUGACAAAUUUGUGUGUAUAAAAGAAAUGGAAUAUGAAUAUGAAUUGACAUGAUCAAUUGGUUAAUACAAUGUAUAUGUUGAAUUUUUCCUGAAUGAAUGAUACAAAAAUAUGUUGCAUUGAAUGAUUGGGAGAUUAUACAAAUGAUAUGUGAAACACUCACCUUAUUGUUGUAAAUGUAUUGACAGGAAAUACGUAUUAAAUUAGUUAUAUUUGUUUACUUAAUUGUAACUAAGGUAAGAAUUUUGUUUAAGUAAUUAUGAACUUAGUAAGCUAUAUAAGUUUACUCUGUUAUAUUUAUUAUUUUCUGUAGUUUUCGUUUUGUAGAACUAGUCGGACGAAUCAAUUUCAAGGCUUACACUAUUAAGCUUCUGUUUCAGUAUUUUUGACUUGGCUAUUUCAGUUUGUGUUAUGUAUAUAUGGUUUUGAAGUUAUGAAAUUUAAAAUUUUAGUUAACUAUGUAAAAUAAGUGGAUGUUGGUAUAUGAUGUAAAAUAAGUGGAUGUUGGUAUAUGAUGUAAGCUUGUGUUUCAUGUUGAUCUUGUGAUGAAUAUGGAGUAAACAGUAAAAUUGUCAUGUUGAUGUUAUUUGGUUUGAAUGUGUUUUGAAACAGUAAAAUUGUCAUGUUGAUGUUAUUUGGUUUGAAUGUGUUUUGUGUCAUUUGAAUGGUAGGCAUGUUUUGGUUUUGAUAUCUUACUUGUGAAUCAAUAUGAUAAUGGUUAUUUAGAAUUGGUAACUUGUGGUUCUAGAAGUGAGUAUAUUUGUCUUUGUUAAGUAGCAUGAAUGAGUGAUUUUGGUAAUUUAGUAUUUGGAACCUUAUUGAUGAUGAAAUAAAUUUCACAUGAUGAUUGCAUUUUUAGUUAAACUGUUUGUAUGUACAAUUGAGUUUAUGUUUGAAUUUGUUUGUGAUGGUGCCAAAUGGCAUAUUUGUAACACCCUUAACCCGUAUUCAUCGUCGGAAUAAGGUUACGGAGCAUUACCAGAGUUUAUAGAUCAAAUAACAGACAUUUCAAACAUUUCAUAUCAUAUAAUAUUCAUGUCAGAAACCAAUCAAAAUCAAACAUAUUGUCUCUUAUACGAGCCCUAGAGGCCCAAAAUACAUGUUAGAAACAAGUCAGGACUAAAUCGGAUACUCAAAGAAUUUUUUGGAAAACAUUGAAAUUUUUCAAUGCUGCAGGGGUCACACGGCCAAGAGACACGCCUGUGUCCUUGGCCGUGUGGACAUUUGAAAUAAGGACACACGGCCGUGUCCCAACCCGUGUCCGUAUUCGUGUAACUCACUGACUUGGGUCACACGGCUAAGCCACACGACCGUGCCACUUGACCGUGUGUCACACAGGCUGAGACACACACCCGUGUCUCUACCCGUGUGGAUGAAAAUAGGUCAUUUUACAGGCCACAUUUCUCACCUAAUUUAGCAUCCACAUAUACUCAACAUUUUGUAUAUAUACAAGUCAUAAUUAGGCAUCCAAAACAGGCCAAAAUUAAGCAUUAAACGUUUAAAAUCGUCACAUACAACCAAUAUCCCUUUAGGCAUUUCAAAUGAAAAUAUGCAAAUAUGUCAACCAUGUACCCCAAAUUUACCUAAGUGGCUUAAUACGUAUAUGUAUAAUUGUACCAAAACCUAUCACGUAGAUCAUUUAUCAUGUAAUGGCCUAAAUUCAAAGUUAUCGGAACAGUGGUUUCGUAACCACAAAUCCGAUUUAAAGAGAAAUUUAUUUCAAUAUUUUUGCAUGAAAAUUGAUAUGAUAGGAAAAUCGUAUGAAAAUAUUGAUUGAAAAAUUUUAUCGAUUUAGUGGUUAGUUAGAAAGAGAAAUUAUUGAAGAAAUUGGGUAAAAACAAGAUAUCGGGACCUCUAUCUUGUAAAACCGAGUCAAAAAUAAUUUUAUAAAUAUUUAUGAAAUGUUAUUAGUGUGGUAUUAAAAUUUCGUUAGGAAAUUUUAAUAUUUAGGUAGUCAAUUAAAUGAAAAGGACUAAAUUGUAAUAGGUGUAAAAGUUGCUAGAAUGAUUAAAUAGCUUAAGAGUCUAAUGAGAAAGGAUUUAAAAGGGAAUUAGACCCAAAAUUUAUUUGGGCUGGACGGCAAGGGUAUGAAAUCAGCAGAAAAUUUGAUAAAUUAAGGGUAAAAUUGGAAUAUUGCAAAAUUAACUAAAUAAAGCUAGGACUAAAUAGGAAAUAUCUAGAUUUCUCUUCAUUUCUCUUCAAUUCCAGCAGCUAAAAACGCCAUAGGAGGGUUCUCUAAGCUGGUAUUUCAUAAUUUUUGCACCAAGUGAGUUAAUUCUUGCCUUUUUCUUGUAAUUUUUGUGUUUCUAAGACUUUUACAACUAGGUCCUACUAUUAAAUUCAUUAGUUUUUUAAUUCAUGGAUGAAAUUGAAAGUCAUAAUGGUUGAGUGCUGUAAGUUUAUGAUGAAAUAUAAUGAAAUUAAAGCUUUAAUUUUUUUAUGAGAUGAUUUUGUUAGGUAAUUUCAAUAGAAAUUGAUUUUUAGGACCUAAUUGUGAAAAUGCUUGGAAUUAUUAAAGUCUAUUGCUGAAAUUCUGAUUCCUAAAGGUUGUAAACUAGUUUAAGGUGAUAGAAUAAAAUAUUAAUUGAGAUAAAUCAGUUCAAUUGAGAGGCUAAUUGAGUAGGGACGAAAUUAUCAUUUAUUAAAAGCUUAGGGGAAAAAUGGUAAUAAACAGCUUGCACAAAAACAGUUUGGACAGCAGCAGUAGACUAACUUUGAAAAAUCACCAUAAAUUUUAAAAAUCGAAUUAGAAGAUGAAAAAAUAUUUAAUUAAAGCUUAUUGAGUCUAGUUUCUCAUAGAAGAAAUAUUGUAAGCAAUGGAUUUGUAAAUUUUGAGAUAUAAUGAAUUUUGUGAGACAAGGUCAGAAUGAAUUCGGGUUCCCCUGUUCUGACUUUGAAAAAUCAUAAAAAAUUUAAGAAAAACAAUUAGGGGCUUAAAUUUAUAUUUCUAGAAUAUUUAAUGAGUCUAUUUUUAAUAGAAACAAACGAGAACAUCAUUUGAAUUCUGUAUGAAGAGAUAAUUAAUUUUUAGUGAAGAAGGGUCAGAACUGUCGACAGCAGAACAUGGGUGACUUUAAAGAAUAAACUGUACUGAUUAGCUAAACCAAAAAUUUUGAAAAUUUUAUAGUAAGAAGAUAUGUGAGUCUAGUUUCAGGGAAAAUUAUUGGAUUCUAAUUUUGAGUUCUGUAUCUCAAGAAAAAAAUAAUUUAGUGACUAUGACUCAAGUAGACAGCUUUGAAUGAACUAUAAAUAAUAGUUGAAUUAUAGAGAAUGUUGCAUAUGAACAUGAAAUAUAUUAAAUUGAUAAUUAAAUUUAUUUAUUUAAAUCCAGAAGAUUCAAAUACGAAGCUAGAUUGAGGAAAGGAAAAAGUUCGAGAUUAGUAGAUUUUUUUUGUUUACAAACAAGUAUCAAGGUAAGUUCAUGUAACUUGAAUUAUAUUCUUAAAUUGCUUGAGAUUGUAUGUUAUUGAUGUGAAUAUGAUUUGAAUGUUCAUUGUAUGAAAAUUAAUAAAACAUUGAUUUAUUUGAUAAAAUGGGAAGAAAUCCCGGUUGAAUGAAAGGAAAAUUUGAUGGAUCUCUGAAAAGGAAUUGACGGUAAAAAGGAUCAAGCCCGGACAGGUGAUCCUAUCCUGAUAUAGCCCUCCCGAAGAAUAUGUGUAAAAUGGAUUUAGCUCGGACGGGUAAUCCGAAUUAGGGUCUAAAUUUAGCCUGCACUGGUAAUUCAGAUCCAAGCUCAUUAGAGUAAUUGUCGUUGCAGGGGAUUUAGCCUGGACUGGUAAUCCCGACAAUACUCUAUGAGUUUAUAUUACAGGGGAUUUAGCUUGGACUGGUAAUCUCGCUGCAAGGUUGAGGUUCGCGGGAGUGUGCUCUCUGAAAUGGAUAUGUGCGCACAUGAAUAUGAAUUGACGGACCCGGAAAUGUACACUAAAAGUGUAUCUUUGAAAAUCCAUCGAAAAUUCCAAGAAAUUCAACGGGAUAAAUAUGGAAAAAAUAACAAGGAAAUGGAAAUUAUGGUAUUGAUGAGCUCAUCAAUCAUAGUAUAUAUUAUUGGUACAUGGAAAUUAUUGUACUAACUUGAAUGUUGAGUUUGUGCAUAUUAGGGUAAUAAUGCAUUGAAUGGAUAUAGGAAUGUUUAUUGUAUUGUAUUGAAAAUAUUAUGUAAGUAUAAUUCUUGUUACAUGAGCUUACUAAGCACAAAGUGCUUACCCCGUUUCCUUUUUCCCUAUUUUGUAGUGUUAAGAGCUCGGAGGUCGGAUUUAGUCGGAGACACAUCACACUAUCAACCUCAGGACUUUGGUAUAUAAAGAAACUUUAUUUUGGAAAUUAAUGGCAUGUAUAAGCUAAUAAAGUAAAUGAUUCUAUGAAAUGAAUGUAAGGUCAGCCAAUGGUAUGGCUAACAAAUCUUAGUUUUGUUAUGUGAUGAGGUUAUCUUAUAAAAAUGCAUGAAUCUAUCUUGAAAAUAUGUUGAAUUGGAUUGGUUGAUUUGGAUUGGUCUCGAUAUAAUAUUGCAAGGAAGGUUAGAUAUCUGUAAAGGGAUUAUAUUGAGUUUUCCUAAAAAAAAAAAUUAAUUCGUAAACUCCGGUAAUACCUCGUACCCUAUUCCGGCAAUGAAUACGGGUAGGGGGUAUUACAUAUUAAGCUUACCCAUUUGGUACCAAAUGUACCAUUUUAAACCAAUCAUCAAUAUACCUAUAAGUUUUUCAUCAUUCAACCAUAUCAAACACAUAUUAAAUAUGAUAAGGCCACAUAUAUAUACACAUCAAAAUAUACCAAACACAAGCCAAAUAAGUGAUUAAUCUCAACAAAACACUUAUAUGCCAACAUUGGCUAAAUUAACAUAUAUAUGUCAUUAUAACUGGGAUUAAUUAACCGAAAGUACCAAAAGAACUGAUAGAUAGUGUGAAAUAGCUCCGACAAGCUUCCAACCCGAACGAGCUUCCGAAUUACUAUAAAACACGGAAAAUAACACGAAGUAAGCAUUUAAGCUUAGUAAGUUCAUAUAACAAAGAAAUUAACUUACCAUUUAAUCACAUUUAAGGUAAGCAUACAAAACAUAUCCAAAUCAAUUUGGCUAAAAGCCUAAACACAUAUCUUCAACAACCAUGUUAGUCAUGUAAUUCAACCACUUUUCAAAUUCCAUAUACAUGUAACAUUAUCUAUAUAUCAUAUAUAAAUUAUUUCCAUAUAAUUCAUGUAAAUACCUGUACUAGUUCGUAUUGAAUUCUUAUAAACUUGUAACAAAACUAUGCCCGUUAAACCAUUUAGAAUAUCAUUGGAUACGCAGGUAGUACACAAGAGGUGUACUAAACUGUAAUCCGUCAAAUCAUGUACAUGUAUGCUCAUACGAACUAUAAAUCGGUAUGCCCUCACGAGCUGUGAAUCGAUAAGCUCAUACGAGCUAAGAAUCAGUAAGCUCUCACAAGCUACAAAUCAGUAAGCUCAUACGAGCUGUGGUGUGUCCGCAACACAUGCAGGACCUCAACCAAAUUGGUAAUCCUAAUGACAUGUCAUUUAUAUCCUACGAAUUCCUAAGGUUCAAACGGGACUCGUAAUCGUCGGAUAUAUGAUCGAUAUUUAUACAUGACAAUUAUACAAAUCACAUACAUAUAAUUCAAUUUAAAACAUAUAAAUAAACAAUUUAAUUACAAGAACUUACCUCGACGAGUUUACGUAAAUAUGAAGGCGACUAAUCCGAUAUUUUCUCUUUACCUCGAUCUAACUCUGUACGAGAUCUGACAGGAUCUAUACAAAUAAAUUUAACUCAUUUCAAUAUAAUUCUCAUUCAAUUUAAUUCAACAUGGAAUUUUGGCAAAACUAUCAUUUUUCCCUAUACUUUUAAUUCCUUUGUAAUUUAGUCCCUAGGGUCGAAAAAUGAAAUUCAUACAAUUCAAUCCUUACUCAAGCCUAGCCAAUUUUUAUACAUAUUAAUAUCAGCCCAUGUAUUUCACAAAAUUCAUAAAUUUUACCAUAAAUUUAUCACCUUUUUCAAUUUAGCCUCUAUUUGAUAAUUUUACCAAAAAUCUCUUUACGAAAAUUAUUUAUCUAACAACAACCAUUCAUUUUCUAUCAUCAAACUUCAAAAUUCAAGCAUAUACAUCAAUGGAAAAACCCUAAUACUUUAACAUUUUUGCAAAUUAAUCUCCUGAGCUAGCUAGAUUAAGCUACUACGAUCCUGGAAACAUAGAAAUCAUAAAAAAUGGGACAAAAAAUUUAUACUUAAUUGAGCAAAAUAAGCUUGCUGAAAUUUUCAAGCUUCCAUGGCUAGGUUUUUGUUUUUUUUUUUUUUUGUGGAAGAUAAUGAUAAUGAAUGAUAAUAUUUUAUUUUAUUUUAUUUUAUUUAUCAUUUAAUACCUAUUUACUAAUUUAACCUUAAAUAUAAAUCAAAAUUUCAAUAAUAACAACCCAUACUUAUCCACUAACAACCUUAAUGGCUAAUUAUUAUAUAAGGACCUCCACUUUAAAAUUCUAUAGCUAUUUAAUACUUUUAGCUAUUAAAACGCAACUUUUGCACUUUACACAAUUUAGUCCUUUUUAUCAAAUUAAGCAUGUAAACAGUAAAAUUUCUUAACUAUAUAUGGUAUUUCUAUCAUACUGUAGACCAUAAAAUAAUAAUAAAAUAAAUUUUCCGACUUCGAAUUUGUGGUCUUAAAACCAUUGUUCUAAUUUCACUGAAAACAAACUGCUAUAAUAUUAGUUAGUAUUAGGAUAAUGGUACCUAAUUUCAUACUUAGUUAUUAAUUAUAAUAGGUAAAAUGGUUAAUAAAUCAUGGUUCAAUCAUGACAAGUGUGUAAUAGAUUGAGUGAGUUUUAUGCAGGUUAUACGUGUACCUAUUUGUAUCCAUGAACUGAGUUAUAGGUUUUGGCAUGAAAUGAACUUUCAAACUUGUGAUUUUUGACCAUCUGGAUAAAAGUAUCAAUAUCAAGGACCAAGGUAUCGAUACUUGACCAAAUGAACAGUGUUUUCAAAUUACAGAAUGCCAAAAUGGUAUCGAUAUCGACUUUGGUGUCGAUACCUAUCACAAAAAAAUCGAUACUUAUUUCCUUGGUAGUUCACGUUUUGAAAAUUUUACAGUUUGGUCCUUUUUCAUGCCCGAAUCUAAUCUAUUUUAUUUUAAAGCUCGAAUUAAUCUUAUUUUUAUUUUUUUAAUAAUUAAUAUGUGUUUUUAUAUGAUCAUUUUUUUAAUGAUUAAUAUGUGUUUUAUAUGAUCAUUCAAUGUUUUAAAUUGCAUGUGAUUGUUCUGGAUUUAUUCGUAGCAUCUCAUUGCUCAGGUCCGGCAAUUGGACCAGGUUUGGGAUGUUACAAAAAGGGUUUUUCUUUGCACUUUAACGAUUCAUAUGUCCAAGAAUGAGGGCACAAUCAGCUGCACAUAGUUGUACUCUUUCUUCACACGUGGCAAAAUGUACAUUGCAAAUUAAAAUAUAAAAUGUACUCAAUAAGUUUUUAUUUAUGUUAUUUCUUGCUUCAUAGAACCGUGUUUCAACAAAAGUCACUGUAUAACUCUUCUUCGAACCAGGUGGGGGACAAAUUGUUAUGAUACUUACUAUUUUUUACCCAUAACUCGAAUAUCGAGCUCGCAUGACAAUAAGUGUUCGCAGGAGGGGAACUUACACCCUUCCAUGAGAUCACAUGUGAGAUCAUACAUGGGAUUGUGCGAUGUGGGUUCACACGUCACUACAUAGGCGAACCCCUAUCGUAUAAAAACGUGCUAAGUCUAGAGUAGAUUACAUGUUAGCAUGCAUGGAACCUAUUUUGGAUAUCACAUCAAUGAAUAGUAAUCAUAACAUAUAAAUAUAUAACUUUACCAUCUGAAGAAGACAGAGAAAAACACUUAACAGAAAUAAAACCUAUUAAAUUAAAAUUAAAUAAAUUAGAGUUAUUGGUCGCACACAAAGCAUAUUUACAUAUAAAUAAAAUAUAAAAACUAACCCGGCCUAGAUGUUACAGUUGAAUUUUGGUGCCUACAUUAUCCACUGAAAUGGUCUAGUAAAAUUAUUGGAGUUUUAAAAUAGUCCCUUUUAAGAUAUUUUCUUACCUUAGAAGAAUAAAAGACUUAGUAUGUUGUCUCUUUUUCACUAAAUGGUACAAAUUUUCAAAAAAACGAUUUGGUUUUCAUGUUAAUUUCGCAAAAGUUGUUUUCCAAUUUAUUUACUACUCAAAAACUCAUCCAUAAUGUUGCAGCGAAAAAGUGAUAAUAGACAGGGUUUUGUUUUAAAAACCAAAUUUUAUGUAUCUUUAAUUAAAUUCCCAAAUUCAAAUAACCUAACCAACUUAAAUGUCAUGCAUGCCAAAAUUAACCCAAAAUUUAAGUCUCAUGUCACAGUUCAGAUAAAGCAAUACAAUUCCUAGAUAACAUAAAUUAUAAUAUGUCUAAAAUAUUUUUUUGGAAAAAAAACUAUUCGAGACAAGUUCUCCGAAUGCCAAGCCCGUGUCCUAACCUUAUGGGUUAUCUGUAAAGACGAAAAUUAA
Molecule: long non-coding RNA, 91695 nt
Filed under: Gossypium barbadense (sea-island cotton)
Lineage: Eukaryota; Viridiplantae; Streptophyta; Magnoliopsida; Malvales; Malvaceae
Description: long non-coding RNA (GBAR_LNC004017)
Source: RNAcentral